RNAcentral lists this long non-coding RNA (118646 nucleotides) under Pelobates cultripes (western spadefoot toad). Lineage: Eukaryota; Metazoa; Chordata; Amphibia; Anura; Pelobatidae. The record is from RNAcentral.
AGCAUGAGUGGGACAUACAGGAUAUUAGGUAGGUGGUUUUAAUCUUGUGGCCGAUCAGUGUAUCUGGGGUUAAUCAUGAAUGUAUUUGUGUAGAUGGGGGCAGGUUGCAUGAUUGUCUUAACUAGUGCCACACAUAUGGUAAGGGUGGUUUUCCCUUACCAAAACAUGAUAUUGAUACAACUCUUAUUACAUAGUUGCAGUCAUGCAAGCAACUGAAGGUAGAUGUUCGAUACAUGAGGAUGGCAAAAUGCCUUUUGGUCUAGUGCAGUACAAAUACUACCAUAAAAAUGAGCUCAGUCUGUCCCUUCAAAGACAUGAUGCAACCAAAAUUCUUAUUCAUUCACUCUCUGUUUACUGACGUGACUAUGCACAUCGUAUUAGUCUCCGAUAUAAUGAGUUUACUUGCUUACAGAUCAGAAAAAAAUGCUUCUGUCAUCCUUAUUCAUAAAUUACAAAAAUCCCCCAUCCACCCAUUCGUAAAUAUAAGAGAUAUGUGGAGGAUUUCACAGCACAUUUUAAAUCAAUUAAAUCAGAAAGAAAAUACAAAGCAUCAUUGAUUCCUACAUAGUUCCCACUUCCUUAAAUGUUGAAAAUGUUUAUUCAAAAUCCCAUUGGCUUUAUAUGUUUCACAUGUUUAUCAAUUACUUUAUACUUCAACUCUCAGUUCUUGGCACUGGUUUUAGAGUAUUCACUAGGAUGCAGGAUAUUUUCUCUAUACGACUACUAAUUUCUAUUAUUUCUACUGUUUUAUGCAAAGUUUGGCUUAUGUGAUGUGUUGGAGAAGGUGGCUUUGGGCUGUGGCAUUAGGUGUCAGCUGCCGAGGAGAUUAGAUGAACUUUUGUGAGCCUUGCUUCUCUGGUAGUAUUAUUAUCUGAACAGUCAAGAAUCCAAAAUACAUUUAAUAUUUUAUGCUAAAACAGUCAGAAUGGGAAAAAAAAAUCAGCUGAGUUUUCCAUUUGGCUACUUGGCAAAUUCACCUUGAAUUCCCUAUUUAGAGAAAAACAUGGUUUGUCUCUGCUCCCUCACAAUAAAAUUGUCCAAUAUUUAACUUUCUACCACCACAGAGUGUACAGGUUUAUUUUAGCUGCUAGCGUCCCAUCAACUAUGAAUAUAUAAUUUUUCAAAGUGAUGAGUAACACAUUUCACUGUCUGUGAAAUGCAAGUGAAAUGCACAGUGAAAUGCAAUGUCUUUGCAGUCUGUUCUUCUCUUACUCAUUUCUCAGCAUGGAGACGGGUGAUGUUACGAAACCCUCUAUUCCAACAUCUGAUUGACAUGUGAGGGGAAGAACCACAUUUUUAUAUACGUGAAAAUGUAUAUAUGUGCUAGUAUAAUGAACAGAUACAAUGUUAUACUCUUUAAUCAAAUGUGUGUACCGUGAUGCAGGCUCAGUUAAUAUGUACAGUCAUGGGAAAAAGAAAGUGCACCCUCUAUGAAUUCUAUAAUUUUAUAUAUCAGGACACAAUAACGCUCAUCUGUUCCUUAGCAGUUCUUAAUAUUGGGUAAAUACAACCUCACAUGAACAACAACACAUGACAUAUUUCUGUAUGUCAUGUGCAGAAGCCCAUUCAACAUGACACAUCGACUCAGGCUGCUCCCCAAAAUCGCCAUUGGUAGCAACCUUCCUUGCAACACAUCGUACACAGGGACAAUAAACAACACUCUGACGUGCACUCGAGCCCUUUGACAUUGCCCCACUCGCACACUUUCUGGUUAGGAAGGGAUAGGAUUACGUGGCUCCCGCUAUAAUUCCGAAUGUGAAAUGUUUGUUAGCACUUGGUUUCUAGCACGCUUUAGUUUGUAACUAUGUUGUAAUGGUGUAUUAUCACUUUAUUCCUUGUAAGUCCUAUUGUUGCAAAAACCGCAAUAAAAAUGAGAUUGUAAAAAAAAGAAAAUAAUAAUUGAAGAAUCCAUGUGUGAAAAGCCAAGUACACCCUUACUGCUUCCACAGGAAUUAAGAUGCUAAGUAGCAGACAGGUGCUGCUAUGCUAAUCUAAUGCCAGCAAGUGUGCCCAGCUCUAUGAAAGCCAAUGUUUUAGCAUUUUUCUGGUCUGAAGCACUCAGGUGUGUGAACACAAUGCCAAGGAGCAAAGACAUCAGCAACGAUCUAAGAGAAGCAAUUAUUGCUGCCCAAACAAAUUGGAAGGGUAAUAGAGCCAUUUCCAAAUAAUUUAGUCCAUCAUUCUACAGUGAGAAAGAUUAUACAAAAGUGGAAAACAUUCAAGACAGUCGAUUGUUCUAAUGUCCUGAUUUGUAAAUCCAUAGAAUUCAGAAAGGGUGUACUUUCUUUUGCCCAGCCAUGAUUGUAUUGUACCUUUUCUGCCAUUAUUAUUUUUACUUUCUACCACUGCACUUAGGUUAAAGAAAGGGUUACUCCCUCUUUGCAUAAGGUGGAGAAAUAGAGAAGUCCAUUUGUUGUGCCUCCCCUGGGUAAUAUUGGGGUGUAAUAAACUCUACACUUUUUUUUUAAUUACAAAAAGCACAUUUCACUAUGUGUUGGGAGCGCACAAACGCCAACAUGUAUUAUUUACCAUGUUUAUUACCCUUCAAUAUCACAUUAUAUGUGGGAAAGAAUGAAAAGAAAAUUUGAUACACUUACAUUCUGAAGUCGCAUCUCAAGUCAUGAUUGUAAAUAUUACAGCUUUUUUUACUGACCUCUGUGUAUAAUUCUUUUUUUUAAGAUAUACCCUUUUUGUAAACCAACCCAAACCAUGAUGUCUAGUGAUAUGUGUUCGCAGAAUCUAAUAAAAUCACAGCUAUAUAAUUAAUCACAGACAGGGCUGGGCAUAAAUCACAUUCUCAUGUUACCUACAGCUUAAGCCAAAUAAGGAUUCUGAAGAAGUGGGGGAGUAGAGUGUGAUAUCCAGAAACACCUGUGACGAAUCUGGAAUCCCCACUUCCCAGCAGAGAUAACAUUCUCUCCACUAACAUAGAAGAUGCUAAGAAAGUCUUGAUAGGUGCUCCACUCCCUACAUUCCUCAUGUUUUUAUUACUUGACGAUGUAGAGAAAACCCCACUCUUAAUCAUCAUUGAUUUGCCUGACACAUUGUUUCACUGUUAUUACUCUGGAUUAUAAUGUCAGCCAAGCUUUUAUAUUCCAUUGUUCUCCUGUGGGUAAGGCUGCCUAGAAGCAUCCUUUAAUGUAUUUUGUAUUAUUCAUUUCCUAUUGUACAAGCCAAAACCAACCUCAAUUAAAAUAUAUCGAAAAUAAGUUGUUUGGACAUUGACUUUUGCAGCAUAUGGAGACUUCUGAAGAGUCCAGAUGAAACAAAGCAAUAAUAAUGUUUAUUGGAAAAUUACCUUGAAUUCUCAAUAGUGCAUAACCUGUAUAUAGAUUUUAUUUUACUGCUUCUCUCUCCCCACCUCCCCCUCUAUUGAUUACUUCUCACUCUAUCCACCUACCAUAACCUAGCACUCAGAAAGUACCAUCUCCAGUGAAUUUAGAGCCACCUCCCACCAAACCUCGGGUUUACUUUUCAGAUGGACAAUUUAUUGUUCUGAAAAGGUUCUACUAGAUAUCUUAUGCAAUGUAGAAAUUAUUGAUGAUGUGAAACCUCCAUUAAAGUGUUUUUUUUUUUUUUUUAUAGCAUCGGAUAUAUUUAAAAUGUCAUUAUAAUUAUUCUUAGUCAUUAGAUGCCUCUGGCACUUAUCUCAUUGAUGCUACAGUAUACUUGGAACCAAGUAUUCCCAUGUCAGAGUUCUGCUUGAAGACUUAGCACAUUAAUGGACAUAGAUCCUUUCCUAAAGUCUCCAACGCUUGAUGGUCCUUUUCUAAUGUCUCCAAUGCUUGAUGGCUGCUGGAUUCAUCCAAGGUUUGCAAGCUUUGCCUUGUUAGCUUAAAGUCUUCUGCCCUUUGUAAUUUCUUUCUUGGGUUAUGAUGCAGUUUCACUGCUGGUGUUGUUGAUAUAGCCCUUUAAAUUCCUUCUGUGAAGGAGUUACUCCAAGCACCAUAACCACUUCAGUGAUUUGAAGUGGUCAUGGUGUCUGUAGUCUGUAUUUGCUUUGAAACACUGCACAUACAGAGAUUAACCCCUUAGCUUCUCGAGGCGUAACUUCACAACCACCCGCAUCAUAGGUGUGUUAUCAGCCAGCCUGGAACUAGAGUUCUGGGCUGGCCAAUGUCAACUCUAUGUAACCUUUGUUGCACAGAAUCUCAUUUAUUGGCUGAGAGCAGUCAGCUGAUGCUCUCCGUCAAUGACUGUCAACCUCCGCAGCUUCUGGUUUCUGCAGGGCGCGUCACCGGACCUCCAGGAAGCGUCAGAGCCUGGCAAGGAUCCAGGUAAGAAGGCAAACCACCGGGGAAGUGGACAAAGCUACAUCUGGAAUCAUAUAAUUUAUAACAGCUGGCUCUACUUAUGGGGUUUUGAUGCUUGGAGUAACCCAUUAAUAAAAUUAUUCUUUUAUUUUGCAUAAUAAUGAACAUCUGAUCAUUUCAGCUGAUGAUAUUUACUAAAAUCAGAUCAUAAGUUUCCAAUUUAUGUGUUAUUGUAUUUAAACAAUGUAACAAGGGACCCUUUUACAUCCAGAAAUUAAAUUGCAGACAAGUUAUAAGGAUUAUGUUAUCUAAUAUUUGGUACUUUUAAAAGGUAUGUAAAAAAGCAAUGUGCUCAUUACUGGGAAAAACCUCGAUUUCACGUGAAUCAGGCAGUUAUGUCUGGUAUGUUCUUCCUGUUUUAGAACAUGGUUAAUUAUAUACUGUAUCUACUCUGGGAUAAAAGGUAAAUACCCAAAUGAAGUUUCUAGAUUACGUUUCAAUCCUUUUGAUUAAAUUGGAAAGGCUCUUACAUUCUCUUACAUUCUCACCAUAAGCUGCACCAAGAGCUUAAUUAAGGCUUUUCUGUAAAUAACGAAGCUACAUUCAGAAUGUAAUCUUACAAGUAAUUCAUAAACAUAAUCACUCUGAAAUGUAAUUGGUAUUUUCAAGACAACAUAGAACUGUUACUCCUAACCCUGGCACUGCUGAUUAUUGUGAACUACAUUUCCCACAAUGCUCAGCGAGCCUUAGCCUAGCUGAGCAUCAUGAAUAUUAGACUUGUGCACGUUGUAAAAAUUCGCUUUUUAUUAACCACUGUUUUUGUCACGGCAGAAUUUAGAUCAUGCCUUGGUUUGACUCAACAAAAUUUUGUUACCAAAACAGUAUUGGAAAAGAAAUUCGGACAGUUGAGAAAGUGAAUCAGUCAAGAAAGUGAGAAAAGAUGUACCUAUGACUGUGCAUAUGGCUUAAUUGUCUGGCCUAAUGACUACACAGUUUCAUGCAUUGGUCUAAUGCCAAUUUCGACUUGUCAAAAGUAGAUUAUUCUAUAUCUAGUUAAAAAAAAAGAGAGCAAACUUUAUAAUGAUUUAUAAUCCAUCAAGCGUGAUGACAUCAUAUGUGUUGAAUACGGAAGUGGCUGAAUCACCUGGGAAGUGGAGAAACCAAAUCACAACCUAUUUGAAGAGGUAACAGAAAAGGAGAAGGCUCAGAGGUGGGAUUAUAGCUUUUGAGAAAGUCCACUGCUUGGACAAAACGCAUCAAUCGAAUUUCCAGCUGGUUUGUGUGAUUGACAGCUACUAGAGGCUUGUUUAACACUUCAAGGUAAGGCAAGGUUUUAUCGUGUGGUGUUAAACUUACAGGACCACCGUGGAGUGAAAUGAGCGAUUUUUGCCUAGUGCGACAACAAUCCUUGCACUGGCUCUGCUUGUACUUAUCAUAUUAAUACUGAUGCCUAUCAAUAUGCUGUAAAGACAAAAAGGAAUUGGGAGCACACCUGAAACAUGCAUUUCGCAGGAAUGGUGCUGCUAUUGUGACCAAAAUUCAUGCAUAAUACAGAUUAAGGAACAGAGCACAAAAAAACUAUUUUUACAUUUUAUCACCUAUUUCAGCAGCUGGCAAUACACAUACAUCGAUAAACUUACUUUAUUUUUAUCUACAGAGACUGCCAGUAUAUUCGGUCAGUUUGAUAUAUACAGUAUUGUUUUGGUAUUAAUAGUAUGUAGCUGUAUGUUAUAUGGUCCCAUGCCACCUAAUCAGUACACAGUAAUUUGUAGUACUACAACGGUGCAGUUUGCUUUUCGUUGGACAUACGAUUACCAGUUGCCAGAAGAAAGGUGCCAUAAAAAACAACAAUGUCCCCCUCAUCUACAGGAACAUUUACACUUACAGUUUCUAACUGUUCAAUUUAUUACAUUUAUUGUGCAAUUGCUGUAAGUAACAGUUUUGUUUGCUAACAAGUAUGAAGUAUGCACACUUCACUACUUCACUUCAGUAAAGCAGGUUUUGUUUGGGGGGGAUGUCAUUUACCAUUUUAUAUGAUGUUAUAUGUUCAUUUUCAGUCACUCCACAUGUCCUCACUGCUAUGUUUUAUACUAUGCCUCUUUAUGACAAUGCUGAGUUGCUCCAAAUUUGUGUCUGAUUAUCCAUAAAUCAAUAUUUGUGUUUAAGUACCCUCGCCUCUUGGUAUGUAAGUCACAGGGUUCGUGAUAACCAUAUAUACUGGCCACCUCAUUCGUGCCAUAUCUAUUCACGUUAAGAACAUAUCAGUACGUCAAGUCUCACCAGGUAUGCUUCAUACCAGCCAUUAAAUAUUUGGAGCUAUUUUACUAUACAUGAUCAACUGGGUCAUUUAAUAUAUUGUUCAACUUCCUUAGUUUUUUCAUUUGGUUACAGGUAACACUAAAGUAUUUUAAUUGUUCUGGUCUCAUUUUACUUACUUUUCCUACCUUUUAUCAGUGUAAGUAACAAAGUUCUGAAUUAUGAACACUAGGUUCUCUUGUGUCACAUUUAGGUUUAGGUGAUCGAACCAUCAUACACUUUUUACCCUCCACAUUUCUAGCCACUUAUUCUUAUCAUCAACUUCUAUCCUUCUAUCCUUCUAGCUUUCAUCAAUAUUCCAGUUUUAAUCUAUUUAGGCAAAUUAGGUUUCAUUGUUUUUGCAUUUACGUUUUUUAAGUCACCACGCAAGUGACUUGCUUUUCCAAAACUACCUCACUGCCUAUGACAACCUCUUGCUCUACAGAACCUGAUGUAUAGCUUAGUAUUGCUGUUAGGGUGCCUUAGUUGACCCUAGAUUGUAUAUUGGCUUUUCGUGCCAUUAAAUAGCUUACCUGCAAGGCCAGCUCCCAUCCUCAACUAUGGAGGUGUUUCGCCCCUUGGCCCAAAUCAUAGUUAGUCCCUCGUUUCUCUGCCUUCUUGGCAAAUCAGUCACCUGUCAUGACUAGUCUAUCUUGAAUUUCUUUAAUGUCACAGAGAAGCCAUCACCCUGCCACAAUGCUCAGUGGCAAACUUAUAGGUAGAGCCUCUCAUUGCUACUUGGGGGCUGCUAGAUAGAUAAACGAUUUUCUUCUAUUUCAGCUAUGAUUAUAACUGCUACUACGAUACAUGGAAUGAUAGAGUGGAGGAGAUAAAUAAUAGAGAAUUAUGGGUUGUUAAGCCUUCAGACAAUUUGUUUUCAGGUCCAGUUUUAGAUUGUACACCUGUUGGGAAGAAACAUUAUUUACUUACAGCAGGUAGUCAGGAGCAAUACUUACAUCCACAGUACUCACAUACAUUAUAUAAUAACAAGCAUAGUUUCAUGUUUUCAACAUUGUUCACUGGGUUACCGUAUCAUUUUUGCCCAAUCUUACCAAUUAUUCACAUCAUUAAGUCCUUCAUGCUUACUUUACUAGCAACAUGGGAUGUUUUUGGCAAUAUGUAACAGUUUCUGAAUUAGUCACAAGGUACAAGUAGGACUAAUAGUAGGGGAUCGUUUGUUAAUAACUUCUGUUCUAAGAUUAGGAAUGUUAAUUUUUCUACCUUCUUUUUCAGGCCUACCCAUUGGGUUGAAGCACACCAAAACCAACUUGUUCUUACUGGUAGAGCUCAGACCUUGUACGCCCUCAGCUUUUGUCCCCAACCACAAAUGUAAAGGCUGUAGGCCUGGAGUUGUUUGAGGGUUUUUUGCUGGUCUAUAUCUGCCCCCCUCCGAGCAACCUCCCGACAUUCUGCCGCUGUUUGGAACCCCACCCACCUCUCCCUAUUAUACUAUUUUAUUAGGUGGGCCCUCUUUUUCAGCCCUAACAUUCAUUGGGUUUAGCAUACCACAACCAUCUUGGUCUUAAUGGUAUAGCUCAAAACGUAUUGUAUGCACUCAGCCUGCAUCCCAGACCAGAAAUAUAUAUACACUGUAUAUAUAAUAUUGUUUUAUUUGUGAUUAUGCUAUUUGUUUCUUUCAACAGAUUUAGGGCAUUAAUGGUGCAAAAUACUUUUAUUGCGAUUUAUACGUUAAUAAAAACAGACAUUGUUAGCUAAAUGAGUAUUCAACCCCGAGUCCAUACUUGACAGAUAAACACUUGUCAGUCAAUCUGGAUUUUAGCCAACACUUAAUUACACACAGGCGCUUGAUCUUCUCAUUUAUGAGCAAGCCGGAUUCCUUUUGGGAACAUAACAAAAAUUAAUUUUUUUCAUAUGGAUAUUUUACAUUCUAAAUGAUGCUAAUCAAUUUCUCAGAUCUCAGUUGAAUAUAUUUCCAACUCCAUCUCAGUUAACCUUGGCUCUCGUUGCUUGUCUGACUAACGCUUUCCUGAACUGGUCAGGGUAUUUUGGUUGAAAACCUUCUUUAGUCAAAGUUGAAGUUAUGUCAUUUUCUUUACAUUUUUUCAUAACCCAGCCUUGACUGCUCCCUCAUCAAAACUUUAUCCCAGUCCUGCUUUCAUUUCUCCAUUGUCUUCAUGAUGUUGUUUUCAUAGAUAUGCUCUCUGACAAAUUCUAGAAAGACCAUCUAGAAACAGUUGUAAUUAUAUUGAGAUAUUAUAAGACUUUAAUUGAACACAGAGGGAUACCAUUCAAAUAAAAAUGUACAUACCUUCUGAAGCCAAUCUGUUGCACAGGAACUUAUUUAGAUGUUUCAGAGCACCAGAGAUGAAUAUUUAUGGAAACCAAAAAAAAAAAACAUUUUCUCAUAUUACCUUUUGUGUUUUAAUAAAAAAAUACUUUGCAAUUGUGAUGUGUUAGGUGUUAUGUGUAAAAUAAAUGGUAAGUAUUGCAAUACAAACUAUUUUAAUUCAUUGUUUUAAUGCUACAAAACAGGAAAUGUCCAUAGAGGGAUGAACACUCGUGUUUUACGUCCAGUCUACCCACAAGAUAACAUUAUUUUAAAUGAAAGAUUUUUACCCCUUGCAUAACAUCGUAUAAAAAAAAAAAAUGAGCUCUUGUUGUUGGUUGAAUCACAUAAGCUUUUUUAAAAAAAAACUUUUUUGCAGAUAGAGUAGGUGAUCUCUUGCAAUACACAAUCGCAGAAACACAAAGUUUUUGGUUGACUUGAUUCAAAGUGAGUAAAUUAAGGUAACCAUCUAGGGUUCACGCUAUCUGCAACAGCCAUGACGUUUACAUUCAUACGCCUGCUGGCAUCCUCAAUCUGGUUCAUUCUCAUAGACAAAUCCAAAUAUAAUUUGUGUAAGCUCUGAAUUUGUGUAGGAAUAGUGUCUUAGGACUGCAGAACCCAAUGCGGCCCUAUUAGUUAGUGUUGUUAAGUCUCAUCUAAGAACGGCCUUGCGUGUAGUAAACAAAGAUUGAAUGUUUUGCGUUAAGGAAGCUAUAUUCCUAUUAUUAGCUGACAGUCGUCCUCACAGAUUGUAGGUAGGAGAGAUUUGGAUCGUGGUGAAUGUUCAGCUUGUUCCAUGCAACUGGAGACACUACCUGCAACCCUUUUAACAGCACUAUCCUGACUUUCAGAUGCAAAGAACCAAGCUUAUAACAAAGAAUGACGGGGAGCCAAAAUGGUGGCAUCCAGUUGCAAGAUAUAGAGGUGUGGAUUUCUGCAUUUUAUUUGUCACACCUUACAAAUACAUAUUGGUUUAGUAUAGGGUUAAGUAAACAUUUUAUUGAAAAAUCCUGGAAAGUGACAGCUCCCUUUUAUACCCUGGGGAACAGAACAUCUUCCAAUUCUACCAUGGUUAUUCACGAAGGUAAUUUAAAGUAAAUUCAAAGUAAAUUUCAACUUUAAGAGCAAAGUUUCUCUAAUUCAGCUAUGUUUCCAGCUCCUCCGCCGAUGUCAGCGCGAGGGGAAUACCAAAACCACACACUUAGGCCAACCCAUAGGCAAGCAUUGACUCAACACUUUUCUAUGGAGUUUUGCAAGACGCUGGCCGACGGAAGCACCUCUAGCAGCUGUCUGGUAGACUGCCACUAGACGUAGUCUUAACCCUGCAGUGUAAAUCAUUUGCUAUGAAGCUGCAAUAUUUUACAUUGCAGAGCUAAGGGGACAGGCACACUGCCCCCAGACCACUUCAAUAUAAUGGAGCAGUCUGGGUGCCUAUAGUAUCCCUUUAAAGUUUAAGAUGUAUGUUGAAUUUACUUUGAAUUCUCACUAUAAUGAAUAAUCCUGUUAUGGGAAGGAGAUGCAUACUUGGCAGCAUACGUGUCAAUGUAUAGCUUUUAACCCUUCAACCAUUGUUCCUUUGUAUGAAGGCCAGGGUGGACAAUUGGGCACCUUCUCUAUUAGUGAGCUGCACACAAUAUUGGAUUAGUAACCCAUCAUUUGUCUGAGGGGGUACUGGGCACCUCCCCAAACUUAGAGUUCCUUUUUUUAUAUAUUUACUGUUUUACAGUUUGAUACACUUUUGCUUAAUGGAACACAUUUUAAUUAACUAAACAGGGGCUUGUCAUUUGGACAAACAGAAAAGGUAAAUAAAAAUGAGAACAAAAGAAUAUAACAAGUGCCUAUUCACAGUCUAGUAGAGGAAACACCUGCAAUGACAAGACUAUACAUUUUGUAUUAAGAUUAUUCCAGGAUAGUAUGCACCUGCAGAAUCGUAUCUCACAGUAUAUUUGCCAUACCGUAACAGUAUAAUGUGCACCUGAUUUUCUAGGUGGUUUUAUGAUAGAAAUAUAUACAAACACAUGCUAGUCCUUACGGUUCGAUUUACUUGGGAUUUUCCAAGACUUUAGUUGAUAUUAUUUUCUACUGAUUCAUACUUCCCACCUGUAGACUUACCUUCCUGUUUUACAGACAUACUUCAAAGUGACUCAGAUACAUAACACCUUCCUUGCAGUUCUAGUUAUGAAUUAACACUGUGUAUUGGCUUCCAAGAAGCUGUGGUUUUGAAUUCUGAUUGAUGGGUGUGAUCUACGGGAAACCACACACUGCUUUUUAGGUAAUAACAAAAUGAGUAUGUUUCCAGUUAUGUACAAAAUAAAUUGCUCUGUCACACCGUAGGCUCCCUACCCACGGAAUAUGUAGUUAUGUUCAAAAUAGCAUAUGAUGUUUCAUAUAUUAUAGUAUCUAAAAUGUUUUCAUUUUCUUGCAGAAUGCCAUGGGAAAAGAAUACACUUGUAUUCAUUGACUACUACAAUUAGGGGUUCAUUCACUAAACUGUAAAUUGGGCUGAAUUGAAAAUUCAGUUUUUUUAACAUAAAGUCCGAAAUACAAAAUUAGGUGCCAAUAUGCACACUUCCAGGUUUUCAAUUUGCCUAAAAUCACUUUUUAGUGCACAAACCACCUAAUGUUUAAUUAGCUUGUUUAUAUAAAGGCGAUGCUACUUUCUAAAGACAAGUUGGUAUGUUUUCUGUUUAGUCUUGGCCAUUGAUAGUUGUGGUUUUAAUAUUCUCCUUCUAGUAUCAAAAUGUUUACAUGUUCUUUUAGAGGUGCCUUACCAACAGUUUAGCUGAAAAGAAAUUUGCAGACCUCUUCCCUCCCAACACAUGUAUACUUGUGCUAACAUCCGUUUCGCAGUGCACUGCAAAGCUAAUACACAUGUAGCCCUUAAAGCCAGGGCCGGCCUAUCCAUAGACUGCUGUGUAGCCACAACUCCAGGCAGCACACUGACAGUGGCGGCAUUUUGCGGACCUUGUCAUUAUCUAAAACAGGAAUUCCCAACUCGUAGCGGCGGUGCAGCUACCUCGCACCGGUUGGGAACCUGUGUGAAAGUCCAUCAGGUGGCCCAUGCCUUUAGGGCCACUCAACGGACAUAUGCAACGAGGGGCCCGGUCAUCCACAGGGAGAGCUGGGAGGAAGUGACAGCUUCUCACUUCCUUAUAGCUCACACCCUGAAACCGAGCCACAAGGAUGGGGCCGGACCAGGAGAGCAGGCCCCCAACUCCCACCAACCACAGCCAGCAGAAGAUAAGAAACUGCUGGGUGACUUAAUUUUUUUGAUGGGUAUAUCUCUGUGUGUGUGAGUGUGUGUGUAUAUCUUGUGUGUGUAUGCAUAUGUGUGUAUCUGUGUAUGUGUGUAUCUUGUGUGUGUAUGCAUAUGUGUGUAGUGUGUGUCUGUAUCUGUGUAUGUAGUGUGUAUCUGUAUGUGUCAGUGUGUGUGUGUGUGUAUGUGUCUUUGUCUGUCUGUAUGUGUAGGCAUAUCAGUGUGUACAUCUGUAUGUAUGUUAAUAUCUGCAUGUGUCAUACAAAAUACACAAUCCAGCACACUCGCUUAUUCACUAAACAAUGCUUUAAAAUCUCACAGAUUGUAAUAGUUUUAUUUAAAAACACUUCACCUCGGCAAAACAUAAUGAGGGUUUAGUUACAUAAUAUGAUCAUGUAUUGCAUAAGCCUGCCACAACAUCAAUGUACCCCAUUCUUGGCAGGCCCUGCUCUAGCAGCCUAAUGCCUGCCCGUAAGAGAUCAAUCCACUUACUUGGGAACUACUUCCUCCUGGGACUCUCUGCAGGUCGAGGCUAAAUAGGGUCCUGGAAUGAGGCACCUGUGACAGGGAGGAGUGAAAACCAAGAGGGCUGCACUCACCUGAACAUGCAUACAUUUUUUUUUUGGGGGGGGGGAGGGAGGGGGGCAGCAUUUCAUUCUUGGACCCAGGCAGCACAACCCUGCUUAAAGUCCAUCAAUCAUCUCCAAUUGCUCUAGUGCUGUGUUUCCACUGUUCUCUGCCAAGUCCCCAUUCUGACCAUCUGUAUCUCUACAGAGAGACUGCAAAUGGCAUCUCCUCCUACAUCCACCCUCUAUAGCUACCUUUCCAUGUUGAAAUUCAUGUCCGCAUUCUGGCACGUAGAGUAGUUAAAGAAGUUAAAUUAAAGGUAGUGAAAUGUUUAAAAAAAACACAAACUCUAAACAAUUAAGGUUUUUUUUACAAUAAUUAUACAAAAUGCCACCAAUUAUUAUUAAAAAGAAAAAAAAUAUCUUCGUUUUCACCUGCUGACAUUUUAUGUGCACAACUGGAGUCUAAAUUGGCAAUACCAGUUCAAUCAAAAUCUAAUAUAAGAGAUUGUCAGAAUCCAUUGCUUUCAUCCUAAAUCAGUAUCGAAACCUCUAAUAAUUUCCUCAAUCCCGGGGCAUGUCAUUUGUCCAUCCUAGCAGCCCACCCAUCUCUUCCUCCAUUCUGGCUAACUUUUAACCUACUUGGGCUGUUGAUUAUUAAAAAUGUACUAGAUAGGUAACUAAAGUGAUAUCUUGGUGACCUUUGUGUAUAGUUAUAAUGAAUUGAUGGAUUCUAACACAUUUUUUUUUAGUUAAUGUAUGUCAAAUACUAUAAUGUCCAUUUUGCAAACUUUAAAAUAAAAAAUGUAACUAUACCAGAGUAAGAGAUAAUGUUUUUAAUCAACAAAUAGACAUUUCAUAUUAAUCUAAAAAAUCAUAUAACAAUUAUUUAUCAUAUGAUAAUUUAUAUAUAGUAUAUUUUGUUGAUAUUGCCCCUUUUUUAGGUUUAUUUAUAUUGUAAUAAUUUUUUAGCAGCACUUUCCAAUUUUAUAAAGGGGGUAUUUAACAGCAAAUGUGACAAACUAUUACAAAUUGUGACAGAAAUAAGUGAUUGAUGACGACCCUGCUUGAAUGAGCUAACAAUCUAGAAAAGGUGAGGUAUAAAAACACAAUAGGAAGGGCUGCCGGAGGGAAUAUGAACCAAGUGACAGGGUGGGAAAGUAGGAGAAUUGGAAUGUGUGAGUGAAGUAGAGUUUGGACCCACUAAUUGAGGUGAGAGAGCAAGACGUAGAUUUGAGAUAGAUGGCAGUUACUCAGGAAAGACUAUGGAUUUUAAUGGACUCCUUAAAGGAUUGAAGACUACGGGAAUGUCUGAUGGGUGAGGACAUUUGUUCCAUGCAAAAAGGCCUGUAAGUGUGAGUUAGCAGUAUGGAAGGAGUGGACAGGAAAAUGUCACUGUCAGAGUGGAGUGACUGAGAAGGGGUGUACCCAUGUACCUAAGUGAAGAAGUCUAGCUGGGGUAGAAUUGUUUGUAGGUGAGAGUUUAUAUUUUGAGUUGAAUACUAUAAGACACAGGAAGCCAGCAUAAUGAUUGACAUUGGAGUGAGGUGUGAGAGGAGUAACGGGAGAGAAAAAGCCUUGGAGCAGUAUUGUUUAUGAACUGUAGUUAGGCAGUAUGGUUCCUGGAGAGACCAGUUAGGAGAGAAUUACAGUAGUCAAUGCGAGAAAUUAAAGGAGCAGAUGCGGACAAUAUUUUUAAGUUGGAAUGUCAGGAUUUGGCAACAGACUGGAUAUGAGGAGUAUAGGUAAGGUCUGAAUCAAAGGUAACAUCAAGGCAGAGAGCUUGUAUGGAAGAUAGGCUACUUGUGAUGCUGUCUAGAAUAGCAGGAGAGAGGGAUCAGGGAGUAGAUAUAUUCAGGUUCAAUAGGCAUGUAGGUGGAACUGGGAUCCAGAAGAAUUAAUACGUUUGUCAAGAAAGUGUCACGAUAACUUGAGACCCAACACACAGAGUAAAAGAUAUGAUAAUAGAAAUGAUAAAGUCUACCGGUCCUUAGAAUGGCUGGGUUAUUCGCUGAUACAACAAGAAUUGUCGGGGACAAGCCGAGUCAGGGAAGCCAGAAAGCAGGGAAUUGAUAAAAUCAAUAGCGAGUCAGGGAGGAUAGAAGGAGAAUAGUCAGGAAAAAGCCAAGAUCAAAAUACCAGAAUAGACACAGGGUAUAACGCACUCUUGGAAACUGAAAACAGAAACCACAACAGGGCAAUGAUCCAUUCCCUGAGUGCUCCUUUUAUACCCUAUGUCUUUAAAUUAUAUCCACACCUCCAAAACAUUUGAAUUUGAACGGUUUGGGGGGCCGUGACAUCAUCAGCGUCAUGACGUUGGUAAGCACGCGCAGCGUAAUCAAAAGUGGCGUAGAUAUAGCGGCCGCCGUCUGAACCGCUGGAGACAUGAAAGGGACCAUAGGAUGGGUCCCUGUCCCCUUCCUGGACUUUCCGAGGCUGUGUCACAGCCUGGGCAACAAAAGGUAACAUGACAGAAAGGCAUUAUAAAGGGAAAACAGAAGGGAACAGAGUGGCAGAGGACAAAGCCCUGGGGAUAAAGAAAGAAUGAGGGGAAGAGAUGCUAGUAGAAAAGGGAACACCAAUGAAUCAUUUGGAGAGGCAGGAUGAGAACCAUGAAAGGACAGUGUCACAAAAUUUGAGAUUGCAAAGGGUUUGAAAAAGGAGACAUGAUCAACAGUGUCAAAAGUAGCAGAAAGGCCGAAAAGACUUACAAUGGAAUACUGGUCUUUGGAUUUAGCUGUGAUUAGAUCAUUUUACUUCAGUUAGAGCAGUCUCUGCAGCAUAUAGGGGUAGAAACCAGAUUGAAGAAGAUCAAGGAGAUAGUUUGAGUUGACAAUGUCAGAUGGGUACAGAUAAGUCGCUCCAGAAUUCUUGAGAAGAAAUAGAAGGGAGUACAGAUAUGGGAUGGUAGCUAGAUGGAGAAGAUUUGUUUAAGGGAUGUGGGGACGAUACCAAAAUAUAUAAAAGGAGAUGGUAAUAUAUAAUCUGGCAAGAAAAGAGAGAUUUGAAACAGUGGGAGGGAAUGGAAUCAAGAGGGAAGGUGGUGGGACGAGAGGAAAGUAGACGUACAGACACCACCUGUUCUCCAACUGUGGAGAAUGCUUAUAAGGUAAGAGAGGCAUAGUGCAGGUCAGGUUGAGGAAGAGAAGAAUGGAUCCUUUCCUUAACUGAUUAAUCUUGUGAGUAAAAUAGCAUGCAAAGUCAUCAGCUGUAAGGUUAGUAUGAGGGGUGGUCAUAGAAGAAUGAUGUAAAUAGUUAAAGGCAUGAAAGUGACACCUGGUUUUGUGAGAAUAGUAAUUAGAGAGUAAUGUAUGAUUGUUUAACAUUGAAGUGAGUGCAGUAUGACUUUUGUACUGUUGGAAAAUGAAGUGCAGAAAGUCUAUGUCUAUUAUGUCUAUGACAUAAUCGUGUGACUCACGUGGGUCAUGUUCUCAUUUUGACGUGAAUCUUAGCAUUGACUCUACCUCAUAAAGCCAUACUUUCUGCAUGGUCUGUCCUUAGUUGGCUGACCUGCAAGAUUAGCAGGCAGCAUGGCAUGUAUUCAUGCCAGGUUGACCUGCUGGGUUUUCAGGUGACUUACAUCACUGGCCUGUCCUUUAACCCCUAGCUACUAGCAUCCCAAUUUGUAGGAUGCCAAUAUCGGUGUGUGAGAAAUGCUCUGUGUAACAAUACUGACAUGUGUAAGGGAAGGAUAAUUGAAACUUGCCACAUGGAAAGCUCACAAAGAUAGACAAAAAAAUACAUUGGCCACCGCUUUCCACGCAAAGGAUUAAACUUGUAUCUAACAUGAUCUGUCUCUUUACCUGUGCUGUAAUAUCCAACACAAUGUGUCUCAUUGUCAUCCUGGAAAUUGGAUAUCCUAGAACAUUUAGAUUAGAAAUAAAAUAUUAUUCAAAAAGCAUCCUGGAAAAUCCUCCAUAGAGUUUCAUACUCUCCCCUGUGCAUUUUCAUUUUUCAGAAUAGGCCUUAUUUAGGAAAACAAAACUGACUUUUGUUCUGACAUUGUAUUUCCAUACUUAGGUUCCGGUUUUUAACCACAUUUUAUCCUAGCUGAUCCACAUAUGUUGCACACUAAACCAUGGGAUUAACGAUAAAUUAAUAUAACUUUCUCUUCAAUCCAAGAAGAUCAUUGAAUCAUACAAUUUCACAAACCUCAUCCUGUGGAAUCGCCUUGUAUUUCUUUUUAAUCUCAUGUUCUCAUAAAAAGUCAUCAAUAAUAAUAAAACAAAUUAAUGUUAUUUGCCAAAUAAAGUGAGCAAUGUGAAACAUUUUUUAAAAAGGUAACCAGAAUGUUCAGCAUGCUCUAAACCAGUGGCACUUUAAAUUAUGCCCAUAAGUUGUCCACAAUCCAUGUCCCACAGGCCACUUGUGGGCCACUGGACCCUUCCAAUGGGUCUGUGAAUACAACUAUCAAAUGUAUGCAAAUACAUUUUUUCACAAUUGAAUUAGUUAAAUUAAAAGCUGCAGUCAAAAUAUUAAAUGGUGCAUGUCCUGUUUAAUCACAUCCAAGCUUUUCAGGUGAAGAGAUGAGAUUUUAACUCAUUUCGAAAGCCAAAUGAAAUGGCAGUCUGUAUAAUACUCUCCUCAAUAUAUGGCUGCAAUAUCUCAGCACCAGACUGAGUUCCAUGAGAGACUCCAAGAUUUCCACGCUCAAGGACCCAGAACAUGGUAACCAACCCCCUUCUCUGUGAAUGUAUGGGAGACUUAACGGGAUCUCCAAAUGGAACUCAUUGACCUUAAAUGUGACUCAGAUCUGAAAAUCAAAUUUAAUUAAGUGUCUAUCCUAGAAUUUUAUAAAAAGUAUGCAGAAAAGGAAAUUUUGUCAAAUUAAGAAUGCAUGCUCAGGGCCGGAUUAAGAGCACAGUGGGCCUGGUGCUGACAAUUAUGAUGGGCCUAAUUAUGGAAUCUUAUCGACCAAAAACACUAAAACAAUCAUACCUCCCAAGUGUCAUGUAUCUGAUGGAGAUGGUGCUGGAGGGAAAUUCAUAGGAUGCAGCUAUAAGAAAACACAUACUCUGUGCUAAUUUCUCUCUAAUUUAUGCUUUCAUCUUUCAAGUAAGUCCAUAACCCCUAACAGCAGAGUUCAGUGAAGCAGGAAGUCAAUGGGCGGGGUGAAAGGGUGUGCCACUGGCACGAAUCACGUGACAAGACCUGCCAAAAGGGGUGAACAUGCCCAAAAAGGGGGCAUGUUUGUCCAAAGAAUUGGAAGGUCAGCCUGGCAUGAAUGCAUGUCAGGCUUCCUGCCAAUCCUGCAGGCUGUCCAACUAAGGGCAUACUAUGCAGGCAGCACCUUGACUAAUGAUGCGCUCACUCUUUCUAAGGACUGUCCCCUAGCACUCGCUGGUCCACUUGUCUCCUUACCUUCUUACUAGCAGGCAGAAGUUCCUGGUAUAUAGUCUGAGACAGAGAAAAGGUGUCUGUAGUGAGUGUAGAAGAAAAGGGACAUGCCACAGUGUUAGAGAGACCAACGUCUGCAUUACUUAAACUAACUUUAAUGUCAGUCAGUGCACACAAGUUUUGUUCCCAUACAUCCCUCUUAAGCUUCCAAACUUAGAGGGACACUAUAAUCACCAGAACAACUACAGCUUAUUGUAUUUGUUCUGGUAAGUAGAAUCAUUCCAUUCAGGUUUUUUGCAGUAAACACUGUUUUUUCAGAGAAAAUAACUCCACUGGCCACUCCUUAGAUGGCUGCUAGAGGUGCUUCCUGGAGCAGUACUGCCUAGUAUGCAGCACUGCCAUUCAGUGUCUCCACCCUUUGCAUGCAGACACUGAACUUUCCUCAUAGAGAUGCAUUGAUUCAAUUUAUCUUUAUGAGGAGAUGCUGAUUUGCCAGGGCUAUGUUGGACUUGUGCUGGCUCUGCCCCUGAUCUGCCUAGUUGACAGUCUCAGACAAUCCUAUGGGGAAGUAUUGUAAUUUGCUCAGAUCACCACUUCUGAGCCAGCAGCUGCAGAAUUGAAUACAAGUAAUAUUUUACUAUAUUUAGGGAGGCAAGAAGGGGCCAGGGUGGUGGUUUUAACAUAAUAGGGUAAUACAUGAUUGUGUUCCUGACACUAUAGUGCUCCUUUAAGCAAGAGUAUGUGAAGAGUAGUUAAGGUUGCCACCUUUCUUGGAAAAAAAUACCAGCCUUAAUCAUUUGUAUAAUUAAUUAGUUAUGCGUGACAUCACAUGAUGUAAAUCACAAGGAGUGACAUCAGAGAAAAUUCUGUAAAAUCACCAACAAACUACUCACAGUUUGAUUCUGCUGUAUAGAUGGAUUGCUCCCAGUGUCUCAGUCUCGCAAGUCACCCAGUGUCUCAGUGUCCCUAUGUAUCACAGUGUCAGUGUCCCCAUGUCGCCCAGUCCCCUAGUCUCCCAGUGUCUGUGUCCCCAUUUCUCCCAGUGUCCCAAUGUCUCAGUGUGUCCCCAUGUCACUAGGAUACUGGGGACACUGAGAGACAUGGGGACACUGAGAGACCCGGGGACACAGAGACAUGGGAGACAUGGGGACACUGAGACAUUUAUGGAAACUGGGAGAAAUGGGGACACUGAGACCCUAGGGACACAGACACUGGGAGACAUGGGGACACUAAAACAUUUGGGGACACUAAGACACUAGGGAAACAGACAUGGGAACACAGACACUGGGAGACUAGGGGACACUGGGAGACUAGGGGACACUGGCUGGGAGACAGGCACUUGGGGACACUGGGAGACAUGGGGACAGACAUGUGGACACUGGGACAUAUAGGGACACUGGGAGACAUGGGGAAACCAGGCACACUGAGACACUAGGAAGACAUGGGAGACAUGGAGACACUGAAACAUUUGGGGACACUAAGACACUAGGGACAUAGACACUGGGAGACUAGGGGACACUGGGAGACUAGGGGAUACUGGGAGACUAGUGGACACUGUCUGGGAGACAGACACUUGGGGAGACAUGGGGACAGUUGUGGACAUAGACAUGGGGACACUGGGACACAUGGGGACACUAGGCACACUGAGAGACAUGGGACACAGACACUGGGAGACUUGGGGACACUGAGACAAUAGGGACACUGGCUGGGGGACAUAGUGUCGCCGUGUCCCAAUGUCCCUAUGUCUCACAGCAUCCCCAUGUGUCUCAGCAUCCCCAUGUGUCCCAGUGUCCCCUAGUGUCUGUGUCCCCAUGUUUUCCAGUGUCCCCAAGUGUCUGUGUCCCCAGGUCUCCUAGUGUCUGUGUCCCCAUGUGUCCUAGUGUCUCAGUGUCCCCUAGUGUCUGUGUCCCCAUGUGUUCCCUAGUGUCUGUGUCCCCUAGUGUCUGUGUCCCCAUAUGUCCCCAAGUGUCUCAGUGUCCCCUAAUGUCUCAUUGUCCCCAAGUGUCUCAGUGUUCCCAGGUCUCCCAGUGUCUGUGUGCUAGUGUUUGUGUCCCCUAGUGUCUCAGUGUCCCCAUAUAUCCCCUAGUGUCUCAGUGUCUCCAUGUGUCCCCUAGUGUCUCAGUGUCCCCAUGUGUCCCUGCUGCCUUUCCCCCCAUCCCUCACUUACCUGAGCUGUAGAGCUGCUGUCUGGACUCUCUGUGCUGUGUAGCUGCUCCCCCACGGAUCAGUGAGUAGUAGAGAGAGGCAGGGAUAUUCUGUAACUUCCUAUCCCUGCCUCUCUCCACACACAGUGACCCCUACUGGCUGGUGCUGGUAUUGCAGAGUAAUUUCCAUUUAUUCUGAGAAAAUGACCUGCAUUUGUAUUGCCGGUAUUACUGCAAUACCGGCACGACCAGGCAGCCUCAAAUACCAUCUGUGCCAUUAAAAUACCAGUCAGGUGGCAAACCUAAGAGUAGUGUGUAAAAAAAAAAAAAAAAAAAUUUUUUUUUUUUUUUUUUAAAAUGGGCCUAUUCCAUGGGCCUGGGCCUGGAGCUGCAGCUCCAUCAGCCCCUAUGUUAAUCCGGCCCUGUGCAUGCUGCAAGAAUCUUCUCCGUCUUCGGAAACAUGUACUUAUGUGAACAGAUGUUUUCCAGAAUGAAGCACUCCAAUUCAAAAUUGAGGACAAAGAGUGCUGAUAAUAAUCUGGAGCAAUGCCUACCACAGAUAUAGUUCCCAAUAUUAGAAACAUAGAAACAUAGAAUGUGACGACAGAUAAGAACCAUUCGGCCCAUCUAGUCUGCCCAAUUUUCUAAAUACUUUCAUUAGUCCCUGGCCUUAUCUUAUAGUUAAGAUAGCCUUAUAUCUAUCCCACGCAUGCUUAAACUCCUUUACUGUGUUAACCUCUACCACUUCAGCUGGAAGGCUAUUCCAUGCAUCCACUACCCUCUCAGUAAAGUAAUACUUCCUGAUAUUAUUUUUAAACCUUUGUCCCUCUAAUUUAAGACUAUGUCCUCUUGUUGUGGUAGUUUUUCUUCUUUUAAAUAUAGUCUCCUCCUUUACUGUGUUGAUUCCCUUUAUGUAUUUGAAUGUUUCUAUCAUAUCCCCCCUGUCUCGUCUUUCCUCCAAGCUAUACAUGUUAAGAUCCUUUAACCUUUCCUGGUAAGUUUUAUCCUGCAAUCCAUGAACCAGUUUAGUAGCCCUUCUCUGAACCCUCUCUAAGGUAUCAAUAUCCUUCUGAAGAUACGGUCUCCAGUACUGCGUACAAUACUCCAAGUAAGGUCUCACCAGUGUUCUGUACAAUGGCAUGAGCACUUCCCUCUUUCUACUGCUAAUACCUCUCCCUACACAACCAAGCAUUCUGCUAGCAUUUCCUGCUGCAGUCAUCAGAAAUAAUCACCCCUAAAUCCCUUUCCUCAUAUGUUGAAGUUAGGACUCUAUCAAAAAUUCUGUACUCUGCCCUUGGGUUUUUACGUCCAAGAUGCAUUAUCUUGCACUUAUCCACAUUAAAUGUCAGUUGCCACAACUCUGACCAUUUUUCUAGUUUACCUAAACCAUUUGCCAUUUGGCUUAUCCCUCCUGGAACAUCAACCCUGUUACAUAUCUUAGUAUCAUCAGCAAAAAGACAUACCUUAUUAUGUUAAUAAGUAUUAAUCAGUGUUCUCAUUAACUGAAUCAUGCAUUCCUUUCAUUGCUACUGUAUUGUAUAAAAGAGUUGUCUAUUGUGUGGCCCACGAUAUUUACCAAAUUUGAAUUUCAUAGUGGUCCUUGCCUUCCAAAUGGUUGCACACCUUUUACUUACAUGGCAUUAUAUUUAGGAACCUUUUCUGUAACUAGAAAAAUAGCUUUGAGACUCAUUCAUAAUUUGUAAACGUAGCUUAGUGACACAUUUAUCAACAGUAAUACCAUGUGUACUUGAGAAAUCUUAUAUCUCUAAUGUUAGAGGUGUCCCCAAUGCAUUGAUGAAGGCAGUGAUCCAGUUAUUGUAGGCCGUUGCUUGGGACCUUUACAUAUGUUGUUACCCCAAUAAAUUGGGAUGGGCGGCUGAAUUUGCAUUGCGAUCUCAAGGUAAAGAACCACUGCUCUAAACAGCUCUUAGCCUUGUGCUUAUUUAAUUUUGUAAUCAGCAUUGUACUCUUGUACAAAACCAAUUCUAGUAAUUAAAUAUUAUCAUUGUCAUGCAAUUUUGACCUAGUCCUCAAAUCUAUAUUGAACUUUUGGUUUUUGUUUUCCAUGGUUUUGCUGUGGUCUUCCUUUCCUUGAGUUAGAUUGUCCGGCAUCACUUUAGUUAGUAGAUGAUGUGAUCUCCAUAUGUUGUAGAACUACAACUCUCAUGCUGUUUUGCAUGCCUUUAGAAUGUUCUAGAUUGACAAAGCAUCAUGAAAGCUGUAGUUGUAAAACAUCUGGGGAUCAUCUUUUUGCAAAAAGUAUGUAGAAAAGGAAAAUUUGUCAAAUUAAAGGACCACUAUAGUGCCAGGGAAACAAACUUGUUUUCCUGGCACUUUAGGGUCUUUAGGUCCCCCCCACCCUCAGGGUCCCACUCCCGCUUGGCUGAAGGGGGAGGAAGAGGUAAAUCACUUACCUUUCUCCAGCGCCGGGCUCCCUCGGCGCUGGGGAACUCUCCUCCCUCUUCCGACGUCAGCGCUGAAUGCGCAUUCAAUCAGUUCAUAGGAAAGCAUUUCUCAAUGCUUUUCUAUGGACGGCAGCGUCUUCUCGCUAUGAUUUUCACAGUGAGAAGCACGGAAGCGCCUCUAGCUGAUGUCAAUGAGACAGCCACUAGUGGCUGGAUUACCCCUCAGUGUAAACACAUUCUCUGAAACUGCUAUGUUUACAGCUGCAGGGUUAACCCUAGAUGGACCUGGCACCCAGACCAUUUCAUUGAGCUGAAGUGGUCUGGGUGCCUAUAGUGGUCCUUUAAGAAUGCAUGCGGCAAGAAUAUUCUCCCUCUUCCGAAACAUGAACGUCUGUGAACAGAUGUUUUCCAGAAUAAAGCACUCCAAUUCUAUACAGCAUCCUACAUGGCUCUUUAAGUAAAGUGCUGCUGAAUAGCAGCAAAUGAAGUCGAGGAGGCAGGGCAAAGAGACUGUUAUAUAGGCAGUGGUGGAACUAAUGCAGUCGCAGGGGCCUGCGACCACGGUGCCCGCCAGCAUUGUGGUGCAGCUCCAGCAGCGUGGAAAAACCGCCGGGGCCGCAUUAAAGGGGCCCAAUGGGUGGCUCAUGCGCUUGGGGCCACCCGAUAGGAAUGAAUUUCCUGGGGCCCGGCCAGUGCUGCGACGCCUUAAGAGCAUGGCCGUGAUGACGUCAGAGCUGGGAGGAAGCCUUCACUUACUCCCAGCUAACAACGCGUCGCGCGGGAGGAGAGGAGGGAGUCAGAGUGGCAGUCACUGGACCCCAGGGAAGUCACUAUAUGUUUAAAAUGUUUUGCGUGUGUGUGAGGGAGAAUGGCUGUAUCAGUAUAUAUGUGUGUGUGUGUGUGUGUGUGUGUGUAUGUCUGUGUGUAUGUCUGUGUGUGUAUAUAUGUUUGUCUGCAUGUGUAUCUCUUUGUCUGUGUAUCGGUUUGUCUGCAUGGGUAUCUAAGAAGGGGCACAAUAUUGAGUUAAAUAUCACAGACAAUAAAGACCCAGUGUAAUCUUGUGAAAUGUAUAUUGCUUUUGUUAACAAGCAGGUGCAUGUGAGGGCUGUCAGAUUUUGGCAGCCUUGUGAUAUUUUAUUUUUCCCCCCUUUGAUAUAGAGUCUCCUAUUAACUUUUUAAUUGCAGACUGGAGUCAUCGUUCUGUAAAAAGGGAGAUACUAGACAACAUAUGUAACCAAAGAUUUUGUAAACCACUGCUCCAGUCUUAACAAAUUAUCAGGAAGAUGUAACUUUCAAAAUGAUCUAUUUAUACAUAAGUACCCACUUACUUUCAAAUCCGUCAAGUAGAAGAUAUAAAGUGUACACACCGCACUCCGGUAUAUGCACUAAGCGAUAAAGGAAGCGUUAGUUGCUGUGAAAGUUUUAUAGGAAUAGUACAGACACUACUUAAAUCCACCAGAGUGUAAUGCAAAGAUAACAACAUUUCUACAACUUCAAAUAUCUUUGCAUUGGAUAGAAGGGGAGAUAGAAAAUAAAACAUAAAAUCUAGAGUGAUCUUGAAAGUGUUUCGCAUCUGUGUAGACACUUUAUCAACAAUAUUUUAAAUACAGAUUUACACUCCCUUUCUCUUUUAAAUACAAGUCUGUACAAACGAAAACAAAACAGUCAUUGGUUCAAUAAAUACAUAUAUACAUUCAUAAAUAUAUUUUUUAUUACUUUUGGAUUAUAUAUGGACGCUAGCUGCACCGAGACAAGAUUUAAUUUCUAAUAAUUAAGGUGUGAGUGCCAAUUUCUCUAGCAAUAAAUAUGUAAGUACAUACAUACAUAGCAAGUGUUUUAAUCCAAUCAUUAAGUAGUAUCCUUUUGUCCUACAUGCAAGAAAAACUAAGUUGCUUUCCUGGCACUAUAGAUCUCUAAAGUGUCCAAUCCCUGCGUUACCGAAGGGGUUAAAAACCCCUUCUAUCACCAACCUCAGACGACAGCUCACUUUAGGAUUUCCCCAUAGGAAAUACAAUGCUGUCCUAUGAAGAUUUAGGUGACGCUGGAUGUCCACAUGCAUGGCGUGAGGAUGUCCAGGGUGAGUUAGGCGACCAAAAGUCGCCUAACGACCCUGAAGUCCCUCUAGUUGCUGUCGUGUUGCCAGUCACUAGAGGUGUAGUUAAGCCAUGAAGGUAAUUAUUGCAGUUAUUUAAUAACUGCAAUAAUUACCCUUGCAGGGUUAAGAGACCUGGGAAUAUGCACCCAGACCACUUCAAUGAGCUAAAGUGGUCUUGGUGCCUAUAGGGUCCCUUUAAGAACAACUACAACAUUGACUGUGAAAUCACCACAUGACUUAAACAGUAUUGCUUCAAAUCAUCAUUAGUCUAUAUUAAUAAUUUAAUAUAUUUCUGCCAUUUUCAGCUGUGAGAUCCAUUUAAUUGUGUUAAAAUCCUGUUGGUCAAUGAGUCACAGAGUAAUGUUACGUAAGUUUAGAAAAUCAUAGAAUUCUAAUACUUAAUGUCUUUUGGAUAUCUUUAUAAUACACUGAACAAUAGGACACUGCAUUAUGUAUUUCACAGCUGUUACUGUUUACAGAACAGUUUAUCAAUGUGAAAUUCAGAUAAAUGUUUUUUGCUGUAUAAGAGUAUUUACCCCAACUAAACAUGACUUGGAAAUAAUACUCUAAUGAUUAUGUAAGCUGGCGUGCUUUCCGAGAAUAUUAAAAUAUGGUUUGUGCACGGAAAGUGUGACGCUGAGAUGUCAGGGGAGAUUAGAAUUGGAAAUAGAUGAAUUGAUGGGAACCUGGGUUUCAGUAUUUGAAUUAAACAUUUGCAUUUUGUGAGCUUCUCUUACACAGGUUGACUGAAAUUAUGACAGGUGACAUGGAGUAACAGUGACAGGGAAAUUGUGAAAACUGACAGCCACUUCAUUCACGUUUUUGCAUAUUUUCAACAUGUACUCUUGCUUUAAAAAUAGGUAUUUAUCUCCAUAGAGAGAUAAAUCUUAAAGUAAAGACUUCAUUAAAAAGAAAUAUUCUUGGUGCAUGUAUAGAUCCUUUAAGUGUACCGGGUAAUGGUGUGUAUGUGUAGGGUCUGGUUAAAAAGGGUUGGAUUUCGAGCUGAGUAAGUGUUUGUCACCAGGAGUGUAACAAGGACCAGGGUGUGUGGUGGUUGAGUGUAAUUGUGUUGGGGUUAGCUGAGUGACUGUGUGGGGUUCGUCUGAGUGUGAUUGUAUGUAGGGUUUGACUGUGUGUGAAUGUGGAGUGAUUGGCCCCUCUUUUGGUCACUUCCAUAAGUCUGGCAACUCCCAGUGCUGACAUUAACAUGCUGUCUCAAUCAUUGGCACACACACUGUUUAACCUGCACAUACUUUUACUUACAGGCACACACUCUCAUUUAUGUGACACAUUGAUGGACAGACAAAUUCUGACAGACAGACACACACACAAACUCACAGACACACACACACCCAUUUACAGACACACACUCUCACUGAUACUGACACACACACACACACACAAAGUCUUUCCCCGAAAAUAAGCUUAGGUUGUAUAUUAGUUUUUCCCUUGAAAACACACUAGGGCUUAUUUUCAGAGGAUGUGUUAUUUCAGGGAAAACGGUAGCAAACAUGCUAGAAAGCAGGUCUAUGGUCGGGGGUAUCCCCCCGAACAUAGAUCAGUUCACUAGGGCAUGCUAUCCCGCAAAUCUAUGUUCGGGGAAACUUUCCCAAAUAUAGAUUAGCUUACUCGAGAAUGGAAUCUCGCAAAUCUAGAUUAGCGAACUAGCGACUAGGGCUUUUUAUAGAUUAAGGCAAAUAUAGAUUAGCGAACUACCGACUGGGGCUUAUUUUCACGGUAGGGCUUAAUUUUUGGGGGAUGUCUUAUUUUUAGGAAAACACCGAGCCACCCUACUGUUGUGAGAGCGGAUCCUUUCCUUGGAGACUCGGGAUCUAGUGCACCUGCUGUGAUCCUGUAAUCUCUGUGAUCUUCUUGGUCUGCUCCCUCAUGCGUCAUUUACUGAUACCAGGGCAAGAGUGAUGUCAUAUUCCUGUUCCUGCCACCACCAUAGGGUGCUUAAGGGAACAGUGCAAAAAGAGCACAAAGAUCACAGCUCCCUACAGCUCCUUCAUUGCCUGGCUCCUCCAUUCUAUCCCCGGACACACUAUAUUUGAACAGAGUAGGGACCUGCAGUUUGGAUAAGCUAGUGCCUACUCUGCCUUAGUGUAGAGCCGGCAGACUCCAGAGGGGCCCUUAGGCCAGCUCUUCAGCAUUCCAAGGCAGAUUACAAAGGACCCAUGUGCACUUGCGACCUCAGCGACCCCUGUAGUUCCACCACUCAUUGUCAAUCAGCAUGGGGCAAAAAGAAUAAGCAAGGGGUUAAGGUUGCUGUAAAAAUUGCAGUUUAGGGUUUGUUUGACUGUUAAUGAGGUGAUAAGUUUUGUUUUUUGUGUUAAGUUUUAGAUUAAAGGGUGUAAGUCAGUGCACUGGUCGAGACACCUGCCUGUUGCUGUUAUAAAAACUGGCAGAGGUAGGGACUUUCGGGAAGAAAACAUCUCCUCCCUUUACUCAAUCUUCAGUUGUCCAGUGGUGAUCAAUACUGCAACGUGUACAUCUAACAUUUUCCAUAAGCGUCUGUAGUUGUCAUGCUAAUGGGUCACUCGUCUUUAUAAGAAGUUUUAACCUGAAGAUUUGUACUUACUGCUUCAAUAUGAGCCAUUUGAUUGGAUAAUGCACAGCACUAGCAAGGGAGUACAGGUGUUGGCCAAAAAGGCGACAGGCCUUUACAAGCUGCAGAGGACAGUUCUGCAGCUAAUGAAAGGAAUGUUUUAGACAUAUUUGAGCACAUUUUUGUAAUUUGCCUUUAAAUAGACCAAGAGCACAAGGUGAAUCAUACGUGUUGGAAAUAGUGCCCCGUCGGUCAUUGCCUGUAGGUGGGUUCCAAAUGGCAAAUCCAAGCCCUGACCUGGCAGCUAUGUAAAAUGAAAAUAUAAUUGAAGAGACAAAUGACUAGCCAAAUAUGUUGGAAAAAAAAAAAAAAUCUCCAGUGUAAUUUGGGCUACUUUAGCUUAAAAUUUCCAGAAAGUUUGAUUACUAUAACGGUUUCUGGUAAAUAAUCCCCAGAAUGACAUUACUGGUUUGCUUUAUGCAUAUUUUGCCUUAUUCACGUAUAGUGGGACGUUACCACAUUGCCUACAUACAUUCCUGCCACAAAGUUCAAUUGUGUUUUUCUUUUUUAAUGCUUUUUUUCUAGGUCAUUUAUUUACAGACAUACUUUGAAACAAUUAACUGUAUGAUGGUAACAUUCAGAAGAAUUAUAAUAUAUACCAUUCCAUUGAAUUUAAGCCUUCUGGCUCCAUCAACUGGGCCAACAUUGUACUGCAUUUCUAAGGCCCUGAACUCUUUUUUUAUGAAUCUUAGAAUGUUUGAUAUGGUAAGGAAUUUUACUCAGGUGAAAUGUUCUUAGCCACUGACAUGAAAGGGCUGAGUGAAACCAAAAGCUUUCAAUAUUAUUAAUGUAAUCCUACUGAAGUUAAGGAAUAUUAUUUAAAUAAAAUAAAAAUAAAAAAAAUCUCCCACCUUUCAACAAAGUAGGUCUGUACUUCACAAGAAAUUACCACUUAUUUAAAUAAUGUAUUACUUUCAAUUUAGUUACAGAUUAGAGAUGUCUGAAAUGCCCAAGGUGGGUGAGAUAGACUAGAAGAAAGUUCUAUAAGACACAUUUUGAAGAAAACUCUGUAUUCGGUUGUGUAUCACAAGGUAAAAGCCUAGUUCGUGUUUUACUAAUUCUUCACUACUUGGGGAUUUAUUCACCGAGUCUCAAUUUCUAUGUUGAGAUCUAGGUGACCAAAAAAUCCCAUAGUUUUUAUAUUUAUGUCAUGCAUAUAACAUUUUAACAGUGUUUAGCUUUGAAACAAUGAUACAAUCAUUGUAAUAUGCCAAAAUUAAAUAAAACUUGUAACAUAAUUUCAUUUCCAAGAAUGGCCUGGGGUAUUGAUACCUGAUGCCUUGUGCUUGAAUCUCAAAACAUAAUGUAUUAAUCUCCGAACGAUGGCCAGCUGAGUUGCUCCAACUUGGAAUCAAACAUAGAACCAUGUGGCUUGUGUAGGACCAAGUAUAAUAACAAACAAAGCUGUCUCUGAAGAACAUAGACACUCCUGCAAUUGUUGAAAAUAAAUUCAUAUUUUAGUUGUUUGUGUUUUUGUAUGUGUGUGUAAAUAUUUUAAACAAUCCAGAUUUGUCCAUUAAGAACAAUAUAAACCAUACGGUUUUAAUAUCCCUUGCCCAUAACCAGGUCAUAUUAGACUGUGUUACAUUUUAUUUUAUAAAAGGAAUAAUAAUGAAAUAUAAUUUAACAUGAAAGUUGAAAUAUCCUGUUGCAAUUGAAAAGUUGAACUGUUCCAAACCACUUUAUGAAAGCUCCUAGAGUUUAAAUCCUGAGCAGCAGGGGAUAAGUGAAUUUAAUAAUAUGGUUUAAUUAAUUAAAUAGCUGUGUGCAGUUGUUUCUAUUUUCAUAAGACUGUAGCAUCGGUUGUGGUAAGGUUGUACUUAGAACACAAACAUGUAUUUGUGGCAUGUUUCAGUCAUUUCCUAUCUCUUUUCAGCUUCCUGCAUAAAUCUGAAAUAAUAUCUGGAACAAAGUCCAAAAUUUGCCGCAAUCCAUUUUACGGAACCGUUAAUAUAUAUGGACAUGUGGCUAUUGGUUUACCUUGAUAAAUAGGGUCAAAAGAUGUCUCACUUCCUUCCUCAUCGCGUCACAUUUAAAAACCUCUAAAAAUUGCCAAAACAUUUUCAAGCUGGUAUGACUCUGGAUUCUGGAAGUGUGACUAAUUUGUCAAUAAAUAAAUAAACCUCCAGGACACCUCCACUCGGUUACACUAAAGACCAUGAAGACUGCACAUUAUGUAUUCUUUUCAGUAACGCCUUUACAAUGUGAGUCAAUGAUACCUACUUCUGCAAAGAUUGUGUAUCUUGAAAACAAAGUAUGCAAGACAAGCAAAAGCAGGAAUAAACAUUUGAUCUUCCUUAUUUGGGCACUUCUUGUUGUGUUUAAAACUUACCAGUACUAGGAGAUACCUGUGGCCCCUUCCUAUACAGAGGGCCAGGUGAUUUCCAGCCUCCUGGCCGUGAUUUUAUGUAGGUCUUACCCACCUAAGGGGAUAAUUCCUUAAUAUACGUGCAUCAUGUGCCUAGACCCCAAUGGUCCUUUAAAAAAAAACUGCAUACCUCCUUCACACUAAUAGAUACUAGCGAGGAACACUCAAAUCCUCUAAGCAAUUAGUAAUCACCAGUAAAAAUGUACUUCUAUUUACUUGUCAAACUCGUUACUGAAGAUCUAUCUUCAAUCCUUAUUGAUGAACUAAUAAGAUCAAACACAUGUAUCACUAUGGAGAGCUGUAACUUUGCAACAAGCCCUAUAAUUACAGCAAAUAUGGAUUUAAAACCUUUCCUAUUGAGAAUCAUUAGAAGGAAAAAACAAAUGUAAUCUAAAGACCUAAAUGGGAGUCCAGGAGACCAGGUCACAUUUGCAACAUAUAUACCUUGCUAUAAGAUCUUUAUAAACAGUACAUUAGCCAUCAUACAUAAUUUCCCCUUAUUCCUGACCCUAUAGUGUUAAAACCACCAUCGAGAUCUCCUGACCCCCACCUGCUCCUCUAAAUAGCAAAAUCCUGCUUGUAUUCCAGUCUGCUGCUAUUGGCUCUACUCCUGUUCUGCCUGCUUGACUGACAUCAUCAGAUGUGGGGUUCUGAGCCAAUCACAAUGCUUUCACAUAGGAAAUAAUUAGAUUGACGGAGAACGUCAAGGAAGCAGAUCAGGGGCAUAGCCAGCACUGCCCCAGGAAGCAUCUCUAGCAGCCAUCUGAGGAGUAGCCAGUGGAGGUAUCCCUAGGUUGUAAUGUAAACACUGUAUUUUCUCUGUAAACUCAGUGUCUACUGCAGAAAGCCUGAAGGGAAUGAUUGUACUCAGGACAAAUACAAUAAACGGCAGUCGUUCUGCUGACUAUAUUGUCCCUUUAAGAUACCUUGUAUGAAAUCUGGCAAUGAUAAUAUUAGUGCUGCGUUAUCUAUUAAGGUGUGGUUAGGGUUAGGUCUAAUGACGAAGUAUGAUUCUCACGAGUAGAUAUCAUGUUAUGAAUGAAUGUUUCAUCUCAUUCUAAAAUGUAAUUGGGGAAUUUUAGUGCAGCUUCCUACUGGAGUCAAAUAAAAGUUAAGUAUUAACUUUAUUAUUCCGGUAUUUUUUGUGCUACAACAUGUAAUGUGGGGACUGCCUUCUAUGCGCAAACCAUUUUGUUUUGUAAUCUUUAAAUUCUGCUUUCUGAUGAGACCUAAUCUUUAUUUAUUAAUUACAAUGACUCCACAUUAAUUUUGACCUACUACUUAAUUACUUAAUUGUGUGAAUCUACCCGAUGUUAGUUUGAUAACUCGACAGCACCCUCUGCUGACUAAAUAGAAAUGUGUACAUUUAUAUAAUGCGGGUAUGCAAAUUAGUGCCAGCAAAUAAGUAGUUAAAUGUAUGUAUUGUUGCUUUUUAUUGUUUGAAAAAGAACUUGUAUGAUGCAUUUUUAACUGUUAAUUCUAAUUGCUUGUUAUCCAAUGUUCUGCAUGUUUAUAUUUUACAUGAUUUUCACCACAUAUUUAAGGACACGUCACCAAAGAUAGUCCUUGUCCAAAAAUAAAGAAUUGUGUGUUAGUUCAAUUUGGGAACUGUGUGUCCUGUCUGGUUUGUUCAGAAAUCCCUGUAACAGAGUUUUCAGACCUGCUGGCUGCACUGGUCCCUGUUUACUUGGACAAGUUAAGGAAGGGGCAUUGGCGGAUAAUUAAAUAAAUACAAAAAAUUAUUUAAAAAAACCCUACCCUCCUUCCCCCCUCAUGCACACACUACCCCACACACACACACUGCCCCACAAACACUGCCACCCAUACAUACAAUGCCUCACACACACACUGCACACCCCUCCACAAACACACUGCCCCCACACACACACACUGCCCCACAAACACUGCCACCCAUACAUACACAGCCUCACACACACACACUGCCCCACAAACACUGCCACCCAUACACACACUGCCUCACACACACACACACACACACACACUGCACACCCAUACAUACAGUGCCCCACAAACACUGCCACCCAUACACACACACUGCACACCCAUAUACACAUUGCCCCACACACACGUCCCCCCAUGCACACGACCCCCCCAUACACACACUGCCCCACACAUACAUACAGUGCCCCACACAUACAUACAGUGUCCCCAUACACACAUACAAGAGCCCUAGAUUUUUUUGAACGCCUUCAUGGCACCCCCCACCUGGGCCGUUAACUUAUGAGGUAAGUAUCCUUAAUUUUCUGAAUGACUGUUUCAACGGAAGGGGUCUCCUUUUAAGCCAUACAUGUGCUAGAGCCCUCCUAGCUGCCAGAUUCAACUUGUGUACAAACUUUUGUUAUGUUUUCGUCCAAUCUUCCAUGGGUCUAGCUAACAAAAACACCCAAAGAUCUAAUUUAACAUCUCUCGAGAAUAUCCCUCGGCAAAUCAAAUAUGCCACCUUUGCUUCCCAUAUUUCCUGACACUCAACCCCCUCUAGCGGUUCACCUAGGUCAGCUUCCCAUUGGUCAGUAUAUGUCAACUCUCCCCAUUCUAAGAUAGUGGUGCUAAGGUGGGCGUAUAGAACAGAAAUCAAGCCCCUCUGGAAUUGCUCCCGAGAACUUUUCGAAAAACAUGAGCUGUUGUAAUGCAGCCUUCCUGACCUGGGCGUACUGAGCAUAGUCCCUAAGCUGGAUGUAUCUAAAGAAAUCAGAAGUUUAUAGGGUAGUCCUAGUUUUCAGCUCAAAGGUUAUGAAAGAGACUCAAAUUGAGGUCAAAGAUGCUGCAGUACUGCAUGUUUUAAACCUUUAAAAUUGUGUGCUCUCAAACCUGGGGGGAGGAGAGGGGAUGCGGAAGAGGACAAGCUGUAUUCUCAAGCAACAGAAUCCCACAGUGAGUUUAAGAUUUAGGAUAACCUGUUCGAAGGGAAGGUUGAUGGUCUUUCAGUACCCACAUGAAAAACUGUGGUAGGUCUGAACCCAUUAGUUAAGAUGCUAGAUUCUUUCCUCUGGGGUAGAAUGCCACAGGGCAAUCUGGGUUAAUUGGGCCGCUAAGUAUUAGAAAUAUAAAUUUGUUAGGCUUCGUCUUGCCCUGUAGAGAAUGUUGCCGGAAACUGUUUAUUUUGACAUAUCAAGUUGCCUUUAGCCUGUUGAAGAGUGGUCAGGUUGGAUUUGGAUAUCUGGACUGGUAAGGCUUGGAAUAGAAACAGUAUUCUAGGCAACACAUUCAUUUUUACAGAGUGGAUCCUGCCUAUCCAAGAGAUUGGCUUGUCAACCCACUUUUGCAUAUACUCUAUGAGAUUCCUGAACAUUGGAACGUAAUUUUUUGGGUAAAGUAGGGCAGGAUCCGCCGUCAGCCAAACACCCAAAUACUUAAUAUGAUGAGCUAUAUGGAUGUGGUAUGUCUGGCCAACGUGUGCCAUGUCCGCUGACGAUAGGCCUAUAGGAAGGGCACUUGACUUGUUCAAGUUCACUUUGUAUCCUGCUAAUUUGCUGUAAGUCUCCAACACUCCUGUCAGUGCUGCCAUAGAUUCCUUAGGGCGUGUUAAGGUUAACAACACAUCUGCAAAGCCCGAAACUACAAAUUGCUGGCCUCCAACUGUUACCCCCCCGUAUGUCCGGGUUGGAUCUAAUGGCUUUUAAAAGUAGCCCCAAAGAGAGGACAAACAGCAGGGCUGAUUGGGGCACCCUUCUGGUGCCAUUACUCAGUUGAAAUGGUGCGACCUGUGCCCCAGAUAUCCGGAUCUGCGCCCUAACAUUGGUAUAGAUAGCUAAAAUUGCUACGAUGAACGGAUCAGAGAUGCCAAAAAUUCAAACAGAUAAGACCAUUUAAACAAGCGACAGGAUCAAUGAUGGUGUGUUAGUGGCAACCAGUCUCCAUAUGAUAUCCACGUUGUAUCCGGUAUUUGCGAAUAGUUGCCUGCUGAAAUAAACCCAACUUGAUCCGUGUUAAUCAAAUGCGUUAACAUGGGGUUCAAUCUGUUAGCAAGAAUUUUUGCCAAAACCUUAGAAUUUUGGUUUAUUAGGCAAAUUGGUCAAAAGUUUGCUGGUUUAGAGUCAUCCUUAUCAGGUUUCGCACCCGCUACAUUGGAAGAGGUUUCUGCUCUGCUCCAGUCCUCCCGCCCCACCACCUGCUCCCAAGAUCCAAUUCCCUAGCAUCUCAUCCGUACUCUGUCUUCUUCUCUUUCUCCACCUCUCACAAAAAUUCUCAAUCUCUCUCUCUCCUCUGGCAUAUUUCCAUUGCCCUUCAAACAUGCAACUGUAACCCCAAUUCUAAAGAAGCCCAAACUUGACCCUAACUCCCCAUCCAACUAUCGUCCUAUAUCGCUACUGCCUUUUGCAUCCAAGAUCCUUGAAAAAAUUGUGUAUGCGAGAUUGACAGACUUCCUCAAGUCCAACUCUCUGCUAGACCCGCUUAAGUAUUGUUUCCGCGCUAAGCACUCUGUGGAAACGGCACUGACCAAAGUAUCCAAUGAUCUACUCGCUGCAAAAUCUCGUGGUCACUACUCUAUCCUAAUUCUCCUUGACAUGUCUGCGGCUUUUGGCACUCUUGAUCAUCAACAGCUUCUUCUCAUCCUCCGCAUUAUCGGUCUACAAUAUAUUGCUCUCUCCUGGUGCUCCUCCUACCUCUCCCAGCGCUCUUUCAGUGUUUCUUUCUCUGGCUCUGCUUCUUCUCCCCAACUCCUCUCUGUUGGUGUCCCCCAAGGUUCAGUCCUUGGUCCCCUACUGUUCUCCAUCUAUACUGCCUCCCUUUGUAAACUCAUUAGCUCCUUUGGCUUCCAAUAUCAUUUCUAUGCAGAUGACACGCAAAUCUACCUGUCCUCUCCUGAUCUCUCCCCAUCCCUCUCGACUAGUGUCUCUGACUGCCUCUCUGCUGUUUCUAAGUGGAUGGCUGCCCACUUCCUUAAACUAAACUUGACCAAAACUGAAAUUCUGGUCAUUCCUCCCUCAAGUGUUGUUACUCCUGUGUCUGUCUCCCUCCAAGUCAACAGUGCUACCAUCAGCUCCACCAUGCAGGCUCGCUGCCUAGGUGUUCUCUUUGACUCCGACCUCUCCUUCAAGCCUCAUGUUCAAUCUAUUGCCAAAUCCUGUCAUUUCCAUCUCAAAAACAUUGCGCGCAUCCGCCCCUACUUAACGCCAGAUGCAACUAAGGUGUUGGUCCAUUCCACUGUCCUUUCUCGCCUUGACUACUGUAAUCCGCUUCUCAGUGGUCUUACGUGCUCCCAACUAGCGCCGUUACAGUCCAUAAUGAAUGCGGCGGCGAGGCUCAUCUUCCUGUCCGCCCGCACCUCCCAUGCCUCACCCUUCUGUCAGUCCCUACAUUGGCUUCCUAUAAAAUAUAGAGCUCAAUUUAAAAUUCUGGUUCUUGCCUUCAAAUCUCUACAUAAUGCUGCUCCCACCUAUCUAUCCUCCCUUAUACACAAGUAUGUCCCGUCUAGGCCCUUACGAUCUGCUGAAGACUUACAUCUAUCUUCUGUCCGUACUCCCACCUCUGAUAUUUGCCUUCAAGAUUUCUUGAGGGCUGCACCGUUCCUGUGGAACUCACUUCCCUCCUCUGUUAGAUGCUCACCCAGUCUCCACUCCUUCAAAAAAUCGUUAAAAACCCACUUCUUCAUAAAAGCGUAUGAAUUAAACUGUUAAUAGCUCCUGACUGAUUCCUCUUCUGCAACUGUCACUAGUCUAAUACUAUAUUUACUUUUUGUGUCAUUUUACCCCACUCCCUCUAGCAUGUAAGCUCAUUGAGCAGGGACCUCAACCCCUCUAUUCCUGUGUGUCCAACUUGUCUGGUUACAACUAUAUGUCUGUUCGUCCACCCAUUGUAAAGUGCCUCAGAAUUUGACGGCGCUCUAUAAAUAUCAUCAUAAUAAUAAUAAUAACACUAUAUUUGCCAGAGACAUGUCUAUCAGAUAUAACCACUUCCAUGGUCAUUAAACCAGGACUCUAAGUGGGGCGACAAUUUGUCGCGAAAUGUUUUGUAAUAACUGCCUUUGAAAUCCUAAAUAGGAGAUAUAUAAUACCAGCCUCAGGGAGUGCAAUCCUGCAGCUAUACUGCCCCCCACCCCCCCCAGCAGCCCCCACCAGGGAAAGGGAUGGGAAGGAAAGUAUAGGGCAAGAGGAAGUAGAGGAAAUAGGAAGACAAAAAAGAAACAAAGAAAAAAAAACAUUAACAACCUGGUCUUACCAAUAGCCAGACAUGGGUGGGGCACAUGUCCCAGCCACUCCCGAACACCAUCAGCUCUCUGGAGCCGCGGGGACAUAGACCAACACUAUGGUGCACCACAAAGGUGCCAACAUAUAAACCAUCUGUUACACAGACAUACCCUUACAAUUGGGAAUAGGUCAAAAACAUAUCCCAAGGCCCAAAGCCACCCCAUUUAGAAAAAAGAUCCCAGCCCCUCACCAUUAGAGUAACAAUAUGCGAUUAGAAUGAUCUUGUAGAGGAAAAAGAUUUUCAUAACAUUCUCAAGAGGCAGCAAUAACCCCCCCCCACUCCCAAUACCCAUGUCCAGUGCCCACCUAACAAUAAUAAAACAAGCUGGAGGAUGGAUACACCCGAAACAAUAACCAUAAGUGUGAGCUCCUCACACCAACCUGGGGUAAAAACCUGAACCACAAGGUCUGCCCCACCCUAUAGAACCCAGGUACGUGGUAAAAUAAUCUGAGCGCCCCAUUCGUUCGAGCAUGGCCGCCAUACCCAGGCAAGAAAAUUGUCAGCAGUGGUGCCUCUGGAAAUCACGGGCCAUACGCUGAUGACAAGGCAGGGGUAGUAGUGGGGAUCGUUGCCAGAACGGGGUGCAGUAAGGAACCAAGUGAAGGAAUGUCUCCCAUUUAUGACACACUGCCCCUAUAGUUAAAGCUCAGUGAGCAUACAGCCUGCCAUAUCAAACACAAGAAUUCAAAACGAAAAUAUAUGCGACCCCAGAAAAACAAAACCCAAUACCUCCCCCGUCAACCUUGCUGUAAUAUGUUUCGUGCGUGAUUUUUUUUAUUUUUAUUUUGUUUUCUCUCUCAUAUUUUUUCCUUUUUAAUUUUUAAAUUUUUUUUAGGAUCCUUCCUUUUUUUAUGUUGUGUUUUUUUUGCCUUUUUGUCAUUUUGUCCCCCCUUUUCUUUUAUUUACCUAGCGGAGGUGUCACUGCUACAAAAGUCUCCCAGAGGUAGAGGGUCCUGCGAAGUUUGCAGUUUUCUGAUAACGUUAGUAUGUUAUUUGUUGACAUUUUAUGCCUGCCCCAUGCUCAUGGUCGGCAAAAUAACACCAGAGUCCCGCUCCUUGCCCCCCCCAAGCACCCGCCACAACCCAAGAUCAACCGGCGCCCGCAAUGUCCCAGGAACAACAAAGCUUCUCCCAUCCAUGGGAAGUAAAACCCUAGCCCGCUCAAUCUUGGUAAGCAAUCCCACCCCAACCGUCACCCCAUAUGGGCAUAACAACCCAGGUAGCCGCUUCGGGCAGGUGGACGUUAACAAGCCCGUUGUGGGACAGACCCAAUUGGCCCACCACCCAACAAAGACAAAGCAGGUCCCCACCCCAGGUAGGCCCCCAGCGAGGCUAAUCCCUCGCAGCCAGCAGACUACGACAAAGGCCCCUCUGCCACCAGAUAUCACUCGCCCACGGAAUACCAAUCACGCGAGAGAGGGGAUGCAAUACCUCUGCCGAGGUGCUGGGGAAUGCCAAAUCCGUUGGAACCAUCCAGGUGUAAAACUCGGGUGCACCCAUCUUUGAACUGGGUGGACUCCACCCGUUGUUCCAACAGCGCCAUCCUCAUGCCCAAGGCCUGGAUCUCUGCUUUAACUUUGUUGGUGGUUCUGGCCAUCUCCAUGGCUAGGUAAGUAGCCAAGAUCUGCACCGUGUCAGCCACUGGAGUGCCUGGUGCAGCACUAUUCUCAGUGCUAGAUGGUGAUUGUGGUACCCUCGGGCUCGCCCUGCUACCAUUUUGGGAACCUGACCCCAUGGCUUGUGAGGCCAAGAACAGAUCAGAGACCGUAACAAACUGUUCCAGCUGCUUCUUGGGCUGUUUUUUCUGGGACCUCUUAUCCAUGCUGCGUCCCCCAGGUCAGUGUUAGAACCUGUCUAAAUGCAUUGCCGAAUCCUUGAGGUUAUGUCCACAUUCAGCAAUUAACUCCGCCCGCAUGAUGACGCGCGGCUUCCCUGCCAUAUAGGGAAGACUCGUCUAAGUCUAAUUACUUGGUGAUUUUGGCUUGUGAGGGGAAUGCUCAUCUAAGCUCCUGAUUCUCAUCAGUUGUUACUCGAAUUAACUUUGUUCCUGCUUUCUCAAAAACUCCUAAUUCAAAGAUUCAUCAUCUCUCAAGUAUUCUGGAAGGAAGGAUUAACUACUGAAGAUCUUCCUAAAAUCAAUCUGAAAUCAAAUAAGUAUCUCUUACUUUCUUUGAAGUAUCUCCUGCUUUCACCUUCUUGCUAACUAUUGCUGCAGGCUGCAAUUAACUCUUUAGUUCCAUCUCUACAAUUGACUCCUCAAUGUAUCAUUGAUAUUGAUUACUAAUCCUGCUACAAUACCUUCCAUGGACAUUGCUUAAUAUUGCUUAUUGCCUUUGGACAAUAUCACUAAUAGCAAGCCUGCUCUCUUUAACUAUUGGGGACUAAUUCUCAUCUAUUGUUGCUGCUUAUGUCAAACCUCUGCCGAGAUUGUUUACUUCUGCCUGCUUCUGCUUCAACACUAAUACUGUGGAAAUGAAUUGCUUUUGCUUGUUACAAUCUCUGCUGAAGAACUACAGAUCUUGCCUAUAUUGCCUGCUACUAUAUCUGCCAUUAAACCCGUGUACUACAUUGUAUUCUAAUUAUUCUAAUCCUGCAAAAAAUACUUAAAAUGCUUCUUUACGUCUGCAUAUUAUGCCAAUGACCUAAUGCUAUUUGUUUAAUUAUCUCUGCGAGACUGAGAGUUAAAGUCUCUCAAACUUUAUUUGGAUCAAAUUAAAGACUUCUAAUCCAAGAGGACAGGGAUGUAUUUACCCCAAGGCAAACAAGGCAUUUGCCUAGGGCGGCACUUCCAGGGGGGGCGCCAAAAAAAAACGCCACCCCAAGCUCCCAUACAAAUGCCUUGUUUGCCUUAUGUUCUGGGGCUGUCCACCUUAUGGUGAGUGAGUGUAGCUGUCAGUGUGUGUCUGUGAGUGAGUGAAAGUGUGUUUCUUUCAGUGAGAAUGGGUGUGCCUGUGAGUGUGUUUCAGUGUGUGUAUGUCAUUUUAUGUGUAUCUGAGAGUGUGUGCCUGUCAGUGUGUGUCUGUCAGUGAAAGUGUGUGUUGGUUAAAAAGUGUGUGCCAAUGACUGUGUAUCUGUCAGUGAGUGUAUAUCAGUGCAUGUAUCAAUGAGGCCAUGUGUCUGUCAGUCAAAAAAGUGGCCUUGACACGAAUUGGGGAGACAAAUUUAGAUUUUGGGGGUGCCCGAAUUUAGUCGUGCCUAGGGCAGCACAAAUCCAAAAUACAACACUGCAAGAGGAAUCAAUUUCUCCCUUUAAAUUCUUAAAGUCACAGUUACAAUGUAUUUCUGCAGUUGUGUUCCACAAAACUCUAAGUUCUCCUUUUUGAAAGUGGUAACAGUCAGAGAUCUGCAAAAUCCGUGAAAUAAAUGCUUAUGUUAGCUGUUGGCCUCGUGGAGCUUCACUCGGACACAUCCGGCUCGCUCCGACAACAGACCACGCCACCCACGAGAUCCUUUCUAAAGACAGUAGCUGGAGACAGUGAAGGCAGAGGUGAUGGUGUCUGCCUGGGAAAGAAAAAGAAGAGGCAAAUGUUCGGUAGAAGAUCCCAGAGAUCCCAGUCAAGCUUUGGUGACUGAGUCUAAAGCACUCCAGGCGGAGGUACUCAGUCAAAGUACAGGAGCUUAACUACCAAGGCAAACCUCUUAGGUGAACAGAUAUAGAGUAUAGGUACUCACUACGUACUUAAAAGUUAGAUAAAGGCUGCGGUUUAUCACACAAGUAUUCCCCAACCUUGUGAAAACACAAAAAUAGACAAAAACAGAAAAUAGAUAACCUGAGCUUUAAAAACUUUAAAUCUUUGGGUGAAAUCACACACAAGAUGUAUACCUCGUGUGUGAUUUCACCCAAAGAUUUAAACCUCUUAGGUGAGUGCAUAUUAACAAGUCCUCAAUGCUCUCAGCUAAAAAGGAAAAUCUCUAAAGAGGCAGAAAUUGGCAUUUUUAUUAACACCUACAACAACCCAUACAAUAAUUGUUAUUAUAUUUAGAUGUAAGUCAUGCAAUUUAGCUUGUUUCUGUGCCUACGUGUGCUUGUGAUGUAAACCCUGGACUCAAGCAAGACACUCUUUUUCACUUUUGGGAUGAAGGCUCCUGGAUCCUUUUGAGAGUAUCUCUUUUUUUGGUACUCAUUGUUGGUGAGCACCCUCUUUGAAAAGCACUGCAGGUAACUCAGUAACAUAAAAAAUGUAUAAUGUUAUAGAUGUGUGUUUAUAUUUAUUAUUAUUUAUUAUUAUGUACUAUUACACAAGUUAUUGCAUUUUGAAAUUAUCCGUAAUUGUUCAUUGCAAUUAUAUAGAAAUAAAUAAAAUAUAUACAUACAAAUGUACACGUGAAACUGAAUAUUUUAGAAUGUGUGUCAAAAAUGUUAAAAGCCUCAGAAAAUAUUAGGCAGAGUAAAAACAAAACAGCAUAUGAAAAUAGUUAACAAUUCCUGGAAAAAUAAAAACUUUGUACUCUAUGCUUGCUAAUCCUUCAGUAAUUUGCUUAAUGAUAGUACAGGCUGUGUUUUACACAAAAGUACAUAUAAAUAAUGUAAUUGUGCAAACAUUAUUUUAUCAACUUCAGUAAUAUUGGGAGAAUAAAUUAAAAAUAUAUUCACAUGCAAGUCUUUUAAAUUGAACCCAGAAUGUAAAACAAAACAGGAAAAAAACACAAUAUUGCUCACUUUGAUCCUGCAAAAGUUAAGAUGAACCAAUUUCCGAACUGCUGACUCACAGAGCUGUGAGUUCAUGUAUCAGUCUCCGAUCAUACAACAUUAAAGCCACUGACAGAUAAGUGAAUAACUUUGAUUAUAUAAUUACAAUGGCAGCUGUUAAUCGGUGGAAUAUAGUAAGCAGCAAGUGAACAGACAGUUACUGAUUUUCAUAUGUUGGGGCAGGUAAAAUAGGCAAGUGAAGAAAUCUGAGUGACUUUGGCAAGGACAAAUAGUGAUGGCUAGACAACUGGAUCACAGUAUCUUCAAAAUGGCAAGUCUUGUGGGGUGUUCCUGGUGUCCAGUGGUUAGCACGUACCAAAAUUUGUGUCAGGAACAACUGGGUCAUGGAUGCCCAAGUAUCAUUGAUGCAUGUGAAGAGAGAAGACCAGCUUGGCUGUUACAAUCACUCAGAAAAGCUAUUGUAGCUCAAAUUGCUCAAACACUUGCUGCUGGCCAUGAUAGCAAGGUGUCAGAACGCACAGUGCAUUAUUGUUUUCUGUGUAUGGGUCUGCAUGCGCAUGAUGACCCCAGUCCACUGUUGAGAGUACCUUCAAUGUGGACCUGAAUGUCAGAAGUGGACCAUGGAGCAAUGAAAGAAGGUUGCCUGGUCUGAUGAAUCAUUUUUUUUCUUUUAGAUCAGGGGGAAGGCCAGGCGUGUGUGCAUUGUUUACCUGAGGAAAAAAUGGCAGCCAGAUGCACUAUGGGAAGAAGGCAGGCCAGUGGAGGCAGUGUUAUGCUUUUGGCAAUGUUCUGCCGGGAAACCUUGGGUCCUUGAAUUCAUGUAGAUGUUACUUUGACACGUACCACCUAUCUAGCGAUUGUUGCUAACCACGUACACCCUGUCAUGGCAAUGGUGUUCCUUUAAGGCAGUGGCCUCUUUCAGUAGGAUAAUGCACCCUGCCACACUACAAAAAUUGUUCAGAAAUGGUAGAAGGAACAUGACAAAAAAUUUCCCAGAUCUCAAUCUGAUUGAACAUCUGUGGGAUGUGCGGGAAUAUAUAUCUGAUCCAUGGAGGCCCCACGUUGCAAUUUGCAGGAUCUGCUGCUAAUGUCUUGGUGCCAGACGCCACAGGAGGUCUUGUGGAGUCCAUGCCUCAUUGCAUCAGAACUGUUUUGGCAGCACGAGGGGAACUUAUACGAUAUUAGACAGGUGGUUUUAAUGUUGUGGCUGAUCAGUGAACAUGUAUAUAAACAAACAAAAUAAAUGGCACAGGACCAUAUGAUAUUAGGAAAUGUACUUGUCAGGGGUGGCGGUCCGUUGACCGGGACCCAGUAUGCCUGAUCUUGAUAGUAGGAGUCACUGGUGCAGGGUAAUCACACGCCCCCUGGUGUUGAUCACCAGUGUUUGUGCGGCCACAUACCAGGGCCCUGAUGCAGCUUCUGCGGAUCCCAGGUGCCAGAUGUCAAGAAAAAGACCUCCCAGGAUCUGAAUAGGGAGGCUCUGCAGCAGAUAUGUAUCCAGUACAGAAACAAGGUAAGACUAGAAUAGACACCAAACAAGAAAACAAGACAAAACUAGGAGAACCGAGAACCGGAGCAGGACAGAAAGCAGAACCCAGAACAUGUACACAAGACAUGAGGAAAACAAGAACAGGGCAGGACAGGACUGUACAUGAACUGGGAAUACAAGACAAAACAAGACAAGAGAUACAAGGCAAAACAAGAGGAGACAACUAAGUACUAUAUAUGUAAAACAUUGGUGAUUUAGACAUACAUAAAUGGCCAAGACGUAUGCAGCCCACCGCUGCGCCAAAGUACUCCAAUUAUGGUGAGUCCUAACUGCCUAGAUAUGCAUGACUAAAUAAACAAUAAUAAAACACACACAGCACUUACCUGCAAGAAAGGGGCAGAGGACUUGGAACAACUGCCUGCAGGAGCCAACUAAAACAAAAGGAUUAAUGGAAAAGGAAAGGGUGUGGCAACAUAAAACAAACAUUUAAAGGAAUCCAGGAGACUGGGAAUUCCAGGAACGGAAUAAAGGAAUGAACCCAGGAAACCCAGCAUAAAGAAAAUUAGACAUGGAUUAGAGAACCAGAAAAACUAAACAAGAAUUGUAAAAAGAGUACUGGAUACCAGAAGCCAAGGCCAGACAUCUCCGCAGAACAGAGCAGGAUGUGACAGUACUUCGCAAAUGCCAAGUUUUAUCAUUGACCUUUAAAUAAAUAGAAAUGCAUUCUUAAUUGCUGAAAUAAUACUUUGAGGGCACAGUCUUUCUUAAAAACAAACAAAAGAAAAACAUAUUUGCAUAAAAACACACAUAUUUGAUCAAUGAAUUGAUCCUUGGCAAUAUUAACUGUCUGAAAUGUCUUGCUUUUUCCAAACCAAAAAAAAUGAAUAAUAAGACUUUCAUGUUUUCUUCACUGAAAAUUCCCUGGCUCCUGGAGUAUGAUGAAGUCCAAUAUCCAAAAUUAUGGUCAGAUUUUCCAGGGAAUCCACCCUUGGAGAAAUAACCAGCAAUUUACUGAAAGCCACACAUUACACUUUACUGUAUUUUAUAAUAUUACUAACAUUGUCAUGGAUCAUAUACCGUACUAUAAAAAUGCAAUAUGGAAAACUUGAAGGGACACGCCAAGUGCAAUAAACACAUCUUGUUAUUGCAAUAAUUGUGAUGUAAUUUAGGCAAACGGUGCUUCACCAUCCAUCUCUUUUAGUAUUUGUUCAGUGUGAGCACUGCAGGAACAUGCAGGAGCCAUGCUUUGAAAGUGUGCGAAAAUAUAGAACUUAUUUUGGCCUGGGUCACAGCACUCUGAAAAAUAUGUUGGCAGAAUCGGCUUUCUUGGAUUCAGUGCUACAAACAUAUUUUUAACAUUUACGUUUCAGCUAUAUCUGCACCCAAAUCAAAAAUCUAUCUUUCUUCUUGUUCUUGGGUAGAACGUUGGCUUAAAGAUAGAGUACAACGAGUUGUCAUUAAUGGUACAUGUUCAGGCUGGACAAAAGUGGUAAGUGGGGUCCCUCAGGGUUCUGUUUUGGGACCGAUACUAUUCAACACAUUUAUAAAUGAUCUUUAAAUAAGCAUCAAAAGCCACGUUUCAGUAUUUGCAGAAUACACAUAACUCUGUAAAGUAAUACAAUGUGGAGAGGGAUUUAGAUAGAUUGGGGGACUGGGCACUUAAAUGGCAGAUUAAAUUUAAUGUAGAUAAAAGCAAAGUUGUGCACUUCGGAAGUAGGCAACAAUGUGCAAUGUUAAUCGGCAGUUGCUGAGGCCUAUAAGGUAUUGUCAUGUAUAAACAGGGGCAUUAAUUCUCGUGAUGAAAAUAUAAUUUUGCUUCUUUAUAAUUCAACAGUAAGAGCACAUCUCAAACAUGCUGUGCACUUUUGGGCACCUGUUUUAAAGAAGGAUAUUGGGGCAGUAAAAAAUGCAGAGGCUGGCUACAAAAUUAAUAAAAUAAUUGGAACAUUUAAAUCUGUUUUCUUCAGAAAAAUGGUGCCUCAGAAGGGAUAUGAUAGCAUUGUACAUAUAUAUCAGGGCCAAUACAAACCAUAUCUAUCCAUAGAAAGAACUAUAUAUAAAACACAAGGUCACAAAUUGAGAUUAGAAGAAAGGACAUUUAGUCUAAAGCAAAUGAAAGCAUUUUGUUGCACCCAAGUGCAACAAAAUGGGUUUCACCUUUUGUGAUCACAGAGUGACUAAUGUAUUGUGAUUAGAUAUGAUGUUAAGCUAUGUUGCUAUUUAUGUAUUUUAUGUAUCUUUUUUAUAUACAUUUCCUAUGAAUUGUGAGGGUAUAGACAUUUGUGCAUGUGCCCAUUAUGUAAAGAUGCACUUUAUAUAUAAUUUAAGAUUUCUCAUAAGUGUAAAGAAUUUUUUAUUCACAUAAAAUAAGUAAUUAGUGGAUAUAUGUGCAUGUUUCUGCAUCCAUAGAUUCUAUUGUAAAAUGAUCGAAAUUAUUGUAAUAAUCUUAUUAAUGUGGUGCCAUCCAGAGUUUUUUUAAUAGUAUUUCCUCCCCCCCCCUCUGUUUAUUCAUCUACCCACACACGUUCGAAGUCACUAUAAUAAUGAAGGAAAUUAAAAUAAACGACCGCGAUCCACUUCCGGGUUCGUGGAACGCAAGAUGGAACACAAACGGCGCACGUGAUGACGUCAUCCGGUUUUAAACACACAGAAAAUACCGCCAAAACGGAAGUUGAACACCAGCUGGAAAUCAUUGAAUAAUUAAUGGGGGAUGUAUAAUAGAAUUGUGGGAGGGAUAGUUUUUAUUGCUGCUGCUAUUACUGUUGUAUUUGUUUUCACCAAGUCCCUGAGGAAGUCCAAUUGAAGGACGAAACGCGUAGGACGUUCUUAUGGUGACAUGCUAUCUGUUUUAUGCCUAAAUGUAAGCUAUUAAAAUAUUUUUUUAUUAUACUCUGGAAGUGCACUACAUUUUUGUAUAUAUUUUUCUCUUUUGAGCCAUAUAUACUAAUUCGCUGAUGGAAGUGUGAGGAGGGACAACACAGUGGAUACUGAAGAAAAAGAUAUUAUUCAAGGCUGCUUUUACAUCAGAUAAUUUGUGAGUGACCAAUUGUGAUUGCACACUAUUAUUAGUCCCUACACAGAUAAACGCUAUGUUCUUUUAUUUUAUUUGUAUUUAGCAGACUAUCCCCUAUUCUAUUUGUAUACAUUUGCUGAAGACAAGAGGAAGUCUUUGGGGAUUUACCUGGAUAUUUCACCUAAAUACAGGGAAGUCCUGGUUUGCUUUAAAUUGUAUAUAUUUCUCACUGGGGUUGUGUUCACAUAUUUUGUUGCCUGUGUGUGUCUGUGUGUGUGUGUGUCUGUCUGUCUGCCUGUGUGUGUGUUUGUGUGUGUGUAUGACUGUCUGCCUGUGUGUGUCUGUGUGUGUGUGUCUGUCUGUCUGCCUGUGUGUGUGUUUGUGUGUGUGUAUGACUGUCUGCCUGUGUGUGUGUGUGUGUAUGACUGGUUUCCUGUGUGUGUGUGUGUGGCUGUCUGCCUGUGUGUGUGACUGUCUGCCUGUGUGUGUAUGGCCGCCUGCCUUUGUGUGUGUCUGUGUGUGUGUCUGUCUGCCUGUGUGUGUAUGUGUGUGGCUGUCUGUGUGUGUGUCUGUCUGCCUGUGUGUGUAUAUGUGUGGCUGCCAGUGUGUGUGGCUGUCUGCCUGUGUGUGUGUGGCUGUCUGUGGCUGUGUGUGUGUGUGUGUGUGUGUGUGUGUGUGUGUGUCUGCAUGUAAGUGUGUGUGUGUGUAAGACUGUAUGUGAGGGCUGUGUGUGUGUGUGUGUGGAGCUGUGUGUGUGGCUGUGUGUGUGUCUGUCUGCCUGUGUGUGUAUGUGUGGCUGGCUGUCUGUGUGUGUGUGGCUUGUCUGUCUGCCUGUGUGUGUAUGUGUGUGUGCCAGUGUGUGUGGCUGUCUGCCUGUGUGUGUAUGGCUGUCUGCGUGUGUGUGUGUGUGUGUGUGUGUGUGUGUGACUGUCUGCAUGUAGGUAUGUGUGUGUAAGACUGUAUGUGUGUGAGGCUGUGUGUGUGUGUGUGUGUGUGUAAAACUGUAUGUGUGGCUGUGUGUGUGUGUGUGUGGCUGUCUGCCUGUGCGUGCGUGUGUGUGUGUGCGUGUGGCUGUCUGUCUGUAAUUGUGUGUGUGUGUGUGUCUGUCUGCCUGUAAUUGUGUGUGAGUGUGUUUAUCUACCUGUAACUGUGUAUGUGUGUUACUGCCCGUACCUGUGUGUUUCUGCCUUAUCCUGUGUAUGUGACUAUCUGCCUGCAAUUUUGUGCAUGUGGUGGAUUUGACAGUGUAUAUGUAUAACUGUGUGCAUCUGACUGUGGGACUGUGUGCACAUAACUCUGCAAAAAUAUACACCUGCUUUCACACACAGGCCUAAAUGCAUGUUAUUAUCUGAAUUAAAUAACCAUCACACACAGCCAAUAAACCCAGCACAAAUAUCACAUACAACCAAUACAUGCAUAUCACAAUCUGUUAAUAAACCCAUUACAGAUAUCACACACAGGACACAGCCAACACAUAGCAUACAUAUCACACACAGUCAUCACACCUAUCACAUACACAGACAACACAAAAUUACAUCAUACAUGGAUGAUGGGGGGGGGAGGGAGCGCUGUGAAGAUUUUUCGCACAGGGCGCCUAAAGGCCUAAGGCCGGCCCUGACUGCAUACACACACUACUCAAACACUACAUACAAUAAACACACAUACAUGUGUGUCUGUGUAUCUGUAUGUGUAUCUGUAUAUGUGUAUCUGUAUGUGUGUGUGUUUGUAUCUGUAUGUGUGUCUCUAUCUUUAUGUGUGUCAGUGUUUGUCUGUAUCUGUGCUUGACUGUGUUUCUGUCAGGGUAGUGGUCCGGUGCCCGGGACCCAGACACUGUCCAGGCGGCGGUGCAAGGACAGGGACCCUAUAUGUCUGAUGUUCAAAGUAGGAGUCACUGUGUGGAGGUGGAUUAGCAGGGUCUGGUGCAGGGUAACCGCAUGCCCCCUUGGUGUUGAGCACCAGCAUUUGUGCGGCCACAUACCAAGACCUGCAUCAGCUGGAACUAGGAGCAGGAAUUAAGCAGACCUCCCAGAGCUGAAUAGGGAGGCUCUGCAGCAAGAAUGUAUCCAGUACAGAAUCAAGGAAAGACUAGGAAAGGCACCAAACAUGAAAAACUAGACAGAACUAAUAGAACCCAGAACCGGAGAAGGAUAGGAAGUUAAACCCAGAGCAUGUACACAAUACAUAAGGGAAACAUUGACAUAACAUGGGCAGGACAGGACUGUACAUGGACUGGGAAUACAAACUAAAACAAGACAAGAUAUGAUAGGUAAAACAAGAGGAGAAAUAACUAAGUACUAUAUAUGAAAAUCAUGGGGAUUUAGUCACAUUAUAUGAUCAUACAUUGCAUAAGCCUGCCAAUGUACCCCAUAUCUGGCAGGUCCUAAGCUGCCUAAUGCAAACUAAACCUACCAAAGAAAACACACAUAGUCCUUACCUGCAAGAAAGGGCUGAAUACUUGAGCAGCUGCCUGCAGAAACACUGAAACAAAAAGGAAUGAUAGAAAACAAACGGGUGUGGCAACAUAAAACAAACAUUUAAAUAAAUCCAAGAGCCUGGAAAAUCCAGGAACGGAAUACAGGAAUGAACCCAGAGAAACCCAGCUUAAAGAAAACCAGACAUAGAAUAGAAAACCAAAAAAAACAAGAAAAACAAAACAAGAAUUGUAAAAAGAGUACUGGAUAUCAGAAGCCAUAGCCAGAAUGAUCUGCAGCUAGGAACAUGAUGUGACAGUUUCUAUGUAUCUGCAUGUGUAUACCUAUGUGUUUGUAUCUGCAUGUGUGCCAGUGUGUGCAUAUGUGAGUAUAUGUGUAUAUGUGCAUACAUCUCAGCAUUUUGCCAACACUACACACAAAUACACCCCUGUAUCCAAAUAUCAACACUACAUAAAACACACCACAUAUUCAAAAAACACUACACAAAAAUGCACGCCUGCAUUCAAAUGCCAACACUACAUGCAAACACACCCCUACAUUCACUCACACAUACUUCAUACAAAAACAUGCUUAUAUUCAAACACAAACACUGCUCAGUGCUAAAUACAUUUAUUCUUUUUAAAUAAAUGUGUUUUUUUACUUUAAAAUAAUAUCUGCCCUGGGUGCCAAAUGCUCCAGGUACGCCCCUGACCUUUGGAAUAUUCAUAUAGUUCAAUGAGUUUGUUUUUCUUAACCAGGAAUAGUAAAAGUAUGCUUUAAAUUGUAUUCCUAGUUAAUCUUGUUGUUAAUGCAUACAGUUAGUAAUUAAUACCAUACAACCACAAAAAAAAUUAGAAACUGAAUAAAAAAAGUUGUAAAGAUUAACUUUACAUCUAAUUUUCCACAUUUGAACCCUAACAAUGAAAAAAAAAUAUUGACUAUAACUACUCUUCUGAUGUCGAGUAUUGUAGAUGAUAAUGAUAAGAAGCUAAUAUGUAAGCAGACUAGGUCAUGAAUUGUUGAGCAUUCAAAGGGAAAUUUGAGGCAAAACAUAAGCAAGCUGAAACAAUAACUAACUAUGAUAAUAUUCAGCCAAACUAUUAUACUGUGCAUUGCUGACUAAAAUCCAGUUUUGCCAGAUUGGCCUUAAAGGAAGACUUUGGGCACCAUAGCAACUUAAUUUAAAUAAAGUUGUUAUGGUGCCAAGAGGUUGCAGGGUGCUUUCCUAAAUGUUCUGAAAUGGUUUAACCCCAAAAGUUGCCUACAGUGCUGAACCUCCAACCGUCAGCUUAGGGCUUCUGAAAUUAACUCUCAGGAAGAACGGAGUGCGGUCGAGCAGGGGCAUUAAUGAUUUGGCUAGAGCAGUCAUCUGAUACUCGAAGCCAAUCAGUAGCUGCCCUUUGAUAAAAAAAGGUUUGUGUAUAAACAGUAGAUGGAUUGCACUCAGUGGACUUUUGUAUGAAGCAAUAUGUAAUCUUUAUCUACAUAUCAAGUAGGGCAAGUAAUUCAGCAGGGCAAUAAUUCAGCCUCUGCGCAUGGUAUCAAUAGUACCACAGUGCUCCCCCACAACAAACCCAACACCCUCCAGUAUGACUGUCUGGCAAAACCUCCUAGCACUGUGCAGCAAGCCACAUAGAUAAAAAAAAUAAUACAGAUAAUACCACAGUGAGCAACUGAUAAAAUGCCACGUAUGUAUUCGAGUAUCAUGUUGCUUUAUGGCCUUAAAACAUUCUAACAGUAGAAGCUUAAAGUGCAAUCCCAAAUUACAGGAGCUAAUUAAUAGUCACAAACAACAAGCAAUUUAGUAGAGGUGUCAUUGAGCUACUUAGAAUAUGAAUAAUUCAUUGUGAAUUGUAUCCCAACUUCCUGCUAAAUGUUUGAAAUGGACAUUUUCUCAACUAUGAAGUUAAAUAGUAAACCAAACUACCUGGAGACUAACUGUUGAUAUAACAAGAGGUAUGUAAAUGCCUAGUGACAGGCAGAGUGGCUGAAAAAGGCUUGAAUUAAAGUAAUGAAAUGAAGCCCGAAUGUACUGACUCACAAUGACUAUGUAACGUGGCUGAAUGUAGGCUGAAUGUACUGACUCACAAUGACUAUGUAACGUGGCUGAAUGUAGGCUGAAUGUACUGACUCACAAUGACUAUGUAACAUGGCUGAAUGUAGGCUGAAUGUACUGACUCACAAUGACUAUGUAACGUGGCUGAAUGUAGGGCGAAUGUACUGACUCACAAUGGCUAUGUAACGUGGCUGAAUGUAGGGUGAAUGUACUGACUCACAAUGACUAUGUAACGUGGCUGAAUGUAGGGCGAAUGUACUGACUCACAAUGACUAUGUAACGUGGCUGAAUGUAGGCUGAAUGUACUGACUCACAAUGACUAUGUAACGUGGCUGAAUGUAGGGUGAAUGUACUGACUCACAAUGACUAUGUAACGUGGCUGAAUGUAGGCUGAAUGGACUGACUCACAAUGACUAUGUAACGUGGCUGAAUGUAGGCUGAAUGGACUGACUCACAAUGACUAUGUAACGUGGCUGAAUGUAGGGUGAAUGUACUGACUCACAAUGAAUAUGUAACGUGGCUGAAUGUAGGGUGAAUGUAGGGUGAAUGACUAUGUAACGUGGCUGAAUGUAGGCUGAAUGUACUGACUCACAAUGACUAUGUAACGUGGCUGAAUGUAGGGCGAAUGUACUGACUCACAAUGACUAUGUAACGUGGCUGAAUGUAGGCUGAAUGGACUGACUCACAAUGACUAUGUAACGUGGCUGAAUGUAGGGUGAAUGACUAUGUAACGUGGCUGAAUGUAGGCUGAAUGUACUGACUCACAAUGACUAUGUAACGUGGCUGAAUGUAGGGCGAAUGUACUGACUCACAAUGACUAUGUAACGUGGCUGAAUGUAGGCUGAAUGGACUGACUCACAAUGACUAUGUAACAUGGCUGAAUGUAGGCUGAAUGGACUGACUCACAAUGACUAUGUAACGUGGCUGAAUGUAGGGUGAAUGUACUGACUCACAAUGACUAUGUAACGUGGCUGAAUGUAGGGCGAAUGUACUGACUCACAAUGACUAUGUAACGUGGCUGAAUGUAGGCUGAAUGUACUGACUCACAAUGACUAUGUAACGUGGCUGAAUGUAGGCUGAAUGUACUGACUCACAAUGACUAUGUAACGUUGCUGAAUGUAGGCUGAAUGUACUGACUCACAAUGACUAUGUAACGUGGCUGAAUGUAGGGCGAAUGUACUGACUCACAAUGACUAUGUAACGUGGCUGAAUGUAGAGUGAAUGUACUGACUCACAAUGACUAUGUAACGUGGCUGAAUGUAGGGUGAAUGGACUCAACCAAAGUGAAAAUGGAGCUUCAGUGCCAGGAGCCAACGUCACUCCUGUACUCUCGCACAGUACAGCAUUGAGGUCUAUCCUGCAAGACCACAGGUUCCUCCAUAGAAAGAGACGAUUCCCAUCAGUUGUCACUGGUGACAGCAGGGGGAUUGACCCUUCUACACAGCUGUAAGUUCACCUAGUAUCUAGAAGUGUCAGACAUCGGAAAAAACUGAGACAAAGUGAAGACCCUACUGUCUCAGUAUUCCUUUUGACUUAGCAUGAACUUCAGUUAAAUUACAACACAGUCAAUAUGAAUAUUUCAUAAAGAUUUUGUAUUUAUGACAUACGCAUGUUGUGUGGGGGAGGGAGGGGGAGGGUGGGGUGACAGUGCAGCUUAAAUUUACGUUUUUUGAUUUUCCCAGGAAGUAUUUAGAGAUACAAAAAGUACACAUGUAAUAGGAGACAUGCAUUAACUGUGAAUUCAGUAGUUUUUUGAUUGAAGUUAGAAGUCAGAUGCAGAUAUUUUUUAGGAAUGAUUUGAGAUUUAAGAUUCUCCGGCUAUAUGAGAAUCUGUUCCGCCUGCCUCAUUUUUGAGAUAAACUAUAAAAGUUAUCAAAACAGAAGGCAUGGGGGGUGAAGGUAGCAGGAAUACUUCUCAGGUAGCGUGGGAGGUUUUCUGAGAAGCGGUUAGGAACCAGACAAGAAAGAUGAAGAAUAUGUUUGGGUUCCAUAGAGUCCUGCUUAAAGCUUGACUUUUCAUUUCAUUCAGUGGGGACUUGGAAGCUAUUUUGGAGAUUUGAAAGUCAAUCCAUAUUUAAUUCUUUAAUGAAAAUUAUAGCUAAACUCACAAUCCUCUCCAAAGGAAUUUAGCAAAAAAAAAAGCAGCAAUAACAGACUUCUUCAAAUAUUUACAUGAUAUGUAUUCUGCUAGCGAUCAAUGAUCAAAACUGCUAUAAAUACUAAGGGAUGUUCAAUGCUGAAAUCUCAUUGGUUACUUUCAUUGCAGUCUUCAAACAAAUCGUACAUUCAUUUUGAUUUAUUUUUUUUGAGUCGCGUCUGCCAGAUAAUUUCUGGAUGUUUAUCAAAAUGCUUCCUUUGAGAAAUGAAAGAAGGCUUUUUUUUUCAUUAUUCUGGCAAGGAAAUGGGUUUUAGCAUAGCAUGGCAGAGGAAUACUUUAUGCCAGAGCUAGAUCAGAGAGAAGCCUGAAGGUAGGUGUUCUGCAACCAACAAAUGGCAAGUUAUUUAUAUUAUUAGAAGCAGAGAUUUAUGCCAACUUGUUCAGCAGGAAUGUAGGAUGCACAAACUGGUAAAACAAGGAAUUGUUGACAUUAUUCAAUUUAUUGAUACUGCAUUAUGCCAACAUAUUCCGCUGUUCUUAGAAUGUUCUGCAGCAUGAUGUUCUUGUAUUUUAGUAAUCCAUUUUCAUUGCGUGUUAUUUUUUUCCAGAAACGUUUCUUAAAAGUAAAAAAAAAAAAAGUUUAUUUCCUUAUAGUGUUCCUUUAAUUAUUGUUGCAAUGAUUUUAUAGCUAAAUAUACCUCCACCACUUUCCUGUUCUGGUCCACACAUCAGAAGCUAGGUUUUUGGUUAGUAAGCAUCACAGUUACUAAACAAAGCACAUGUUGUGAUGGGAUAACUUCAGUUAGGACUAAACAUUGGAGAAAGUGAUGGUGAUUUUUCCCCAUACCUUCUGGUUUCUAUAAUGGUAUCAGAAGAAGGUUGCCUGGGUGAAUGUUAGUGAAUGCAAUCACUUGUUUUUUUUGGAAUUCAGCAUACUCGGGAACAUUAGUGGUCUGGAAAUAGAAUUCGAAUACUGACUUGCCUGGUCGGAAAACACUCAGUAUGUAAAAGAAAAAAGAGAAAUGGACCAUUUGCAUUCCAACAAUGACAGAGGCCCAGCAGAGUACAAAACAUCAAUUCCCUUUAUUAUAAAAUAUAAUACAAUAUUAAAAUGCAAAAGAAAAAAUACAAGUGUGAAUUUUGGUGGCAAAUUUCAACUUAGUUUUAGUCAUAGUCUUUUGACUAAGAAGCCAUUUUAGUUUUAGACGUAUUUUGGUCAUGUGAAUUGUUUUAGUCCAGUUUUAGUCGACUAAAUCUCAAAAAUUUUAGUCGACUAAAAUCUGACUAAAAUUGUUAGUCGACAAAAUUAACACUGCAAGUAAAUAGUAAAGGUUCAAGUCAUGCUCUACAAAAAGGGGAGGACAUUCAGAACAGAACACAUAUCUAAAUAGGUUGAUGUGCUUCUUGUCUAACCCAGACACUUUCCCAACAGCUAAAAACUGAGUAAGAAAAGAGGGAACCCUCAAACAGAAGGUUUACCACCAAACUUUAUCUUAAUAAAAAAUCUAAAUGUAAUUAUACCUAAUGAUAGGCAUGCAUCCCACACAGUGUGUAUGUUAACCCAAAUUCUGAUUACCGUAUAGGUCCUGAAUGAAGAUACCAUAGAGAUCUGUAACAGUCACCAGGAUUGUUUUUAGUUUUGGGUGAUAAGCUGUGGUUUAUUUAUGCAGGCUAGGUGUCCGUGAGGCCCUGCGGUAUGGUAGGCUGUUGUUGAGCUUGCAGCCAUAGAGAUAUUAGCAUGUAGGAAGACAGCCUUUGGAACCUAGUUAGGAGACUUUAUUGCAUGUAUAUACAACCCUUACAUGUUGAGGAAGUUACGUUGAUUUAACAUUCACUCACAACGCCCUUGGAGAAUCUCUUAAGCUACAGUCUAUGGUUAAUAUGGACAGACACACUAGGUAGCCAGGAAAUGACAUAUUAGUCGAUUCCUGUCUUCUGAACUUGUGGUUCUUCUAGCUGGCCAGAGCGGGUGACCUGUUUAUUACCUGUUCUAAAAACUGAGAUUUUUGACAAGCACAGGUGUAGGAAGUACACAUAGAUUUGAUGAAGUUAUAGUGAGUGGUACUAUGCGGCUCUUAUUUUGCUAAAAAUCCCACAGGGAGAUACAUUGUAUCUCUAGCUUUAUUGGUAUACUUAGUUACAAUAUGACAAGGGGAUACAUAGUAGCCCUCUCUAUUACUAGCCAAACUAGGCUAAUUUGGUUUUACAUGCAUUGUGCAGGUUGUACAUUUUUACUUUUUAUUAGGUGAUAAUUAGAGGAAAACCCUCUAUUUUAAGGGUUUCAUAUUAUCUUUUUCAGUUUUUAAGUAUUGUUUUUAUGGAUGCAAUUGUCUCUCAUGGCCAGUUCUGAAGUGUAUUUUCUGCUUCUAAAUACAGAAGUAAUUUCUCAACAUUUAAAUAGUUUUGUGUUUUUUCCCAAUCAAUCAUUUGUGUCACCGUCCAUCUCUGCCUUUUCUCGAGGACUUCCUCCUACGUGUGCCAUAUGGAAACACAUUUAAUUCAGAUGAUAACCUGAUGUCCCCUCUUUGUCAUACAUUCUGCCUCUCGAACCUGGACUUCAUUUUGAUGAGAUUCUUUUCUUAUGUCCCCUUACACUAUCUCAAAUGCUUAGCCAGACAGCCAGGCUGUCAGCAUUCUGAUAAAGUCGACGGCUUCUAACAAUCUUUUGUAGUGGUUGCGUUAGUGCAUACACGAGGUGCAUCCCCAGUAUUUUUCAUGGACUGGGGAGAACAGGUCCCAUAGCAAUAUUUGUGGUCUAUAGAUUUUAUAACUGACCGCAUGGUUAUAGUUAUGAAUGAGACAUUCUUGAUAACUAAGGAAAACACUGCAAGUUCUAGUCAAGGUUAGGGCUGUGAGAUAUUAGGAAGACAGUAAUAUUUGCUACAAGCUAUACUCUAGCUUUUAAAUUACUGGAGUACCAGCUGCACCUCUAACACCCUCAACAAAACAACGAGUGUGCGUCCUCUUCUCAUUAAUAUAGAUAGUUCAAUGUUCAGGUUUCUUCUUCAACCAUACAGCAAGAAGUGAUUCCAAAAAAAUAAAGCACGGGGUGUUCCUCAGGACCACCUACUAAAGAAUGUGUGUUACCUUUCUUUUAACUUCUCUCCUUUUAUUUGAUUUGGACUCCACUCUCAGCAGUGCCCACCCAUUUAUUUUUCUAAAAAGUGAGUAUACACAGGAGAGUGAGCAGAUAAAACAUAUUUGGCAUUGUUUUAAAUGGGUGAAUUAAAGGGAGUACAGUCCCCAUAAACAACUGAACGGAACUCUCAAUCACCCCAUCCAACACUCCAUUGGUUUGAGGUGGGUUAUCUAGCAGGACAAGCGGUUGUGCCUCUUGUUUAUCCAUGCAUGGUUCCAAAAUUCUAAAACCACAGCUAUGCAGAAAAUUGUUAGAAGGGAUUACACCACUUUUAUAUAUAACCCUCGUGUUUACAUGUUUCUAAUAGAUUCACUGAAAGGCUGAACGUCAGAGUUAUAUCAGAGAACAUUUCAUUCUUUAAUCUCUUUUUGUGAUAUCCUAAAGGGAGUUCCCUUUUGGUGGUGACUAGCAAAUUGCUUUGGUUUCCUGAUGCAAAGUGCACAAUUUAAAGGCAUUACUGCAGCUUAUAACUAAAAUGUCAGCUGUAAAUAGUUCAUUCUUUCAGAAAAAGAAUAUAUUUUUUUAUAUAUAUUCUUCAAAUCGUGCAAACAGUGGUUUUAUUAAAUCUUCCAAAUUUCAGCUGUGUUACAAAUCAAAUUGACGUUUCGACCCGUUCGGGUCUUUAUCAAGAUCUUGAAACAUCGGUUUGAUUUGUAACACAGCUGAAAUUGGGAAGAUUAAAUAAAAACACUAUUUGCACGAUUUGAAGACCUGUGAGUGCUCCCUUAUGGUUGUUGCAUAUAUUGAACGCGGGAUUGCACCCAGGUGGAUUUCCUAUUUUAUUUUAUGUUUGUUGGUGGAGUGCCAAGUUGCUCUUAUUUUGUCCAUGACAAAAAAAUUCACAAAAGACAAAGAAGAUGUCAAUAAAAAAGUUAAAGAAAAUAUUGCAUGACUAUACCAUGAGACUCGCAGGUCUCCAUCGUAAGAUAAAACCCAUUGGUCUCACAGGACCAUGUGAUAUGAUCAAUAACAUUAGCAUUGAAAAUGGAGUGUAAUAAUAAAGAUUUACUAUGAAUUGCAGGUCUUAGCACAUCAACAAUCAUAUAAAAUUUAAUUCAGACGCAGUUAUGACAUCAAUGUCCAUUUGUUAAGGACAAAAUACUACUUGUGGAUAUUAUCGGUGAUGUCCUAGGCAUAUUAGUUGAGGGGCCUAACCCUAUUUGGUUGAUGGGUAACUAUAAGUUAGGUAUCAAACAUUGGAGAGCCAUAAUAUUUAUGUUUUCCUUGGGGGUUCAUACAUUAAAGCAAAAAGCCUAGUGCCCAUCCCUAAGCUCUUCUCCAGUUACUCAUUUGCUGCCUUUCAAAUUGAACAAGCGCCCAUCUCAAUGGAAGAGCGAACGUUAGGACUGCCUCUCCCACCCAUUAAAGAAAGUCCAACCUAUGGACCUUGUCGCUAACAUACUUAGUGUAGAAACCAGGUUGCACCCUGUGUGCAUGUCUCUCUGGAGAGCCAAUAACCAGUAAAAAGGGCUAACAGCAGCGACCCAUAGUCCUCAUGAUAAAAAGUAGCCAUAGAACAGGAAUGAGAAAAGGAAUGAGAAAGUAUAUGGACACCCAUCACUGUCCCCUCCCCCGGAUGAGACUAAACAGUGGGAGCAUUUCCAACCUGCAGGACACGUUUAGAAAUAAAAAAUUCAAACCAGAGGUAACAUAUCUCUGCAUAUGCAAAAGAGAGAAUAGGAGACCUAUAGUGCAGUAUUGUAAGUUUAUGGACUAUAGACAACGUAGAACUAAAAAUUGCCAACUCACGUUUUUCAGAGCUAUAACCAGCUCUUGGUAAAACAGCUUACAGUGGUAUUUCAACUCCCUACUUGUAGGAUAUCCCUCAUACAGUAGUUGUAGUAUAGUUUACAUACAAUUAAAGAAAAAGAAGGCUUAUAGUGCUCUCCAUAUUUGCAAAUAAAUAGUAGUAAAAUUAAAUAUACUUAGAAUUUUGGGAGCAGACAAACUGCUCUAUGGAAACAGCGUGGGUGGAACAAUCCCCAGCUAGGAUACUUUUGAAAAUGGACCUGAUGUGUAUGGAAAAUAGGUUGCGCCAGGUACAAAUAAAAUAAAAUAAAAAACUAAAUAAAAGUAUAAAAAGACUGCCCCAAAGCAAAUAUAUAGUCUAAAAAUCUUACUUUUAUUUAAACAAAUAUUAAUAAAAUCACUUGAUUUUUUUUAAUAUUAAUAUGAUUUUAUUAAUAUGAUUUUAUUAAUAUUUGUUUAAAUAAAAGUAAGAUUUUUAGACUACCUAUUUGCUUUGGAAAAUAAGGAUCGGGCCGCUUUCUUUUUGUAUUUAAGAAGAAUAAAUAAAAUACUGGUACUGGAUUGGAGGUUAUAGGAGGUGGGAACAGCUGGGGAGAGCAUUCUGCUCAGGUAGGGUAGAAAAGCUCUUAAACACAAGGCUGGAUAGAUGAAGGGUUCUUCUGGAUUCCAGCGAUAGCCAGUUUAGCUCUUUUAGCAUUUCACAAUAUUUGGUAAAGUAAUUACUUUGUAACACAAAGUGGCCGAACGAGUAAUACAAUGUAUUAUUACAUUAUUAAGGUGGGUUUGCUGUGCAGGUGCAUAUACUACAUCCCCAUAAUCUAUGAUUGGCAUCAGCAUUUGCUGUAAAAUUGUUUCCUUUACUGUGGGGCACAGGCAGGAUUUGUUUCUGUACAGGGUACCUAGUUUUGGAUAGAGUUUUGAUGAGAGUUUUUCUGUGUGGAGGCCAAAAGAUAGAUUGAAGUCUAACAACAUACCCAAGUACUUGAAAGAGUCAGUAUUUGAUUUGAUUUUGUUUUGAUGCAUUGAUAGGAAUUUUUUUAAUUUAGGUAAUUUAGAUACUGUUCAGAAGAGCAUUGAGACAGUGUUGUUAUUGUUAUGAAUGAGAAAGAGUUUGUUUUUUGCGAUUUAGUUUUCUACAUCUGAGAACUGGUCUUGGAGCACAACCUCAAGUUGCAGUAGAUUGAAUUUGCUUGCAUAGAUUAAGGUGUCAUCGGCGUACAUGUGUAGAUUUGAGGCUUUGCAGACAUUAAGCAGAUCAUUUUUAAAUAAUGUGAAUAGUAGGGGGCCGAGAAUGGAACCUUGGGGAACACCACACGUAAAUGGGAGAGGGAGGGAGUCGCUGUCAGAAAUGGGCACAUAUUGCAAUCGAUCCAACAUAUAUGAUCGAAACCAGGUUAGCGGACGAUCACCAAUACCUGACUUUUUACAGUAGAAUGUUGUGGUCUAAUGUGUCAAAGGCCUUGGCAAAAUCAAGAAAAAAAUAGCUCCAGUUAGGUCUCUUUGUUCCAUGCCAGUUUGGAUGUCAUUGCAAACUUUAAAGAGGGCAGUUGAGUGAUUCAGACGGAAGCCUGAUUGAUCAGGGGUCAGAUAGUUUAAUUGUUGGUAGUACUCACAUAGUUGCGUGUGGACGCAUUUUUCCAAGAUUUUUGACAAUACAGGGAGCAAUGAUAUUGGGCGAUAGAUACCAAAGUUUUGUCACCACUUUUAUGGAUAGGCACUACUCUUGCAGUCUUUCAAAGUUUGGGUAUGUAUCCAGAUACCAAGGAUUCAUUAAUUGUGGUUGUGGCAGGUUUAGCAAUUGCCGGCGCACUGAGCUUCAACAACAGUGCUGGGAUAUGAUCAGGUCCAGACUGAAUUUCUCCCAUGGUAUCUGUUGGAAUUCUUUUCCUCUACCUUUUUCACCAUCAGAAAUUGAAUGGUCAUGGAGGAGGUGCCUCAAACACUGCUUCUGACCCUAAGAUCCUGCGAAGCUCGAUGUUCUGAGGAGGCGACUUGAUGCUAGGGAGGUAGGUAAAGCAUUUAACAUCCAAUGGCAUAGUUGAUAAAUUACAUGGAAUUUGAUUAAAGCUCUGCUUUUCAAUUUUUGUCAACAUGCCAUUUAUACAAAAGAAAAAGUAUUUCUUUAUUUUUCCUUACGUAUAACUUUGAAAAACAAAACAAAACUCAGCUGCCCAAGGAACAAAAUUAAAUGUAGUUCAGGAUAAAAAAAUAAGGUGACAGAGCCACUUCAAGGGUCAACCCUACCUGAAUGUCUAUUUUUGCUCACCCUGCAAUUUUAUAAGGUAGUCCCAUGAUCCUUUGCUAUAAUCGUGCCAGCUCAUUAUUUGCAUACAAUAUAUUGAUCUAAUCCAUAGACAGUCCUGCGGUAUACACAAUAAUAAACAAAACAAACAAAAUAAAUCAAGGACUAUAUUUUGUAUUGUUAUAUAUUCUCCAUAUGUUUGAGGGGAAACUGGUCUAGUUAUAGAUGUCAACAGUAAUCUAGUCUAACUUUAGACAGCAAUAAUAUGUUGCGGGCAAUGGCGGUGGUCAGCAGAGCUCUGGUUUUUGUCAUACUACUUAAAAUUGUUUUGACAAAAAACAGGGGAAUACCACACAAACACAUCUUGGACUAAAAAUGUGUUUAGGCUGAAUGCUGUGCCCCUUUAAUCAAAGAUAAAAAUGUAAAAUAAUGUAACAAUACAUUAUACAAACAAUACAGAGGAUUUGUGGGUCAUUAAACUUGUGUAAAGGCUUACCUGGGGUUGACAUCCAGAGUGCAAAGAUAAUGCUCAUUCUUGCAAAAUAUCAAAUCUUACAGUGACUAGUCAGGUAAAUCACCCGGAGAGUGAAUGUGUGCAUGGGGGCUGUGCAGUAGAGCAAAUCUGGAAGCCAUAAAUAGAUGUACAAAACAAGAGAGUCAGGCAGAGCGAUACUGGGCGAGUGUACGAGGUGCACAGGGCCAAGGAGUUCUGUAGAUAGAGAUUACUAUGAGGGGUGUGCGGUGGUAAGCUUUCCCCCCUCAUAUUAAGCCCUGCCACUCUUGUCAGGCUCUGACCUCACCUGAAAUGAUGCUGGGCACCAGAACUAGAGGAAAAGGUUACAAGCUGUCGAAGAUGGCACUGGUGAGCCAUUUGUGCACAAAUAUGGCACUGAUGAGUUAUUUUCAGACAAAGAUGGCGCUGAUUAGCAGUUUGAGGAUACAGAUGGCACUGGAAUGCUGUGUGGGGACAGAUAUGGCUCUGACAGCUGCAUGGGGACAGAGAUGACCUUGUGAAGCAGUGUGGGGACAGAGAUAGCCUUGACCAGUUGUGUGGAGACAAACAUGUUACUGGGAUGCUAUGCACAAAGGUGGUUCUGAUAAGCUUUUUGGGGACAAAGCUGGCACUGUAGGAAGUGGGUGACAUGUUACCUGGUGAUGUUGGGGGCCUGUAUGAGGUGUUAUGUUUGUGAAAGGUAGGAGUUAGCAAUAAAGCCACACACUCCUGAGGGCACUAAAAGUGGAGCUAGGAGUAGGCAGAAUGCUUCUAGAAAUGAUAACAACAAAUUGACCCUGAAGCUGAUAAGAGGCAGGACUUGAAAACUAGUAAAGGAGCCACAGAUGAGGCAAAUAGCUGCAGUUGAGACAGCAGGAGUCUAGCCCUCCUCCUCCUCUUCCCCCCUCCCAGAGACUCAGGCUCGGCUGCAAAACAGACUUAGACGUCAAACUCUAGUGGCCCACAGGUAGUGAAACUGACUGGAAACGAUCAGGACCAGAAUUCAAGUUCAGCCAGAUCUGGCACCUGCUGAGAUGGGGACAAACCUGUGCUCAUAAAAAGUUAAAUACAGUAAUCCAAAAAAGAAAUGCCAAAGUGAGCAAUGCCAGUAAAUUGACUCAUUUUAUUUUACAUUUUUAGAAACACAAGAGAUUUUUUUUGCGUAGUUGUGGAUGAAGACCGGUCACCUCACUGUGGGCUGAUUUACCUUUUAUAGUGCAUAAAUUAAAUUUUUUACUUAAAAGAAACAUUUAUAGAAAAAAAAAUGUCAAGUAAAUGAUGAAUCAUAUAUUUAGGGGACAUUAUUGUCUAGAGGUAGCAUGUAAUUUUGUAUUAACUUUAUUUAUAAAUGACAUUCUCAUUCUCAGAGACUAUAUUAUGUCCACCCUGUAUUUAUCUGCCUGCCUGUGUGUGUCAUAUCAUCUCGGCAUCGUAGAUCAUAAGGAGUUUUCUUUUUACUGAAUACCAAUUAACAAAACAUUUUGUGACAUGACUAACAAAAAACACACUGGCAGUUAUUUAAGGUCUUUCAAAUUUUAAAUAGCUCAGGUUAUUAUAGACAUAAAAUAUUCAUAUGACAAGCAAUUUUAGCUGUUGAUAUAAUACAUGACUUGGUUCAACCUUCUGCAUCCAGUUUUAUAGAUUUUCUUCUGCAAUUUCCUGGAAAUGAAUUAGGUUUAGGUAUCAACCCCUUCCCGACAUUAGGAUAUUCCUUGUCGUCCUCCACAAAGUGGGCUUUAACCAUUUUAGGACAGCAUGGAACAUCCUAAAGUUUUGGUAUGAGCAGGGUUAAAUCUCUGUCCACACCUGCGAGUACCAGGUAUCAAUCCCAGAGUCACAGGUAUCAAUCGCUACCCGGGGCUCCCCUCUGUAAGAUGAGGCCAUUUUUAGUUACCCUAUACUGAACAAUGAGCUGUAUGCAGUGCUCAGAGUGAGUGCUGUACACAGCAUUUUAAACAGGCAUUUAAAUGCCAAUGGCAAGGACGGUUAAAUCCCUGCACACACCAUGGACACCCAAGAGUCAAUCGAUACCUGGGGAUCCCAUCUGUCAAACGGGGCCACAUUUUAAACUGAGAGAUACAUGGGGCUCUUUAAAUCAAUUGAGAACACUGCGGCUUAGCAAUUGUUGGCAGUUGCGCGUGGGUUGACCCCUCGGGUCUGAACAGACGGUAACAGGGUCCCCCUGCAUGCCUCUGCAAUAUGGUUAUCUGUGCAAAACUCUGCAUGCAAAGCUCUGCACGAUUGUGAUCAUGCUGGGCUUUGCCGAGUGUCACUGUCUAGCACUGAUCACAGUGUAAGAGGCAGGGAAAUAUCCCUGUAAUGCUGAAAGCAGCCAGUAGAUGGUGGUCACAGACCGCUCUCUACUGCUUUAACUAGGACACCCACCUGCUGAUAUCAGUACUGGUAUUAGCAGAGGGAUUCAUUAGGGUAUGGUCAGGGUUAGUUUCAGGCUAAUGUAAGGGUUAAUGCUGGGUUAGGAUAAAUGCAUUUUUAGGGUUAAGGUUAGAGCUAAGGUUAGGGUAGGCAUAUGUUUAGCAUUGGGUUAAGGGUAGGGCUGGUUAGCAUUACUUAUCAAAAAUUUAUUUAGAUCCUAGACAUAUUUUGAGGCCUAUUUGAGUUAUUUUUCUUUAGUUGCACUAGAUGUUUAAAAAAUAUUAUAAGGAAAAAUAUGAAAAAAAAACCAAAAAUGUUUCACAUCAGCUUCAGAAACGAUCUCAAUCUGUAAAAAAUGAGUCCAUAUUAAACUCUAUGGAUAUUUUUGUAGAUUGAUAAUUUGAACAUUUUUAAGAGAUUGGAAUAAUUUCUGAUGGUUGCAUAGUUACAUAGUUAGAUAGCUGAAAAGAGACUUGUGCCCAUGAAGUUCAGCCUUCCUCACAUAUGUUUUUGCUGUUGAUCCAAAGAAAGCAAAAAAAAAAAAAAAACAGUCUGAAGCACUUCCAAUUUUGCAACAAACCAGGAAUAAAUUUCUUCUGACCCCAAAAUGGCAGUCCGAUAUCUCCUUGGAUCAAGCUGCUAUUAUCCCACUAAUUAGAAAUGAUAUCCCUGUAUGUUAUGUUUUUGCAAGUAUUUAUCCAAUUGCUGUUUAAACAUCUGUAUGGACUCUGAUAAAAACACCUCUUCAGGCAGAGAAUUCCACAUCCUUAUUAUUCUUACUGUAAAAAACUUUUCUUUGCCUUAGAUGAAAUCUCCUUUCUUCCAGCCUAAAUGUGUGACCUCGUGUCCUAUGUAUUGCCCUGUUUAUAAAUAGAUUUACAGAUAAUGGUUUGUACUGGCCCCGAAUAUAUAUGUAUAAUGUUAUCAUAUCCCUUCUGAGGUUCCGUUUUUCCAAACUAAAGAGAUUGAAAUUUUUUAACCUUUCUUCGCAACUAAAAUGCUCCAUUCCUUUUAUCAAUUUUGGUGAUUCAUAACUAUUAAAUCAAGAUCUAAGGCCUCGAUUUAAAACUGUUGGAUAAGCUUUUCCAAUUAUUUAUUAUUUGUGGAUAAACUUUUAAAAUGGUAUAACAUUAUGAUAGUUUUUUGAUGUAUUGAUAUUUUUUGGUUAUUUUAAAAGCUUACCUGACAAUAUUAAAUUGAGACCUUAAGUCAGCAAUACACUGUACACAAAACACAGUCAGCAGACAAUUUUCAUAAUCUGUGGCUACAACAAAAUUUUGACCUAAUCAAAACAGAUAGAUUAGCGAAGACAGGAACCUAAAUUGGACCCAGCUUUGGGUGUCAACAUAUACGGUAUAUUUAGUAGCGUGGAUUUGGGUUAAAAAAAUAGCUUUGUUUGUUUUUUGUUCAAGCUGGCUCAGGUUUACAAAUGUAGGUGUAACGUCAUAUGUAUUCUAUAAAUGCAUGUUGUGCAGAAUUUAGUAGAAAAGUAUAUUUUACAUGACCUUGCAAACUACGAUACACUUCAUCAGGUUUCACACCUUGGAAUGCAUACAGUUGCAAAACUUGGGCAAUUGGAAAAUAAAACAUUGGCAAUUCUUGUAGCAAAACACAAUAUAGUAUCUGUCUGUUAGAGGGGCCUCUUGGUACCACUUCAUGCUACCAUCUUAAUCAUAACAUCAAAUCCUUUAAAGUUGAAUGUAGAACCACUUGACAAAGGCCCAAAUACAAAAUAAACACUCCGCUGCCCAAAUAUAAAAUAAAUGAAAAUCACUGUUUAGUAGAAAUAUCCCCAAUGAAAACUUGCAUGCAUUUAAACAUGCAAUUUUUCAUAAGGGGUAUAUCUAAAAACAGCUUAUAAAAGCUGCAGUUCUCCUGUCUGCUGCUUUUUGCAAACCCUCCCCUUCUAACCCCGCCCAGACUUUCUGUGGCUGUCCAAUCACAGACUUCCCAAUGCAGCCUAAUUACAUUUUUUUUGCAAGGCAGGUGCUCUGAGCAAUUGCUGCAUCUUGAGUUUAGCUCCACUCAGCUAAAUAAACCAGGAAGUAAGCGGUUGUUUGAUUGACUACCAGGAUGGUAUAACAAGGUUAAUGUAUAAGACUGUCAAUGUCUAUAAAAAUAUGCACUUUUUGCAAAAUGAAAAAAGAGGACACACUCUUCACACACGAAGCAUUUCAGCAAGCUAAAGUGCUUUAAGGGUCUGGAGUGUCCUUUAAGCCAAAAUAUUGCCGUUCUUGUGUACAUGCUUAAGUAAAUGGUACAUUUCUUGUUAAUAGGUUUCUUUGUGGCCUGUUAAUUAUGAAUUGCAAUUUAUAUUUUGGACUAGGAUAGAGAUGUGAAGUUUGGAGAUGGCUGAUAAACCAAGUGGACACUUAUCUCAUAGUGAAGACUUCAUGCCAAGGUUUCGGUUUAUGUCUCAGUAUAUAAAUAGAGCAUACUGCUAAAAUACAAACUUAGUUUUACUCCUAAAUAUGUGCAUUUACAAGAUGUUACUUGUGACAAAGCCUGGAGGGGACUACUGGCUAGCCUCCUGCAUUCCGACUAUGGCCCCUGUGCUGAUAGCUGUAUUUUACCCUGCAGAAAGGUUUAUUUGUGUAUUUCUGCCGGGGCGUUCGGGACUUUCAGUAUGUGAGUAGUGCUACCCCAGAUAGCUAACAAAAGACUAUGGAAAAGACUUUGGCUCCAUGGUGAUUGAACUGUAUGUAGGUGAUCUGAGCACCAUUCGGUAAUAAUGUGCGUUCAGAUCUAAGCUAUCUGGGGAUAUGUUGCAUGUAUAUGUUUUAUGUAGUAAUUGUAACAUUGUGUAAUUUUAUGUCUUUUUGUAACCAUGUGGUUAAUGGAGUCUUGCCUCUGUCCUGGGAGAUAAUUUGAUUACUUCCAAUUAUCUCCAGGAUAGAGAGGAGGGAUUGUUAUGUUUGUAUUGUCUAUGAUUGGCUUAUAUCUUAUAUGUGUCCCAUUGUUCCAUCAGGUCCCCUAGGGCAGUGUCCACCUGGUGGACACUUGCAUAAAUACCAGGCAGGUAGCCCUUAAUAAACCAGACCUACUUGCACCUUUCUUGAAGCCUUGGCUCUUGCUUGGGGGAAGGGAUACCUACACUCUGGGCAGGGCCGCCAUCAGAAAAUUUGGGGCCCAUGACAAAGCACAAGGUCUGGGCCCCCCCCCUCCUCGCGGGCCCGCCCACGCCCUACCUAGUCCGCUCACAAUGAUGCAGGACUGAAUGUGGUGUGUGUAUAGUGGAAGUGAAUUAGAAUGUGGGUAAUGGAUGUAGUGUUUGUGUGUAUUAGAUACUGUUUGUGCAAUGAAUGCAGAGUGUGUGUUUGUGUAGCGGAUGCAGUGUGUAUAGUGAAUGCAGAGUGUUUUUGAGUAGUGGAUGUAGUGUGUGUACAGUGAUGUAGUGUGUGUUUGUGUAGUGGAUGUAGUGUUUGUAUGUACUAGAUGAAAUGUGUUUAGUGGAUGCAGUGUCUGUAGUGUGUGUAUUAGACGCAGUGUCUGUGUAUAGUGAAUGCAGAGUGUUUCAAUUUGUGGUGGAUGUAGCGUGUGUACUGUGAAUACAGGAUUUUUGUGUAGUGGAUGCUGUGUGUACAGUUAAUGCAGAGUGUAUGUUAGUGUAGUGAAUGCAGAGUGUGUGUCAGUAUAGUGAAUCCAGAGUGUGUGCAUAGUUUAGUGAAUGCAGAGUGUGUGUUAGUGUGUAAUGAAUGCAGAGUGUGUGUUAGUGUGUAGUGAAUGCAGAGUGUGUCAGUGUAAUGAAUGUGGUGUGUGUUAGUGCAGUGUGAAUGCAUAGUGUGUGNNNNNNNNNNNNNNNNNNNNNNNNNNNNNNNNNNNNNNNNNNNNNNNNNNNNNNNNNNNNNNNNNNNNNNNNNNNNNNNNNNNNNNNNNNNNNNNNNNNNGUAUGUGUUAUUGUAUGCGGUGUGUGUUGUGUUAUUGUAUGCAGUGUGUGUGUGUUGUGUUAGUGUAUGCAGUGUGUGUUGUUAGUGUGUGAUCUGGGGUGAGGGGGAGGAAGGGGCAUUUUAACAUUAAUUUUUAAUUAAUUGAAUUAAAUGUUUCUCCCCCCUCCCUGCUUACCUGUGUCCAUGGAGGGGGGAGAUUCCAUCCCUGGUGGUCCGGUGGGGGGCCCCCCGGCUCCCUGUUACCGCAGAGAGGGCCCAGGCAGCACACAGCUUCUCCUCUCUUCUCAUAACUCUCGCGAGACCCGGUUACCAUGGCAACGCUCCGCGGGUCUCGCGAGAGUUAUGAGAAGAGAGAAAACAGGAGGAGAAGCUGUGUGCUGCCUGGCUGGGCCCCCUCUGCGGUAACAGGGAGCCGGGGGCCCGCAGCUGCACACAUAGAUAGCGAUAUGCGCUAUCUAUGUGUGCAGAAAGGGAAAGUGGGGCCCAGGACUGCCAGAGCAGUCCGGGCCCCCCAGGGCCGCCGGGCCCGUGACAACUGUCACGGUUGUCACCCCCUGAUGGCGGCCCUGACUCUGGGGAUUGCUAUAAUCACUUACUCCCCAGAGUAAGCUCUUGUAAGAGCUUGAUUUGUUCCUGCUACGCUCUCUGGAUUUAGGAGAGGUUCACCCACUGGGAGCUGGAUCCUGGUCGUGGAUCCAGGGUGGGUGAGAGACGGCGAGAUCCCGACGCAGCUGCAUCGUUGGAAGUGGGGUCCGCAGUGCUGAUGGUGUCAGUUGGAGUGCUCGGAGUCCUCGACAAGCGCUAGGAGCAUCGAUUGGCGGAGGUACUCGGUCGGAGUGCCAGCGGUCCGUCACAUUACUUAAGUAAGGAAAUGUUUUAUUUAUUGUUUUUAUUCGAAGUAGAAGUGUAACAGGAUACCAUUCUAUAACUAAACAUCCACAUCCAUAUCUCCGACAAGAGAGUAAUUAGCGUUUUACUAAUAUCUCUUGCAUAAACAUUGUGUGUUACUAUGUCAAAACACAUUGGCACGCUUUAUCAGGGCCGGUGCAAGGAUUGUUGACGCCCUAGGCAACAAUACAUUUUGAUGCCCCCCUCAUGAAUGCAACUACAUUCCCUCAGAGGUUUAUUCAGUAAACUCUGAAUUACAGUGAAGAGACAUUUAGGGAAAGAGACUCACUGAGUAGGCAUUAAAGGGAAACUAUAGUGCCAGGAAAAAAACUUGUCAUCCUGGCACUAGAGCUACCCCCUCUGUCAAGCGUACCCCCCUCAUUGUGCAGAAGGGGUUAAAACCCCUUCUGUCACUUACCUGGGUCGAGCACCAAUAUCUUUCGUGUUGGCUUUAGUCCGCCUUUGCUCCUCAAUGGCCGCGCUCGCAGUGGUAUUUUCGUAGAGCUAGGUUUUGUGUGACACAGGACGGGACCAUGCCACUAGAAGAGUUAACCCUGAACGCUAAUUAUUGCAAUAUUGCAAUAAUUACCUUUGCAAUGUUACUUAAACAAUCUCACUAAUACAUACACUCUCUCACUGGCAUACACACUUACACAUUCUAACUCUAAGUUACACACUCUAACACAUACACAUUUUCACUGACCUAUACAUUGUCACUUACACACUCUCACUGAUAUACAAACGCUCUCACUGACAUACACACAGUGUCACCUACACACUCUCAUUAAUACACACACUAUCUCACUGACACACCGUGUAACUUACACACUCUCACCAACAUACACAUUGUCAGUUACACACUCUUACCAACACUGACAUACACACAGUGUCACCUACACAUUCUCAUUAAUACACACACUAUCUCACUCACACACAGUGUCACUUGCACACUCUCACUCACACACACAGUGUCACUUACACAUACUCACUAACAGUGUCACUUGCACACUCUCACUAAUACACACAUCCAGUCACUUGCACACUCUCACUAAUACACACACACACACACACACACACAGAGUCACUUGCACACUCUCACUAAUACACACACACACACACAGAAUCACCUGCACACUCUCACUAAUACACACACACACAGUGUCACUUGCACAUUCUCACUAAUACACACAUCCAGUCACUUGCACACUCUCACUAAUACACACAGAGAAUUACUUGCACACUCUCACUAAUACACACACACAGUGUCACUUGCACACUCUCACUAAUACACACAGAGAAUCACUUGCACACUCUCACUAAUACACACACACACAGUGUCACAUGCACACUCUCACUAAUACACACACACACACACACACAGUGUCACUUGCACACUCUCACUAAUACACACACACACAGUGUCACAUGCACACUCUCACUAAUACACACAUCCAGUCACUUGUACACUCUCACUAAUACACACACACACACACACACACACAGUCACUUACACACAUUGUCACUUACACACUCUCAUUAACACACACUGUCACUCAAACACAGACUCACACCACUUUACAUAAACACACACUUUGUUUACAUACACAAACACAGCAAUUUAACACACACACCAAUUUACAAACAUGGACACAAUAAGCAAUCCCCCAUAUCCUCCAGUUAUGCCAUCCCUGGGUGCUGUGAAGAUGAGAAGAGGCUGCAGGAUUUUGUUCUUUCUGCUGGAGGAGCAGGAGAGCCGUUCACUGUGAGCACAGGCUGCUUCCUGUUUCCUUCACCGUGUUCACAGGCAAGGGGCCGCCUGGAUACCAGGUCACAUCCCGGCUUCCCCUGCCUGCAGCAAGCACAGGGCUCUGCUCGGGUGCUGGGGUUACAGUAAACUCUGCUCCCCGGGCAGGUAAUCGGCUGCAGAGGGAGCCCAGCAGCUGAAUGGCUGUGCUGGGGGUGGCUAAGGAGCUUUAUUCUUCUCCUCUUUGGCCUUUCCCCCUAUCUCAAUGUCACAGUUACUUAGCGAAUUAUCCUAGUAAAGUACAGAAAAUUCUGAUUCCAUAUACUCUUGUCCCUAUUGUCUUUUUGGACUCUUUUCGUGAUUUUUACAUAUUCUUUGCCCCCUACUGUCUGUUCUUUUGAGAUAAUCAAUAGAUUUCCACUCAUUAUUUCUUCCUCAUCACUUGACUACUUUCUCAUUUCCAACUCACCAUCCAUGUUCCGUGCAUUCCAUUACUUACCAGUGAGCUGUACUACUUUCCCAUGCUCAUGACUUGGACACAUUUUAUGACCCAUGUUAGAAUUUGUCAAAUCUAAGAACGUCUGACGUGUUAGAACUUUAAAUAGAGCCUAAUACUAUUCUCAUGCAGAACCAGACGCAAAAACUAAGAUUGCUUUUAUUUAAGUUGAAUCUGGUUCUGAUCAGGCCAUCUCAUUCUUUUACUUGUAUCCUCUGUACCGUUAUGUACAUUUAAUUUUCAAUUACCGCCUGUGUAGAGGAUGGCUUUCUUUGAAAUAAAGUUGUUUUUCAUUUCUGUUUUCAAAGCAUAAAAUGCAUGAUAACAAUAACUGGAUUUGUUCACUAAAAGUUUGAAAACAAACUUUAAAAUUUAAGCCUAAAUAGUCAAGAAUAUUUAUUCCAUCUCAACCAUGUUAACCUAAAUUUUGUUGAGAGUUGGUCAAUCCGAUUUAUAUUAAGUCUUUUUGUUUGAAAAUCCACUAAGUUAGUAUAACCUUAUCAUGAAAACAUGUUUUUUGGUUUAUUUGUGUAUUUUUGAAAAAGAUUUUUAAAACAAUGACAUCUUUUUUAUCACACAGUAGUUGAAUCGAUAGCGUCCAAAAAUUGUGAAUCAAAAAUAAGAAGCCUAAAUGGUGUUACGUAUUUUCUUUUGCAUUAUUAAAUCUUUAUAGAACUGUCGUAUAAGGUUUCAUUUUCCGCUUAAUGGCCAAACACUCCAAAAUUACAGGAGGCUGACAGAGAAUGUACUAUUCUGAUGCAUCAUUGUCCAUUGCCCUGGCCGAAUCCCAAUGUUGAGAUAAAUGGGUGUAAACAAAUGUCACGUAAAAAUAAAUAUUCUUGACACUGAGCAGAAUAGUGUGUCUAAGAUAAAACACGGAGGCUUCCCAAAUUGACUGGAGCUAAUGAGUUGUCUUUGUUACAAAUAGCUCUGGGAAAGUAAGUCAGAAGAAAGAAGGAACAUUUUCUGCAGCCAACAAACAUGGUGUACCAGAGGAUUCUGCAGUUGACUAAGUAUGUUGCUUUACUGGUGUUCCUUGGUCACAUCUCCUGUUCCGAGAUUGAGAACCGAUCUGUGUCAGACUCAUGUUCAACACACACAAUUUUACCUGGACCCAAAGGUGAGAGAUUGCGGAAUAUGCUCAUAGUUUGCAACUAUAUGUUUGAUGAUCAAUAAAAAAAAGGAACAGAACGUCACACUGUAAUACUGUAAAUGUAACACUGAUCUGCAGUGAAUAGUUACAAAUGAUCAGAGAUUCAUCACCUAAAAAAUGUAAUUUGAUCUUCAAUCCAGUUUUAAAAAUCCAUUUGUACAUCGCUUCAAUAGUUUCAUUUUUUUAACAUAGAACUGUUUAUUGUUUUUGCCACCUCUUGUGCUUUUAAAGCAGAGAUGGCCAAAAUGUAGAUCCCCAGCUGCUGUAACCCCCAAGAUACUUUGCCAGCCUUAAACCUUAAAAAGCACUACAAUACUUGUAAUUCUCAUUCUCUGCUCAACUUGCAUAUUUUCAAUUUGUGAAACUUGUUCUUUAACCCCUUAAGGACACAUGACAUGUCAUGAUUCCCUUUUAUUCCAGAAGUUUGGUCCUUAAGGGGUUAAAUGGUUCCUACAUUGGAAUAGAGGAAGGAUCAUUGACAUACACAAAAGAUGUGCUGCUUAUGCUCGGGCAAAUCCUAAUGCAGAGCUGCUCCCUCCUAGCCCCCAAGUGAAAAUGUAACUUUUAUCCCUAAAAUAAAACGUAUUAUUCUCUGCCUAUUUUUUUACGUUAAUAAGUAUAGAUACUGUGUAACGGGAUGCUUACUGCAGUUUUAGCCUCAGUACAAAUUACAGAAGCAUACUUAGAACCCUCACAAAAUAUCUCUGUAAGAAAUAUUAUUAUCAGAAAGCAAUAGUAGUUAUUCUGUAGUUAUAAUGAACCACAGUAUUAAUCGAUCAUUAGAACGAUAUGUCAUGCAUUAUAUUUGUGUUUAGUAGAUAUGAUCAUUUUGUUUUCUCAAAGUAAUUGCAAAUGGUCGUUAAACAUCGCCUAGAGCAUCUCCACACGCCAGCUAAUAACAUAUCCAUAUGUUGCUCUCCCUAUUUAAUGAUACCCAUUCAGGGCAGUAUAAGGGCCUGGGGAUUUACAGUACAAUGCAACCUAAUGUAAGAAAGUAGGAAUCACAGAUACACUCAGUUAGCAAAGUAACAAGUAAGAGACAAUGGGCCAGUUGGAAAUAUGAUCUCCACGGCUCACCCUCGACUCUUUGCUAUAUUUUUACGAUGGUCAACUCAGGCCUCCACCCGUUAGGAAAUAUGAACAUGCUUGUGUUAUUUUCCAUUAAACAUCUAUGGGAAAUAACACACAAGCACUCCACUUAAUGGCAUUAUGGCUAUUAAAUGAGCUUAAUUGGCAAAAAAGUAUCAGUUUUAGAACAGCGGUGAAGGAGAUUGUACAUCCCUAAUCUAACUCUAACUUAACACGAGGAGCACCAAAACACAACUCUGAAAGUACUGGAAUAAAACACGUACAUACAUACACUGAUUCUUUCACGGCAAAGCAUGUAUCUUGUUAGUGCUUGGAAUUUCACUGUCUCCUCAAUGUUAUAUAAUUUGAAGGGAGAAUAAUACCAAUAUUUUUUUUAUUUUUUUUUUAACUAAAAAGAUCUUUCAAUGGUGGCGGUUACUUUUGUAUUGUGGGAAGAGGUUCAUAAUGGUGAUGACUGUAAGGCAUUGGACAUCUGGCGAAUGUGUGUGAGAGCAAUAUGUGUCACUUUACUAAUUAUAAUGUGAGGAGUGAUCUGUCAGCUGGUCACUAUGCCAUGUGGCUACCCAAUCCCAUGUGGGAAUUGGUGAGUCUAAAAAAUCAAAACACAAAUUAAAUGUCACUGGGAAUCUAUAAUUAACUAAAACGGGUUAAGCAACCUCUGGCACUUCUGAUGUUGUGGACUACAUCUCCCAGAAUGCUCUUACAGCUAUACUGCUGACAGAGCAUAGGUUUAGAUGUAGUCAACAAUAUCUGGAGCCCCUAGAGUAAUCUACAGCCUCUUCCUGUGUCUGUCCUUUGCCCUCUGAAAGAGCAGUUAUUUAGUCAAUGUGGAAACUAUGCAGAGGGAACCGCUCUGCUGUUAAGAAAGCGAGCAAUGAGAACGUACACUGAGGAUAUAUAGAUAUAUAGUGAGCGAUCUGCAGCUGAUAUAACGUUAAUAUUAAAUAUGGACACAAUGAUGUUGAUUGACACUUCCAUCAUUCAGAAAAAAAUAUAGAGGGUGUGUCAAUGGAACCCACUAAAUCGUAGCAACAUAGUUUCAUAGUUGAUAGCUGAUAUGAGACGUGUCCAUCAAGUUCAGCCUUUCUCACAUAUGUUUUUGCCGCUGAUCCAAAAGAAGGCAAAAAAAAAACCCAGUGCGAAGUGCUUCAAAUUUUGCGACAAACUAGGAAAAAAUUCCUUCUUGGUGCCAAAAUGGCAGUCAGAUAACUCCUUGGAUCAAUAAGCUAUUACCCCAUCUUCCCUAUUCAUCAUAUGCUAUUCAUGCUUGCGUAAUUCGCGACAUGGAAGAAAUAGAGGAUACUUCUGAAAUGCUUUCAUUUAAAAUAAGAUUUGUCUAAUUUCUAAUUAGUAUUUAAUGUAUAGGCAAAUAUUGUUUUUUAACAGUGGAAUAAGACCUGGAGCCAGUUUUUUGAGGAAGGGAUUAACACUCAGAAUUUUAUGGGUAACUUUGAAUAGGGCAAAAAAAAAUAGAUCAUUUUGGCACAAUGGGUGUAUGAUUAGGGCCCAGACAAAGAUACAUUCUCCAAAAACAUUGUGUUCUUUGUUGUAAGCUGCGGUGUACGACAGCAUCCUGAGAGACUGCUGCACUGAUCCAAUUUGUGGCUAAUCUUGCACAUUGCUGAUGUUUGACUUCCCAAGCAAUGUACUGACUCCCUGUUGUGUUCUUCAGAAUUCAGAGAAUGCUGAAUUGAUUUUCAUAUUUUAAAGAAAGAUCAACAGAUGUCUUCUAUUUUACAUGCACAAAUAAAAGUGGUUAUCAGGAGCUCAAAGAAGCCAGUGCUUUUGGUAGGUGGUGAUUUAAAGAACAGGUGUAUAAAGAUGUAAUAAUUCUGCUUCUUCUUUUGGAAGCUUCAGUAGUAGUAAUUAACCCCUUAAGGACACAUGACGGAAAUAUUCCAUUAUGAUUCCCUUUUAUUCCAGAAGUUGUGUCCUUAAGGGGUUAAAAUAGUUUAAAAUAGAGAACCUUGCUUUUAACAAACAUCUCUUUACCAAUUGUACAUAGGAAAAUGUUGUACAUGAAAGCGGCAAAUAGAGAUAUACUUUUAGAUAUUUAUUAAGGCCUCAAUCUAGGUACAGAAUAAAGAUCCAUGAAUACAAGUGUUUUUGGAAACUGAACAAUGUAUAGAUAAUGGUUUAUUUUUAUUAAUGUAUACAUAAGUCACAGCUAUGUAUUAUAACUGGCAUUUACAUGUACACAAAAAUGCAUUAUGUGUAAUGCCGCACACAACACUGAAAAGGUUGAUAUAGCUAAGGGAGGUUACCUGUGUGGGUUUAGGGCUUUUUGGCAAAGUUUAACCUUUAUUAUUUCAGUUUUAACGUUAGGUUGAUCUUUUUCAAAAGAUCAUGUGUGCGCUUGCCGCCUGGAUUCAAUAACAAUGUAAAGAAAAAAAAUAAAGGUUUAUUUUAACACAAAGAACAAUAUUCAGUAUGGCCCAUUAGGAGGCAAUUAUCCUGUUUUUUUUUUUAAAUUAUAUAUUUUUUAUAAUUUGUCAUGUAUUUCAAUUUUCUUGCAGAUUUUAAUUAUCUCUAUUAUCAUUAAUGUUUUCAUUUUGACCUUCAAUCAUUAUAUUAACAAUCUAAAAUCCACCUAUCUUUUGUGUCUAUCGCUUUCAAAUCCGUUCAACCUUUAUAUUAUAAAAACUGAAUAAUAGGCUUCUAAUUGGCAUGGACUUCCUGUGGGCAUAAUGGACAUUUGACAUCAUCAACACAUUCGAAUUCUGGUUUAUUUUUUUCCUACACAGUGGAAUGUUACCAGACAUCCACAUUGAAAGGCAAUUAUAUUUGUAUACGAUAAUGGCAGCUACAUUUCCUAUCUUUCUUGGAUAUUUGAAGACAAUAUUAAUUUGUUAGAAAUAUUUUUAAAUAUCUUUUUAUAAAAUGUUUUAUGACAGAGUAACGUUCCCAUUUUUUUGUGUGUGCUAUUAAGUAAUACGUGUAGCUAGAAUUUUUAUUCUUCUAUCGGAACAGUACGUAUAAGACUCUGCAAAAAAAUAUCUUGUAACAAAGUGCAAUGUGCCAGUAUGCCCACACUUCCUAAAUGAAUAUGUGAUUAUAAAUCCACAUCCGUGCACCUCCUCCAAUUUUAAACCAACGCUCCUUUUCUCUGCCUGACACCAAGCUUUGAUCUGGGAGAACUUAUAAUUUCUACAAUUUGUUUUGGACCUCAGCUUCAACACAUAUCCAAUUAACUCUUUACUUUUCUUACCUCAUAUUAUUUUCAGUAAAUUUCCUGUUUUUUUUAAUAUUACUUAAAGAAGAGUUUCAGAAAAAAAUGAUUCAGUUAGACGCCACUUAUGUGCUCCUUUUAGUAAGUGGUGUUAGAAAGCCCAAACAGAAACUGCAGUAUGAUGGGAAUGAUGAGAUAAAAAUGGCCAGAUACAUUCUCACUUAAACACUGUAUCUAUUGAAAUUCAACUAAAUUGCACCUUUGGAUAGAACACAAUUGACAAUCCAUGAAAAUAAAGAUAGAAUGCUAUGGCCUAAAUACAAUGAAAUGGGUGGACUUUUUUUGCAAUUAAAUAUUAAAUAUAUUGAAUAAUAUUACACAAUAAUUAUACCUGCAAACCUCUUAAAACAUGUGCUGUCAUUUAUAAAAUUAAUUGUUGGUUGAUCGCUGACUUUGGUUAUUUAAUGUGAAUAUCAAAUUGAAGGCUAAAGUAGCUAAACUCAGCUAAUGCUUUACAAUUAUGCAAAGCAUAAAUUCAAAUAGUAAAAACAUACUCUUGCAUUUGCUGUAUUUCCCCAGGAUUUGCAGCAUCUGAAGUGAGCUGAGGUGAAUGCUGAUCAAAUCCUGUAUAGGAUCUGUUAGACAUUCAGCUUCUCCUGAAAUCAGCAUAGGGUUAGUUAGGAUAAGUUAGAUGUAUUAAUAUAUGUCCUGAAUGGUGUACAGACAGCUUAGCUUUAUUUAUAGUUUUUAGGAUUUCACAAGAAUGCUGAAAUUUGAAAAAUUACCAUAGAAAUGUUCAGCCUAACUAACUAUACCCUAAUUUAAACAUUAAUAUUAAUGAAGCAUAGUUUAUAUGCCAUAGUGUAGCUAAGGAAAUGGUGGAAUCUAUCAUUCAGGCUGUUUUAGAAGCAAAAGGGGGUCCUGUCUUGGGCUGGCUCUAUCAGGGGGUCACAGUUUGUCCAUUGGACAAUUGAGAGGGACCUAUUCCCAAUUUAUGUUGGGUUUUUUAAAAUAAAUAUAUUUAGAUUUAGCAUUAAAGUGUUCCUGUUAGUGUUUAUGUUCAGAUAAAAAAGAAACAAAUAUAUAUGAUAAAUCUCUAUAAAACUCACUUGUAUUCCAGCCCCAUGGUUAGCCUCUACAGAGCCACUCUGCCCCCAACAAAAUCAACGGUUCUGAUUACUGUAACCCAGUCUCUUUGUCUAAUUUGUCAAAAGCAACACAAAUGUGGAAGCAUAUGGAGUAACAGCAGGAAAGAGAUACAGAUUAAUAUUUGAAAAUAUACAGGGAGUGCAGAAUUAUUAGGCAAAUGAGUAUUUUGACCACAUGAUCCUCUUUAUGCAUGUUGUCUUACUCCAAGCUGUAUAGGCUCGAAAGCCUACUACCAAUUAAGCAUAUUAGGUGAUGUGCAUCUCUGUAAUGAGAAGGGGUGUGGUCUAAUGACAUCAACACCCUAUAUCAGGUGUGCAUAAUUAUUAGGCAACUUCCUUUCCUUUGGCAAAAUGGGUCAAAAGAAGGACUUGACAGGCUCAGAAAAGUCAAAAAUAUUGAGAUAUCUUGCAGAGGGAUGCAGCACUCUUAAAAUUGCAAAGCUUCUGAAGCGUGAUCAUCGAACAAUCAAGCGUUUCAUUCAAAAUAGUCAACAGGUAGUGAUGUCGCGAACCCGAAAUUUUCGGUUCGCGAACGGCGAACGCGAACUUCCGCAAAUGUUCGCGAACCGGCGAACCGCCCGAAACGCCAUUGACUUCAAUGGGGAGGCGAAUUUUAAAACACACAGGGACUCUUUCUGGCCACAAUAGGGAUGGAAAAGUUGUUUCAAGGGGACUAACACCUGACUGUGGCAUGCCGGAGGGGGAUCCAUGGCAAAACUCCCAUGGAAAAUUACACAGUUGAUGCAGAGUCUGGUUUUAAUCCAUAAAGGGCAGAAAUCACCUAACAUUCCUAAAUCACAAUGAAUAUGGAUUGACACCUGACAUAUGACAUAUUGACACCUUGACAUAUGGAUUGACACCUGUCCUCAGAGCCCCUGAUGCACACGGACACAGAGCAGAAUAGGGACUGUUCCCCCUACAUAGGGUCACUUGGCAGAUAUGGAUUGACACCUGUUUACAAACUGCUAUUUGUAACGGGCCCUUUAAAUGGCAAAUUGCCCUGUUUCCCUGGGUUGUGGAGAAGCCUCUUUGCCAGCCUCCUCCCGCAUGACUAUGGCCCCUGGGAGAUUGUGAAAAUGUAUGCACUUUAUUUGGUGUGUAUGGCCCUUUAAGACUGUCGGUGGGCAUAUUGGGGCUUAUGGACUCUUUAUGUGACUGGUGCUGGCCCUUUAAACACCUUUUUUGGGACAUCAGGAAGAUUGGGACACUGCCCCUUUAAGGCCGUGUCCCCAGACUUGUUGGGGACACGGCCCUUUAAGACGGUGUCCCCUGUGUCCCCAGACCUGGUGCAAACCCUUUGUGCCUGCCUUGCUAUUUCCCACUUGGUUCAGUAAAUGGGAAAUUAUUUCAGCUGCAGAGACUAAGUCCCAUUCGGCGAUGGGACUUAGUCUUUUUUCAGCCGUUUUUUUCAGCCUUAUUUCAGCUGCAGAGACUAAGUCCCAUUCGGCGAUGGGACUUAGUCUUUUUUUCAGCCGUUUUUUUCAGCCUUAUUUCAGCUGCAGAGACUAAGUCCCAUUCGCCAUGGGACUUAGUCGUUUUUUCAGCCGUUUUUCAGCCUUCCCUAUUUCAGUUGGGUAGAGACUAAGUCCCAUUCAAGCAUAAAUUUAGUCUUUUUUCAGCCGCUUUUUUCUAGCCUUAUUUCUUAGUUGCAGAGACUAAGUCCCAUUCGGCGAUGGGACUUAGUCUUUUUUUCAGCCGUUUUUUCAGCCUUAUUUCAGCUGCAGAGACUAAGUCCCAUUCGGCGAUGGGACUUAGUCUUUUUUUCAGCCGUUUUUUUCAGCCUUAUUUCAGCUGCAGAGACUAAGUCCCAUUCGCGAUGGGACUUAGUCGUUUUUUCAGCCUGAAAUAGACCGAACUCACAGCCCAAAUCUAUGGAACUGUUUUGGGCAGGAAAAUGUGCUUGCAGUCGGUCAUAAAGGGACCUACAGCUAAUUUUUUAACCCCUGGAUGGAUUUGGCUGAUUUUUUGGCUAUGUUUAUGUUUUAAGUGUGCUGAUUCCAAAUAUGUAAUUAUGAAGAUGGGAUGUGUAGUUUUAAAGUUACAGGGUAUGGCUAAAAACUGCAUUUUUACUGCCUGUGUUUAAUUAUGUUAAUCUCUUCCCAAACGUCAUUUCGUUCAAAGUGGAGAGAAUGUUAAAAAAAUAUAUUUUUGUUCGGAGUGUGAGAAAUGCUUUCAGCCGCUUCUAAUCUUAAGCAUCAUUUGAGGAGCCAUACAGGAGAGAAACCUUAUUAGUGGUGUGUUUAGUAUUGUUCUGAUCAGUUUAAUACCUUCCCGCUGCCUCUAUCAGUGGACGCGGUAUAUGUGGUAAGCGCCAUUUAGGAACCGUGACACCUGGGACCCUCGGUGCAAGGUCACUGCUCAACAGGCUUACAACAUUUGUCCCUGAAAACUAUCCUGACAUUCUGGCAGGCCAAUUUGUAUGGAUAUGGCAUUGAUUUUCGUAACAGGGAGAUGGAAGAAGAGGCUUGGUCGGUCCUCUUACUGCAAAUUUGGGGCACUGCGCGGUCAAGCUAAUGUGACACCAGAUAGGAGUGGUGUGUUUAGUACUAUUUUUAUCAGUUUAAUACCUUCCGCUGUCCUAUCAGUGGUCCUGAUACACNNNNNNNNNNNNNNNNNNNNNNNNNNNNNNNNNNNNNNNNNNNNNNNNNNNNNNNNNNNNNNNNNNNNNNNNNNNNNNNNNNNNNNNNNNNNNNNNNNNNGCGCAGUGCCUCAAAUUUAAUGUGAUCUGUGAGUAGGGUAAACGGUUGUCCAUACAAGUAGGUUGCAGCUUUUUGAGGGCCCACACCACCGCCAUGCACUCCUUUUCAAUGGCAGUGAAUAUACUUCGCUGUGCAAAAGUUUACGGCUUAGAUAAAAUCAAUGCCGUGUACACGUCCACUGAUAGGAGACGCGGAAGGUAUUAAACUGAUCAGAACAAUACUAAACACACCACUCCUUUUUUUUGGUGAGGCUUUACAGGACAGAGUGCUUCUCCACGGGACAUGUUAACUCACGGGCAGCUGGCUCAUCAAGGAACCACAGCAGCUUUCCAUGUACAGGUAAGACACGUGCAGCCGGUAAGGGUUCAGGCUCUUCUUCCUGGAGGAUACGCUGCAAGCCUGUUGAACGAGGUGACCUUGCUCGGGUCCCAGGUGUACGGUUCCUAAAAUGGCUGCCAUAUACACGUCCACUGAUAGGAGACGCGGAAGGUAUUAAACUGAUCAGAACAAUACUAAACACACCACAAUAAGGUUUCUCUCCUGUAUGGCUCCUCAAAUGAUGCUUAAGAUUAGAAGCGGCUGAAAAGCAUUUCUCACACUCGAACAAAAAUAUAUUUUUUAACAUUCUCUCCACUUUGAGCGAAAUGGCGUUUGGGAAGAGAUUAACAUAAUUAAACACAGGCAGUAAAAAUACAGUUUUUAGCCAUACCCUGUAACUUUAAAACUACAUCCCAUCUUCAUAAUUACAUAUUUGGAAUCAGCACACUUAAAACAUAAACAUAACCAAAAAUCAGCCAAAUCCAUCCAGGGGUUAAAAAGUUAGCUGGAGGUCCCUUUAUGACCGACCGCAAGCACAUUUUCCUGCCCAAAACAGUUCCAUAGAUUUGGGCUGUGAGGUCGGUCUAUUUCAGGCUGAAAAAACGACUAAGUCCCAUCGCCGAAUGGGACUUAGUCUCUGCAGCUGAAAUAAGGCUGAAAAAAACGGCUGAAAAAAAGACUAAGUCCCAUCGCCGAAUGGGACUUAGUCUCUGCAGCUGAAAUAAUUUCCCAUUUACUGAACCAAGUGGGAAAUAGCAAGGCAGGCACAAAGGGUUUGCACCAGGUCUGGGGACACAGGGGACACCGUCUUAAAGGGGCCGUGUCCCCAACAAGUCUGGGGACACGGCCUUAAAGGGGCAGUGUCCCAAUCUUCCUGAUGUCCCAAAAAAGGUGUUUAAAGGGCCAGCACCAGUCACAUAAAGAGUCCAUAAGCCCCAAUAUGCCCACCGACAGUCUUAAAGGGCCAUACACACCAAAUAAAAGUGCAUACAUUUUCACAAUCUCCCAGGGGCCAUAGUCAUGCGGGAGGAGGCUGGCAAAUAGGCUUCUCCACAACCCAGGGAAGCAGGGCAAUUUGCCAUUUAAAGGGCCGUUACAAAUAGCAGUUUGUAACAAGGUGUCAAUCCAUAUCUGCCAAGUGACCCGAUGUAGGGGGACCAGUCCCUAUUCUGCUCUGUGUCAGUGUCUAUCAGGGAACCUUAGGACAGGUGUCAAUCCAUAUCUGCCAAGUGACCCGAUGUAGGGGGAACAGUCCCUAUUCUGCUCUGUGUCAGUGUGUAUCAGGGAUCCUUAGGACAGGUGUCAAUCCAUAUCUGCCAAGUGACCCUAUGUAGGGGGACCAGUCUCUAUUCUGCUCUGUGUCCGUGUGCAUCAGGGGCUCUGAGGACAGGUGUCAAUCCAUAUAUCAAGGUGUCAAUAUGUCAUAUGUCAGGUGUCAAUCCAUAUUGAUUGUGAUUUAGGAAUGUUAGGUGAUUUCUGCCCUUUAUGGAUUAAAACCAGACUCUGUAUCAACUGUGUAAUUUUCCAUGGGAGUUUUGCCAUGGAUCCCCCUCCGGCAUGCCACAGUCCAGGUGUUAGUCCCCUUGAAACAACUUUUCCAUCCCUAUUGUGGCCAGAAAGAGUCCCUGUGUGUUUUAAAAUUCGCCUCCCCAUUGAAGUCAAUGGCGUUUCGGGCGGUUCGCCGGUUCGCGAACAUUUGCGGAAGUUCGCGUUCGCCGUUCGCAAACCGAAAAUUUCGGGUUCGCGACAUCACUACAUAUAUACCUUGCUAUAAGAUCUUUAUAAACAGUACAUUAGCCAUCAUACAUAAUUUCCCCUUAUUCCUGACCCUAUAGUGUUAAAACCACCAUCAAGAUCUCCUGACCCCCACCUGCUCCUCUAAAUAGCAAAAUCCUGCUUGUAUUCCAGUCUGCUGCUAUUGGCUCUACUCCUGUUCUGCCUGCUUGACUGACAUCAUCAGAUGUGGGGUUCUGAGCCAAUCACAAUGCUUUCACAUAGGAAAUCAUUAGAUUGACGGAGAACGUCAAGGAAGCAGAUCAGGGGCAUAGCCAGCACUACCCCAGGAAGCAUCUCUAGCAGCCAUCUGAGGAGUAGCCAGUGGAGGUAUCCCUAGGUUGUAAUGUAAACACUGCAUUUUCUCUGUAAACUCAGUGUCUACUGCAGAAAGCCUGAAGGGAAUGAUUGUACUCAGGACAAAUACAAUAAACUGCAGUCGUUCUGCUGACUAUAUUGUCCCUUUAAGAUACCUUGUAUGAAAUCUGGCAAUGAUAAUAUUAGUGCUGCGUUAUCUAUUAAGGUGUGGUUAGGGUUAGGUCUAAUGACGAAGUAUGAUUCUCACGAGUAGAUAUAAUGUUAUGAAUAAAUGUUUCAUCUCAUUCUAAAAUGUAAUUGGGGAAAUUUAGUGCAGCUUCCUACUGGAGUCAAAUAAAAGUUAAGUAUUAACUUUAUUAUUCCGGUAUUUUUUGUGCUACAACAUGUAAUGUGGGGAUUGCCUUCUAUGCGCAAACCAUUUUGUUUUGUAAUCUUUAAAUUCUGCUUUCUGAUGAGACCUAAUCUUUAUUUAUUAAUGACAAUGACUCCACAUUAAUUUUGACCUACUACUUAAUUACUUCAUUGUGUGAAUCUACCCAAUGUUAGUUUGAUAACUCGACAGCACCCUCUGCUGACUAAAUAGAAAUGUGUACAUUUAUUUAAUGCGGGUAUGCAAAUUAGAGCCAGCAAAUAAGUAAUUAAAUGUAUGUAUUGUUGCUUUUUAUUGUUUGAAAAAGAACUUGUAUGAUGCAUUUUUAACUGUUAAUUCUAAUUGCUUGUUAUCCAAUGUUCUGCAUGUUUAUAUUUUACAUGAUUUUCACCACAUAUUUAAGGACACGUCACCAAAGAUAGUACUUGUCCAAAAAUAAAGAAUUGUGUGUUAGUUCAAUUUGGGAACUGUGUGUCCUGUCUGGUUUGUUCAGAGAUCCCUGUAACAGAGUUUUCAGACCUAUUGGCUGGCUGCACUGGUCCCUGUUUACGAGAUUCUCCCCUGCCGGCUAAUGCACGGCGGGCACUGUCCAAGUGCCAGCCCUGCAAUGUGCCUUCAUGGACCGGUAAAGGUAAGAAGAGAGGGGGGACAUAAAUGUAUUUAUGUAAUUAAAUAAAUUUAAAAAAAUUAUUUAAAAAAAACCCUACCCUCCUUCCCCCCUCAUGCACACACUGCCCCCCCAUACACACACACACACACAGUGCCCCACAAACACUGCACCCAUACAUACACUGCCUCACACACACACUGCACACCCCCCCACACACACUGCCCCACAAACACACUGCCCCCCCACACACACACUGCCCCACAAACACUGCCACCCAUACAUACACUGCCUCACACACACCCACUGCAUGCCCAUACACAUACUGCCCCACAAACACUGCCAUCCAUACACACACUGCCCCACAAACACUGCCACCCAUACACACACUGCCUCACACACACACUGCACACCCAUACAUACACUGCCCCACAAACACUGCCACCCAUACACACACACUGCACACCCAUAGACACAUUGCCCCCCACACACAUACACUGCACACCCAUAUACACAUUGCCCCACACACACGUCCCCCCAUGCACACGACCCCCCCAUACACACACUGCCCCACACAUACAUACAGUGCCCCACACAUACAUACAGUGCCCCCAUACACACAUACAAGAGCCCUAGACUUUUUAGAACGCCUUCAUGGCACCCCCCACCUGGGCCAUUAACUUAUGAGGUAAGUAUCCUUAAUUUUUUGAAUGACUGUUUCAACGGAAGGGGUCUCCUUUUAAGCCAAACAUGUGCUAGAGCCCUCCUAGCUGCCAGAUUCAACUUGUGUACAAACUUUUGUUAUGUUUUCGUCCAAUCUUCCAUGGGUCUAGCUAACAAAAACACCCAAAGAUCUAAUUUAACAUCUUUAUCGAGAAUAUCCCUCGGCAAAUCAUUGUUUUUUUUCCAGUAUAUUUGCACAUCUGGGCAUUCUCACCACAUGUGGAUGCAAGGCCCCUUUUGUCCACACCCUCUCCAACACAAAUCCGUGGGGAUCUUAUGCAUUGUAUAUAAUUUGACAGGGGUGGUGUACCAACGAAACAUGGUCUUAUAUGACUGUUCCUGCAAGGGGACACAUAUAGAUGAUGCCGCCUUUGCUUCCCAUAUUUCCUGACACUCAACCCCCUCUAGCGGUUCACCUAGGUCAGCUUCCCAUUGGUCAGUAUAUGUCAACUCUCCCCAUUCUAAGAUAGUGGUGCUAAGGUGGGCGUAUAGAACAGAAAUCAAGCCCCUCUGGAAUUGCUCCCGAGAACUUUUCGAAAAACAUGAGCUGUUGUAAUGCAGCCUUCCUGACCUGGGCAUACUGAGCAUAGUCCCUAAGCUGGAUGUAUCUAAAGAAAUCAGAAGUUUAUAGGGUAGCCCUAGUUUUCAGCUCAAAGGUUAUGAAAGAGACUCAAAUUGAGGUCAAAGUGCUGAUGAGACCUAAUCUUUAUUUAUUAAUGACAAUGACUCCACAUUAAUUUUGACCUACUACUUAAUUACUUCAUUGUGUGAAUCUACCCAAUGUUAGUUUGAUAACUCGACAGCACCCUCUGCUGACUAAAUAGAAAUGUGUACAUUUAUUUAAUGCGGGUAUGCAAAUUAGAGCCAGCAAAUAAGUAGUUAAAUGUAUGUAUUGUUGCUUUUUAUUGUUUGAAAAAGAACUUGUAUGAUGCAUUUUUAACUGUUAAUUCUAAUUGCUUGUUAUCCAAUGUUCUGCAUGUUUAUAUUUUACAUGAUUUUCACCACAUAUUUAAGGACACGUCACCAAAGAUAGUACUUGUCCAAAAAUAAAGAAUUGUGUGUUAGUUCAAUUUGGGAACUGUGUGUCCUGUCUGGUUUGUUCAGAGAUCCCUGUAACAGAGUUUUCAGACCUAUUGGCUGGCUGCACUGGUCCCUGUUUACGAGAUUCUCCCCUGCCGGCUAAUGCACGGCGGGCACUGUCCAAGUGCCAGCCCUGCAAUGUGCCUUCAUGGACCGGUAAAGGUAAGAAGAGAGGGGGGACAUAAAUGUAUUUAUGUAAUUAAAUAAAUAAAUAAAAAUUAUUUAAAAAAAACCCUACCCUCCUUCCCCCCUCAUGCACACACUGCCCCCCCAUACACACACACACACACAGUGCCCCACAAACACUGUUGCUUUUUUUAAACCUUUAAAAUUGUGUGCUCUCAAACCUGGGGGGGGGGGGGAGAGGGGAUGCGGAACAAACAAAGCUGUAUUCUCAAGCAACAGAAUCCCACAGUGAGUUUAAGAUUUAGGAUAACCUGUUCGAAGGGAAGGUUGAUGGUCUUUCGGUACCCACAUGAAAAACUUUGGUAGGUCUGAACCCAUUAGUUAAGAUGCUAGAUUCUUUCCUCUGGGGUAGAAUGCCACAGGGCAAUCUGGGUUAAUUGGGCCGCUAAGUAUUAGAAAUAUAAAUUUGUUAGGCUUCGUCUUGCCCUGUAGAGAAUGUUGCCGGAAACUGUUUAUUUUGCCAUAUCAAGUUGCCUUUAGCCUGUUGAAGAGUGGUCAGGUUGGAUUUGGAUAUCUGGACUGGUAAGGCUUGGAAUAGAAACAGUAUUCUAGGCAACAAAUUCAUUUUUACAGAGUGGAUCCUGCCUAUCCAAGAGAUUGGCUUGUCAACCCACUUUUGCAUAUACUCUGUGAGGUUCCUGGACAUUGGAACGUAAUUUUUUGGGUAAAGUAGGGCAGGAUCCGCCGUCAGCCAAACACCCAAAUACUUAAUAUGAUGAGCUAGAUGGAUGUGGUAUGUCUGGCCAACGUGUGCCAUGUCCGCUGACGAUAGGCCUAUAGGAAGAGCACUUGACUUGUUCAAGUACACUUUGUAUCCUGCUAAUUUGCUGUAAGUCUCCAACACUCCUGUCAGUGCUGCCAUAGAUUCCUUAGGGCGUGUUAAGGUUAACAACACAUCUGCAAAGCCCGAGACUACAAAUUGCUGGCCUCCAACUGUUACCCCCCGUAUGUCCAGGUUGGAUCUAAUGGCUUUUAAAAGUAGCCCCAAAGAGAGGACAAACAGCGGGGCUGAUUGGGGCACCCUUCUGGUGCCAUUACUCAGUUGAAAUGGUGCGACCUGUGCCCCAGAUAUCCGGAUCUGCGCCCUAACAUUGGUAUAGAUAGCUAAAAUUGCUACGAUGAAUGAAUCAGAGAUGCCAACAAUUCAAACAGAUAAGACCAUUUAAACAAGCGACAGGAUCAAUGAUGGUGUGUUAGUGGCAACCAGUCUCCAUAUGAUAUCCACGUUGUAUCCGGUAUUUGCGAAUAGUUGCCUGCUGAAAUAAACCCAACUUGAUCCGUGUUAAUCAAAUGCGUUAACAUGGGGUUCAAUCUGUUAGCAAGAAUUUUUGCCAAAACCUUAGAAUUUUGGUUUAUUAGGGAAAUUGGUCAAAAGUUUGCUGGUUUAGAGUCAUCCUUAUCAGGUUUCGGCACCCGCUACAUUGGAAGAGGUUUCUGCUCUGCUCCAGUCCUCCCGCCCCACCACCUGCUCCCUAGAUCCAAUUCCCUCGCAUCUCAUCCGUACUCUGUCUUCUUCUCUUUCUCCACCUCUCACUAAAAUUCUCAAUCUCUCUCUCUCCCCUGGUAUAUUUCCAUUGCCCUUCAAACAUGCAACUGUAACCCCAAUUCUAAAGAAGCCCAAUCUUGACCCUAACUCCCCAUCCAACUAUCGUCCUAUCUCGCUACUGCCUUUUGCAUUCAAGAUCCUUGAAAAAAUUGUGUAUGCUAGAUUGACAGACUUCCUCGAGUCCAACUCUCUGCUAGACCCGCUUCAGUCUGGUUUCCGCGCUAAGCACUCUGUGGAAACGGCACUGACCAAAGUAUCCAAUGAUCUACUCGCUGCAAAAUCUCGUGGUCACUACUCUAUCCUACUUCUCCUUGACCUGUCUGCGGCUUUUGACACUGUUGAUCAUCAACUGCUUCUUCUCAUCCUCCGCAAUAUCGGUCUACAAGAUACUGCUCUCUCCUGGUGCUCCUCCUACCUCUCCCAGCGCUCUUUCAGUGUUUCUUUCUCUGGCUCUGCUUCUUCUCCCCAACUCCUCUCUGUUGGUGUCCCCAAGGUUCAGUCCUUGGUCCCCUACUGUUCUCCAUCUAUACUGCCUCCCUUGGUAAACUAAUUAGCUCCUUUGGCUUGCAAUAUCAUUUCUAUGCAGAUGACACGCAAAUCUACCUGUCCUCUCCUGAUCUCUCCCCAUCCCUCUCGACUAGUGUCUCUGACUGCCUCUCUGCUGUUUCUAACUAGAUGGCUGCCCACUUCCUUAAACUAAACUUGACCAAAACUGAAAUUCUGGUCUUUCCUCCCUCAAGUGUUGUUACUCCUGUGUCUGUCUCCCUCCAAGUCAACGGUGCUACCAUCAGCUCCACCACGCAGGCUCACUACCUAGGUGUUCUCUUUGACUCCGACCUCUCCUUCAAGCCUCAUGUUCAAUCUAUCGCCAAAUCCUGUCAUUUCCAUCUCAAAAACAUUGCACCCAUCCGCCCCUACUUAACGCCAGAUGCGACUAAGGUGUUGGUCCAUUCCACUGUCCUUUCUCGCCUUGACUGCUGUAAUCCGCUUCUCAGUGGUCUUACGUGCUCCCAACUAGCGCCGUUACAGUCCAUAAUGAAUGCGGCGGCGAGGCUCAUCUUCCUGUCCGCCCGCACCUCCCAUGCCUCACCCUUCUGUCAGUCCCUACAUUGGCUUCCUAUAAAAUAUAGAGCUCAAUUUAAAAUUCUGGUUCUUGCCUUCAAAUCUCUACAUAAUGCUGCUCCCAGCUAUCUAUCCUCCCUUAUACACAAGUAUGUCCCGUCUAGGCCCUUACGAUCUGCUGAAGACUUACAUCUAUCUUCUGUCCGUACUCUCACCUCUGAUAUUUGCCUUCAAGAUUUCUUGAGGGCUGCACCGUUCCUGUGGAACUCACUUCCCUCCUCCAUUAGAUGCUCACCCAGUCUCCACUCCUUCAAAAAAUCGUUAAAAAUCCACUUCUUCAUAAAAGCGUAUGAAUUAAACUGUUAAUAGCUCCUGACUGAUUCCUCUUCUGCAACUGUCACUAGUCUAAUACUAUAUUUACUUUUUGUGUCAUUUUACCCCACUCCCUCUAGCAUGUAAGCUCAUUGAGCAGGGCCCUCAACCCCUCUGUUCCUGUGUGUCCAACUUGUCUGGUUACAACUAUAUGUCUGUUCGUCCACCCAUUGUAAAGCGCCUCAGAAUUUGACGGCGCUCUAUAAAUAUCAUCAUCAUAAUAAUAAUAAUAAUAAUAAUAAUAAUAACACUAUAUUUGCCAGAGACAUGUCUAUCAGGUAUAACCACUUCCAUGGUCAUUAAACCAGGACUCUAAGUGGGGUGACAAUUUGUCGCGAAACGUUUUAUAAUAACUGCCUUUGAAAUCCUAAAUAGGAGAUAUAUAAUACCAGCCUCAGGGAGUGCAAUCCUGCAGCUAUACUGCCCCCCACUCCCCCAGCAGCCCCCAGCAGGGAAAGGGAUGGGAAGGAAAGUAUAGGGCAAGAGAAAGUAGAGGAAAUAGGAAGACAAAAAAGAAACAAAGAAAAAAAAACAUUAACAGCCUGGUCUUACCAAUAGCCAGACAUGGGUGGGGCACAUGUCCCAGCCACUCCCGAACACCAUCAGCGCUCUGGAGCCGCGGGGACAUAGACCAACACUAUGGUGCACCACAAAGGUGCCAACAUAUAAACCAUCUGUUACACAGACAUACCCUUACAAUUGGGAAUAGGUCAAAAACAUAUCCCAAGGCCCAAAGCCACCCCAUUUAGAAAAAAGAUCCCAGCCCCUCACCACCCGUAAACUUCAGCAAUGCCCGUGCCCCCCCCCUCUCCCACACACCCCAAAGGCGGAGCACAUAAGAUUAGAGUAACAAUAUGCGGUUAGAAUGAUCUUAUAGAGGAAAAAGAUUUUCAUAACAUUCUCAAGAGGCAGCAAUAACCCCCCCCCCCACUCCCAAUACCCAUGUCCAGUGCCCACCUAACAAUAAUAAAACAAGCUGGAGGAUGGAUACACCCGAAACAAUAACCAUAAGUGUGGGCUCCUCACACCAAAACCCUGAACCACAAGGGCUGCCCCACCCAAUAGAACCCAGGCACGUGGUAAAAUAAUCUGAGCACCCCAUUCGUUCGAGCAUGGCCGCCAUACCCAGGCAAGAAAAUUGUCAGCAGCGGUGCCUCUGGAAAUCACGGGCCAUACGCUGAUGACAAGGCAGGGGUAGUAGUGGGGAUCGUUGCCAGAACGGGGUGCAGUAUGGAACCAAGUGAAGGAAUAUAUCCCAUUUAUGACACACUCCCCCUAUAGUUAAAGCUCAGUGAGCAUACAGCCUGCCAUAUCAAACACAAGAAUUCAAAAUGAAAAUAUAUGCGAUCCCAGAAAAACAAAACCCAAUACCUCCCCCGUCACCCUUGCUGUAAUAUGUUUUUGUGCGUGAUUUUUUUUAUUUUUAUUUUGUUUUCUCUGUCAUAUUUUUUCCUUUUUAAUGUUUUAAUUUUUUUUAGGGUCCUUCCUUUUUUAUGUUGUGUUUUUUUUUUUUGCGUUUUAGUCAUUUUGUCCCCCCUUUUCUUUUAUUUACGUAGCGGAGGUGUCACUGCUACAAAAGUCUCCCAGAGGUAGAGGGUAAGGGACCCCUGCGAAGUUUGCAGUUUUCUGAUAACGUUAGUAUGUUAUUUGUUGACAUUUUAAGCCUGCCCCAUGCUCAUGGUCGGCAAAAUAACACCAGGGUCCCACUCCUUGCCCCCCCAAGCACACGCCACAACCCAAGAUCAACCAUGCGCCCGCAAUGUCCCAGGAACAACAAGGCCUCUCCCAUCCAUGGGAAGUAAAACCCUAGCCAGCUCAAUCUUGGUAAGCAAUCCCACCACAACUGUCACCCCAUAUGGGCAUAACAACCCAGGUAGCCGCUUCGGACAGGCGGACGUUAACAAGCCCGUUGUGGGACAGACCCAAUUGGCCCACCACCCAACAAAGACAAAGCACCCCAGGUAGGCCCCCAGCAAGGCUAACCCCUCGCAGCCAGCAGACUACGACAAAGGCCCCUCUGCCAGCAGAUAUCACUCGCCCACGGUAUACCAAUCACGCGAGAGAGGGGAUGCAAUACCUCUGCCGAGGUGCUGGGGAACGCCAAAUCCGUUGGAACCAUCCAGGUGUAAAACUCGGGUGCACCCAUCUUUGAACUGGGUGGACUCCACCCGUUGUUCCAACAGCGCCAUCCUCAUGCCCAAGGCCUGGAUCUCUGCUUUAACUUUGUUGGUGGUUCUGGCUAUCUCCGUAGCUAGGUAAGUAGCCAAGAUCUGCACCGUGUCAGCCACUGGAGUGCCUGGUGCAGCACUAUUCUCAGUGCUACAUGGUGAUUGUGGUACCCUCGGGCUCGCCCUGCUACCAUCUUGGGAACCUGACCCCAUGGCUUGUGAGGCCAAGAACAGAUCAGAGACCGUAACAAACUGUUCCAGCUGCUUCUUGGGCUGUUUUUUCUGGGACCUCUUAUCCGUGCUGCGUCCCCCAGGUCAGUGUCAGAACCUGUCUGAAUGCAUUGCCGAAUCCUCGAGGUUACGUCCACGUUCAGCAAUUAACUCCGCCCGCAUGAUGACGCGCGGCUUCCCUGCUGUAUAGGGAAGACUCGUCUAAGUCUAAUUGCUUGGGGAUUUUGCCUUGUGAGGGGGACGCUCAUCUAAGCUCCUGAUUCUCAUCGGUUGUUACUCGAAUUAACUUUGUUCCUGCUUUCUCAAAAACUCCUAAUUCAGUGAUUCAUCAUCUCUCAAGUAUUCUGGAAGGAAGGAUUAACUACUGAAGAUCUUCUUCCUAAAAGCAACCUGAAUACAAAUAAGUAUAUCUUACUUUCUUUGAAGUAUCUCCUGCUUUCACCUUCUGGCUAACUAUUGCUGCAGGCUGCAAUUAACUCUUUAGUUCCAUCUCUACAAUUGACUCCUCGAUGUAUCACUGAUAUUGAUUACUAAUCCUGCUACAAUACCUUCCAUGGACAUUGUUUAAUAUUGCUUAUUGCCUUUGGACAAUAUCACUAAUAGCAAGCCUACUCUCUUUAAUUAUUGGGGACUAAUUUUCAUCUAUUGUUGCUGCUUAUGUCAAACCUCUGCCGAGAUUGUUUACUUCUGCCUGCUUCUGCUUCUACACUAAUACUAUGGAAAUGAAUUGCUUUUCCUUGUUACAAUCUCUGCUGAAGAACUACAGAUCUUGCUUAUAUUGCCUGCUACUAUAUCUGCAAUUAUACCUGUGGACUACAUUGUAUUCUAAUUAUUCUAAUCCUGCAAAAAAUACUUAAAAUGCUUCUUUACGUCUGCAUAGUAUGCCAAUGACCUAAUGCUAUUUGUUUAAUUAUCUCUGCGAGACUGAGAGUUAAAGUCUCUCAAACUUUAUUUGGAUCAAGAAGAGGAAUCAAUUUCUCCCUUUAAAUUUUUAAAGUCACAGUUACAAUGUAUUUCUGCAGUUGUGUUCCACAAAACUCUAAGUUCUCCUUUUUGAAAGUGGUAACAGUCAGAGAUCUGCAAAAUCCGUGAAAUAAAUGCUUAUGUUAGCUGUUGGCCUCGUGGAGCUUCACUCGGACGCAUCCGGCUCGCUCCGACAACAGACCACGCCACCCACGAGAUCCUUUCUAAAGACAGUAGCUGGAGACAGUGAAGGCAGAGGUGAUGGUGUCUGCCUGGGAAAGAAAAAGAAGAGGCAAAUGUUCGGUAGAAGAUCCCAGAGAUCCCAGUCAAGCUUUGGUGACUGAGUCUAAAGCACUCCAGAUGGAGGUACUCAGUCAAAGUACAGGAGCUUAACUACCAAGGCAAACCUCUUAGGUGAACAGAUAUAGAGUAUAGGUACUCACUACGUACUUAAAAGUUAGAUAAAGGCUGCGGUUUAUCACACAAGUAUUCCCCAACCUUGUGAAAACACAAAAAUAGACAAAAACAGAAAGUAGAUAACCUGAGCCUUAAAAACUUUAAAUCUUUGGGUGAACUCACACACAAGAUGUAUACCUCGUGUGUGAUUUCACCCAAAGAUUUAAACCUCUUAGGUGAGUGCAUAUUAACAAGUCCUCAGCUAAAAAGGAAAAUCUCUAACGAGGCAGAAAUGGGCAUUUUUAUUAACACCUACAACAACCCAUACCAUAAUUGUUAUUAUAUUUAGAUGUAAGUCAUGCAAUUUAGCUUGUUUCUGUGCCUACGUGUGCUUGUGAUGUAAACCCUGGACUCAGGCAAGACAUUGGUUGCUCAAACACUCACUCUUUUUCACUUUUGGGAUGAAGGCUCCUGGAUCCUUUUGAGAGUAUCUCUUUUUUUGGUACUCAUUGUUGGUGAGCACCCUCUUUGAAAAGCACUGCAGGUAACUCAGUAACAUUAAAAAUGUAUAAUGUUAUAUUUAUUAUUAUUUAUUAUUAUGUACUAUUACACAAGUUAUUGCAUUUUGAAAUUAUCCGUAAUUGUUCAUUGCAAUUAUAUAGAAAUAAAUAAAAUAUAUACACAUACAAAUGUACACGUGAAACUGAAUAUUUUUGAAUGUGUGUCAAAAAUGUUAAAAGCCUGAGAAAAUAUUAGGCAGAGUAAAAACAAAACAGCAUAUGAAAAUAGUUAACAAUUGCUGGAAAAAUAAAAACUUUGUACUCUAUGCUUGCUAAUCCUUCAGUAAUUUGCUUAAUGAUAGUACAGGCUGUGUUUUACACAAAAGUACAUAUAAAUAAUGUAAUUGUGCAAACAUUAUUUUAUCAACUUCAAUAAUCUUGGGAGAAUAAAUUAAAAAUAUAUUCACAUGCAAGUCUUUUAAAUUGAACCCAGAAUGUAAAACAAAACAGGAAAAAAACACAAUAUUGCUCACUUUGAUCCUGCAAAAGUUAAGAUGAACCAAUUUCCGAACUGCUGACUCACAGAGCUGUGAGUUCAUGUAUCAGUCUCCGAUCAUACAACAUUAAAGCCACUGACAGAUAAGUGAAUAACUUUGAUUAUAUAAUUACAAUGGCAGCUGUUAAUCGGUGGAAUAUAGUAAGCAGCAAGUGAACAGACAGUUAUUGAAUUUCAUGUGUUGGGGCAGGUAAAACAGGCAAGUGAAGAAAUCUGAGUGACUUUGGCAAGGACAAAUAGUGAUGGCUAGACAACUGGAUCACAGUAUCUUCAAAAUGGCAAGUCUUGUGGGGUGUUCCUGGUGUCCAGUGGUUAGCACGUACCAAAAUUUGUGUCAGGAACAACUGGGUCAUGGAUGCCCAAGUAUCAUUGAUGCAUGUGAAGAGAGAAGACCAGCUUGGCUGUUACAAUCACUCAGAAAAGCUAUUGUAGCUCAAAUUGCUCAAACACUUGCUGCUGGCCAUGAUAGCAAGGUGUCAGAACGCACAGUGCAUUAUUGUUUUCUGUGUAUGGGUCUGCAUGCGCAUGAUGACCCCAGUCCACUGUUGAGAGUACCUUCAAUGUGGACCUGAAUGUCAGAAGUGGACCAUGGAGCAAUGAAAGAAGGUUGCCUGGUCUGAUGAAUCAUUUUUUUUCUUUUAGAUCAGGGGGAAGGCCAGGCGUGUGUGCAUUGUUUACCUGAGGAAAAAAUGGCAGCCAGAUGCACUAUGGGAAGAAGGCAGGCCAGUGGAGGCAGUGUUAUGCUUUUGGCAAUGUUCUGCCGGGAAACCUUGGGUCCUUGAAUUCAUGUAGAUGUUACUUUGACACGUACCACCUAUCUAGCGAUUGUUGCUAACCACAUACACCCUGUCAUGGCAAUGGUGUUCCUUUAAGGCAGUGGCCUCUUUCAGUAGGAUAAUGCACCCUGCCACACUACAAAAAUUGUUCAGAAAUGGUAGAAGGAACAUGACAAAAAAUUUCCCAGAUCUCAAUCUGAUUGAACAUCUGUGGGAUGUGCGGGAAUAUAUAUCUGAUCCAUGGAGGCCCCACGUUGCAAUUUGCAGGAUCUGCUGCUAAUGUCUUGGUGCCAGACGCCACAGGAGGUCUUGUGGAGUCCAUGCCUCAUUGCAUCAGAACUAUUUUGGCAGCACGAGGGGAACUUAUACGAUAUUAGACAGGUGGUUUUAAUGUUGUGGCUGAUCAGUGAACAUGUAUAUAAACAAACAAAAUAAAUGGCACAGGACCAUAUGAUAUUAGGAAAUGUACUUGUCAGGGGUGGCGGUCCGUUGACCGGGACCCAGUAUGCCUGAUCUUGAUAGUAGGAGUCACUGGUGCAGGGUAAUCACACGCCCCCUGGUGUUGAUCACCAGUGUUUGUGCGGCCACAUACCAGGGCCCUGAUGCAGCUUCUGCGGAUCCCAGGUGCCAGAUGUCAAGAAGAAGACCUCCCAGGAUCUGAAUAGGGAGGCUCUGCAGCAGAUAUGUAUCCAGUACAGAAACAAGGUAAGACUAGAAUAGACACCAAACAAGAAAACAAGACAAAACUAGGAGAACCGAGAACCGGAGCAGGACAGAAAGCAGAACCCAGAACAUGUACACAAGACAUGAGGAAAACAAGAACAGGGCAGGACAGGACUGUACAUGAACUGGGAAUACAAGACAAAACAAGACAAGAGAUACAAGGCAAAACAAGAGGAGACAACUAAGUACUAUAUAUGUAAAACAUUGGUGAUUUAGACAUACAUAAAUGGCCAAGACGUAUGCAGCCCACCGCUGCGCCAAAGUACUCCAAUUAUGGUGAGUCCUAACUGCCUAGAUAUGCAUGACUAAAUAAACAAUAAUAAAACACACACAGCACUUACCUGCAAGAAAGGGGCAGAGGACUUGGAACAACUGCCUGCAGGAGCCAACUAAAACAAAAGGAUUAAUGGAAAAGGAAAGGGUGUGGCAACAUAAAACAAACAUUUAAAGGAAUCCAGGAGACUGGGAAUUCCAGGAACGGAAUAAAGGAAUGAACCCAGGAAACCCAGCAUAAAGAAAAUUAGACAUGGAUUAGAGAACCAGAAAAACUAAACAAGAAUUGUAAAAAGAGUACUGGAUACCAGAAGCCAAGGCCAGACAUCUCCGCAGAACAGAGCAGGAUGUGACAGUACUUCGCAAAUGCCAAGUUUUAUCAUUGACCUUUAAAUAAAUAGAAAUGCAUUCUUAAUUGCUGAAAUAAUACUUUGAGGGCACAGUCUUUCUUAAAAAAAAACAAAAAAAAAACAUAUUUGCAUAAAAACACAAAUAUUUGAUCAAUGAAUUGAUCCUUGUCAAUAUUAACUGUCUGAAAUGUCUUGCUUUUUCCAAACCAAAAAAAAUGAAUAAUAAGACUUUCAUGUUUUCUUCACUGAAAAUUCCCUGGCUCCUGGAGUAUGAUGAAGUCCAAUAUCCAAAAUUAUGGUCAGAUUUUCCAGGGAAUCCACCCUUGGAGAAAUAACCAGCAAUUUACUGAAAGCCACACAUUACACUUUACUGUAUUUUAUAAUAUUACUAACAUUGUCAUGGAUCAUAUACCGUACUAUAAAAAUGCAAUAUGGAAAACUUGAAGGGACACGCCAAGUGCAAUAAACACAUCUUGUUAUUGCAAUAAUUGUGAUGUAAUUUAGGCAAACGGUGCUUCACCAUCCAUCUCUUUUAGUAUUUGUUCAGUGUGAGCACUGCAGGAACAUGCAGGAGCCAUGCUAUGAAAGUGUGCGAAAAUAUAGAACUUAUUUUGGCCUGGGUCACAGCACUCUGAAAAAUAUGUUGGCAGAAUCGGCUUUCUUGGAUUCAGUGCUACAAACAUAUUUUUAACAUUUACGUUUCAACUAUAUCUGCACCCAAAUCAAAAAUCUAUCUUUCUUCUUGUUCUUGGGUAGAACGUUGGCUUAAAGAUAGAGUACAACGAGUUGUCAUUAAUGGUACAUUUUCAGGCUGGACAAAAGUGGUAAGUGGGGUCCCUCAGGGUUCUGUUUUGGGACCGAUACUAUUCAACACAUUUAUAAAUGAUCUUUAAAUAAGCAUCAAAAGCCACGUUUCAGUAUUUGCAGAAUACACAUAACUCUGUAAAGUAAUACAAUGUGGAGAGGGAUUUAGAUAGAUUGGGGGACUGGGCACUUAAAUGGCAGAUUAAAUUUAAUGUAGAUAAAAGCAAAGUUGUGCACUUCGGAAGUAGGCAACAAUGUGCAAUGUUAAUCGGCAGUUGCUGAGGCCUAUAAGGUAUUGUCAUGUAUAAACAAGGGCAUUAAUUCUCGUGAUGAAAAUAUAAUUUUGCUUCUUUAUAAUUCAACAGUAAGAGCACAUCUCAAACAUGCUGUGCACUUUUGGGCACCUGUUUUAAAGAAGGAUAUUGGGGCAGUAAAAAAUGCAGAGGCUGGCUACAAAAUUAAUAAAAUAAUUGGAACAUUUAAAUCUGUUUUCUUCAGAAAAAUGGUGCCUCAGAAGGGAUAUGAUAGCAUUGUACAUAUAUAUCAGGGCCAAUACAAACCAUAUCUAUCCAUAGAAAGAACUAUAUAUAAAACACAAGGUCACAAAUUGAGAUUAGAAGAAAGGACAUUUAGUCUAAAGCAAAUGAAAGCAUUUUGUUGCACCCAAGUGCAACAAAAUGGGUUUCACCUUUUGUGAUCACAGAGUGACUAAUGUAUUGUGAUUAGAUAUGAUUUGUGCAUGUGCCCAUUAUGUAAAGAUGCACUUUAUAUAUAAUUUAAGAUUUCUCAUAAGUGUAAAGAAUUUUUUAUUCACAUAAAAUAAGUAAUUAGUGGAUAUAUGUGCAUGUUUCUGCAUCCAUAGAUUCUAUUGUAAAAUGAUCGAAAUUAUUGUAAUAAUCUUAUUAAUGUGGUGCCAUCCAGAGUUUUUUUAAUAGUAUUUCCUCCCCCCCCUCUGUUUAUUCAUCUACCCACACACGUUCGAAGUCACUAUAAUAAUGAAGGAAAUUAAAAUAAACGACCGCGAUCCACUUCCGUGUUCGUGGAACGCAAGAUGGAACACAAACGGCGCACGUGAUGACGUCAUCCGGUUUUAAACACACAGAAAAUACCGCCAAAACGGAAGUUGAACACCAGCUGGAAAUCAUUGAAUAAUUAAUGGGGGAUGUAUAAUAGAAUUGUGGGAGGGAUAGUUUUUAUUGCUGCUGCUAUUACUGUUGUAUUUGUUUUCACCAAGUCCCUGAGGAAGUCCAAUUGAAGGACGAAACGCGUAGGACGUUCUUAUGGUGACAUGCUAUUUGUUUUAUGCCUAAAUGUAAGCUAUUAAAAUAUUUUUUUAUUAUACUCUGGAAGUGCACUACAUUUUUGUAUAUAUUUUUCUCUUUUGAGCCAUAUAUACUAAUUCGCUGAUGGAAGUGUGAGGAGGGACAACACAGUGGAUACUGAAGAAAAAGAUAUUAUUCAAGGCUGCUUUUACAUCAGAUAAUUUGUGAGUGACCAAUUGUGAUUGCACACUAUUAUUAGUCCCUACACAGAUAAACGCUAUGUUCUUUUAUUUUAUUUGUAUUUAGCAGACUAUCCCCUAUUCUAUUUGUAUACAUUUGCUGAAGACAAGAGGAAGUCUUUGGGGAUUUACCUGGAUAUUUCACCUAAAUACAGGGAAGUCCUGGUUUGCUUUAAAUUGUAUAUAUUUCUCACUGGGGUUGUGUUCACAUAUUUUGUUGCCUGUGUGUGUCUGUGUGUGUGUGUGUCUGUCUGUCUGCCUGUGUGUGUGUUUGUGUGUGUGUAUGACUGUCUGCCUGUGUGUGUCUGUGUGUGUGUGUCUGUCUGUCUGCCUGUGUGUGUGUUUGUGUGUGUGUAUGACUGUCUGCCUGUGUGUGUGUGUGUGUAUGACUGGUUUCCUGUGUGUGUGUGUGUGGCUGUCUGCCUGUGUGUGUGACUGUCUGCCUGUGUGUGUAUGGUGUGUGUGUGUGUGUGUGUGUGUGUGUGUGUGUGUGUGUGUGUGUGUGUGUGUGUGUGUGUGUGUGUGUGUCUGCCUGUGUGUGUGUGGAUGUCUGCCUGUGUGUAUAUGUGUGUGGCAGUCUGUGUGUGUGUGUGUGUGUGUGUGUGACUGUCUGCAUGUAAGUAUGUGUGUGUAAGACUGUAUGUGAGGCUGUGUGUGUGUGUGUGUGUAAAACUGUAUGUGUGGCUGUGUGUGUGUCUGUCUGCCUGUGUGUGUAUGUGUGUGGCUGUCUGUGUGUGUGUCUGUCUGCCUGUGUGUGUAUGUGUGUGGCUGCCAGUGUGUGUGGCUGUCUGCCUGUGCGUGUGUGUGUGUGCGUGUGGCUGUCUGUCUGUAAUUGUGUGUGUGUGUGUGUCUGUCUGCCUGUAAUUGUGUGUGAGUGUGUUUAUCUACCUGUAACUGUGUAUGUGUGUUACUGCCCGUACCUGUGUGUUUCUGCCUUAUCCUGUGUAUGUGACUAUCUGCCUGCAAUUUUGUGCAUGUGGUGGAUUUGACAGUGUAUAUGUAUAACUGUGUGCAUCUGACUGUGGGACUGUGUGCACAUAACUCUGCAAAAAUAUACACCUGCUUUCACACACAGGCCUAAAUGCAUGUUAUUAUCUGAAUUAAAUAACCAUCACACACAGCCAAUAAACCCAGCACAAAUAUCACAUACAACCAAUACAUGCAUAUCACAAUCUGUUAAUAAACCCAUUACAGAUAUCACACACAGCCAACACAUAGCAUACAUAUCACACACAGUCAUCACACCUAUCACAUACACAGACAACACAAAAUUACAUCAUACAUGGAUGAUGGGGGGGGUGGGAGCGCUGUGAAGAUUUUUCGCACAGGGCGCCUAAAGGCCUAAGGCCGGCCCUGACUGCAUACACACACUACUCAAACACUACAUACAAUAAACACACAUACAUGUGUGUCUGUGUAUCUGUAUGUGUAUCUGUAUAUGUGUAUCUGUAUGUGUGUGUGUUUGUAUCUGUAUGUGUGUCUCUAUCUUUAUGUGUGUCAGUGUUUGUCUGUAUCUGUGCUUGACUGUGUUUCUGUCAGGGUAGUGGUCCGGUGCCCGGGACCCAGACACUGUCCAGGCGGCGGUGCAAGGACAGGGACCCUGUAUGUCUGAUGUUCAAAGUAGGAGUCACUGUGUGGAGGUGGAUUAGCAGGGUCUGGUGCAGGGUAACCGCAUGCCCCCUUGGUGUUGAGCACCAGCAUUUGUGCGGCCACAUACCAAGACCUGCAUCAGCUGGAACUAGGAGCAGGAAUUAAGCAGACCUCCCAGAGCUGAAUAGGGAGGCUCUGCAGCAAGAAUGUAUCCAGUACAGAAUCAAGGAAAGACUAGGAAAGGCACCAAACAUGAAAAACUAGACAGAACUAAUAGAACCCAGAACCGGAGAAGGAUAGGAAGUUAAACCCAGAGCAUGUACACAAUACAUAAGGGAAACAUUGACAUAACAUGGGCAGGACAGGACUGUACAUGGACUGGGAAUACAAACUAAAACAAGACAAGAUAUGAUAGGUAAAACAAGAGGAGAAAUAACUAAGUACUAUAUAUGAAAAUCAUGGGGAUUUAGUCACAUUAUAUGAUCAUACAUUGCAUAAGCCUGCCAAUGUACCCCAUAUCUGGCAGGUCCUAAGCUGCCUAAUGCAAACAAAACCUACCAAAGAAAACACACAUAGUCCUUACCUGCAAGAAAGGGCUGAAUACUUGAGCAGCUGCCUGCAGGAACACUGAAACAAAAAGGAAUGAUAGAAAACAAACGGGUGUGGCAACAUAAAACAAACAUUUAAAUGAAUCCAAGAGCCUGGAAAAUCCAGGAACGGAAUACAGGAAUGAACCCAGAAACCCAGUUUAAAGAAAACCAGACAUAGAAUAGAAAACCAAAAAAAACAAGAAAAACAAAACAAGAAUUGUAAAAAGAGUACUGGAUAUCAGAAGCCAUAGCCAGAAUGAUCUGCAGCUAGGAACAUGAUGUGACAGUUUCUAUGUAUCUGCAUGUGUAUACCUAUGUGUUUGUAUCUGCAUGUGUGCCAGUGUGUGCAUAUGUGAGUAUAUGUGUAUAUGUGCAUACAUCUCAGCAUUUUGCCAACACUACACACAAAUACACCCCUGUAUCCAAAUAUCAACACUACAUAAAACACACCACAUAUUCAAAAAACACUACACAAAAAUGCACGCCUGCAUUCAAAUGCCAACACUACAUGCAAACACACCCCUACAUUCACUCACACAUACUUCAUACAAAAACAUGCUUAUAUUCAAACACAAACACUGCUCAGUGCUAAAUACAUUUAUUCUUUUUAAAUAAAUGUGUUUUUUUUCUUUAAAAUAAUAUCUGCCCUGGGUGCCAAAUGCUCCAGGUACGCCCCUGACCUUUGGAAUAUUCAUAUAGUUCAAUGAGUUUGUUUUUCUUAACCAGGAAUAGUAAAAGUAUGCUUUAAAUUGUAUUCCUUGUUAAUCUUGUUGUUAAUGCAUACAGUUAGUAAUUAAUACCAUACAACCACAAAAAAAUUAGAAACUGAAUAAAAAAAGUUGUAAAGAUUAACUUUACAUCUAAUUUUCCACAUUUGAACCCUAACAAUGAAAAAAAAAUAUUGACUAUAACUACUCUUCUGAUGUCGAGUAUUGUAGAUGAUAAUGAUAAGAAGCUAAUAUGUAAGCAGACUAGUUCAUGAAUUGUUGAGCAUUCAAAGGGAAAUUUGAGGCAAAACAUAAGCAAGCUGAAACAAUAACUAACUAUGAUAAUAUUCAGCCAAACUAUUAUACUGUGCAUUGCUGACUAAAAUCCAGUUUUGCCAGAUUGGCCUUAAAGGAAGACUUUGCGCACCAUAGCAACUUAAUUUAAAUAAAGUUGUUAUGGUGCCAAGAGGUUGCAGGGUGCUUUCCUAAAUGUUCUGAAAUGGUUUAACCCCAAAAGUUGCCUACAGUGCUGAACCUCCAACGGUCAGCUUAGGGCUUCUGAAAUUAACUCUCAGGAAGAACAGAGUGCGGUCGAGCAGGGCCAUUAAUGAUUUGGCUAGAGCAGUCAUCUGAUACUCGAAGCCAAUCAGUAGCUGCCCUUUGAUAAAAAAAGGUUUGUGUAUAAACAGUAGAUGGAUUGCACUCAGUGGACUUUUGUAUGAAGCAAUAUGUAAUCUUUAUCUACAUAUCAAGUAGGGCAAGUAAUUCAGCAGGGCAAUAAUUCAGCCUCUGCGCAUGGUAUCAAUAGUACCACAGUGCUCCCCCACAACAAACCCAACACCCUCCAGUAUGACUGUCUGGCAAAACCUCCUAGUACUGUGCAGCAAGCCACAUAGAUAAAAAAAAUAAUACAGAUAAUACCACAGUGAGCAACUGAUAAAAUGCCACGUAUGUAUUCGAGUAUCAUGUUGCUUUAUGGCCUUAAAACAUUCUAACAGUUGAAGCUUAUAGUGCAAUCCCAAAUAACAGGAGCUAAUAAUGAACUUGAGAUGUAACUUAGCCAGCAGUUAUUAAUAGUCACAAACAACAAGCAAUUUAGUAGAGGUGUCAUUGAGCUACUUAAAGGACCACUAUAGUGCCAGGAAAACAUACUCGUUUUCCUGGCACUAUAGUGCCCUGAGGGUGCCCCCACCCUCAGGGUCCCCCUCCCGCCCGGCUUUGGAAGGGGGAAAGGGGUAAAAACUUACCUUUUUCCAGCGCUGGGCAGGGAGCUCUCCUCCUCCGAUCCUCCUCUUCUCCUCCCAUGCGGCUGAAUGCACACACGCGGCAAGAGCUGCGUGCGCAUUCAGCCGGUCACAUAGGAAAGCAUUAUCAAUGCUUUCCUAUGGACGCUUGCGUGCUCUCACUGUGAUUUUCACAGUGAGAAGCACGCAAGCGCCUCUAGCUGCUGUCAAUGAGACAGCCGCUAGAGGCUUUGGGGGAAGGCUUAACCCAUUCAUAAACAUAGCAGUUUCUCUGAAACUGCUAUGUUUAUAAAAGAAUGGGUUAAGCCUAGCUGGACCUGGCACCCAGACCACUUCAUUAAGCUGAAGUGGUCUGGGUGCCUAGAGUGGUCCUUUAAAAUAUGAAUAAUUCAUUGUGAAUUGUAUUCCAACUUCCUGCUAAAUGUUUGAAAUGGACAUUUUCUCAACUAUGAAGUUAAAUAGUAAACCAAACUACCUGGAGACUAACUGAUGAUAUAACAAGAGGUAUGUAAAUGCCUAGUGACAGGCAGAGUGGCUGAAAAAGGCUUGAAUUAAAGUAAUGAAAUGAAGCCCGAAUGUACUGAACCAAAGUGAAUAUCUAGCGCAUCCAACAUAGGCUGAAUGUACUGACUCACAAUGACUAUGUAACGUGGCUGAAUGUAGGGUGAAUGUACUCAACCAAAGUGAAAAUGGAGCUUCAGUGCCAGGAGCCAACGUCACUCAUGUACUCUCGCACAGUACAGCAUUGAGGUCUAUUCUGCAAGAUCACAGGUUCCUCAAUAGAAAGAGACGAUUCCCAGCAGUUGUCACUGGUGACAGCAGGGGGAUUGACCCUUCUACACAGCUGUAGGUUCACCUAGUAUCUAGAAGUGUCAGACAUCGGAAAAAACUGAGACAAAGUGAAGACCCUACUGUCUCAGUAUUCCUUUUGACUUAACAUGAACUUCAGUUAAAUUACAACACAGUCAAUAUGAGUAUUUCAUAAAGAUUUUGUAUUUAUGACAUAUGCAUUUUGUGUGGGGGAGGGAAGGGGAGGGCUUAAAUUUACAUUUUUUGAUUUUCCCAGGAAGUAUUUAGAGAUACAAAAAGUACACAUGUAAUAGGAGACAUGCAUUAACUGUGAAUUCAGUAGUUUUUUGAUUGAAGUUAGAAGUCAGAUGCAGAUAUUUUUUAGGAAUGAUUUGAGAUUUAAGAUUCUCCGGCUAUAUGAGAAUCUGUUCCGCCUGCCUCAUUUUUGAGAUAAACUAUAAAAGUUAUCAAAACAGAAGGCAUGGGGGGUGAAGGUAGCAGGAAUACUUCUCAGGUAGCGUGGGAGGUUUUCUGAGAAGCGGUUAGGAACCAGACAAGAAAGAUGAAGAAUAUGUUUGGGUUCCAUAGAGUCCUGCUUAAAGCUUGACUUUUCAUUUCAUUCAGUGGGGACUUGGAAGCUAUUUUGGAGAUUUGAAAGUCAAUCCAUAUUUAAUUCUUUAAUGAAAAUUAUAGCUAAACUCACAAUCCUCUCCAAAGGAAUUUAGCAAAAAAAAAAGCAGCAAUAACAGACUUCUUCAAAUAUUUACAUGAUAUGUAUUCUGCUAGCGAUCAAUGAUCAAAACUGCUAUAAAUACUAAGGGAUGUUCAAUGCUGAAAUCUCAUUGGUUACUUUCAUUGCAGUCUUCAAACAAAUCGUACAUUCAUUUUGAUUUAUUUUUUUUGAGUCGCGUCUGCCAGAUAAUUUCUGGAUGUUUAUCAAAAUGCUUCCUUUGAGAAAUGAAAGAAGGCUUUUUUUUUCAUUAUUCUGGCAAGGAAAUGGGUUUUAGCAUAGCAUGGCAGAGGAAUACUUUAUGCCAGAGCUAGAUCAGAGAGAAGCCUGAAGGUAGGUGUUCUGCAACCAACAAAUGGCAAGUUAUUUAUAUUAUUAGAAGCAGAGAUUUAUGCCAACUUGUUCAGCAGGAAUGUAGGAUGCACAAACUGGUAAAACAAGGAAUUGUUGACAUUAUUCAAUUUAUUGAUACUGCAUUAUGCCAACAUAUUCCGCUGUUCUUAGAAUGUUCUGCAGCAUGAUGUUCUUGUAUUUUAGUAAUCCAUUUUCAUUGCGUGUUAUUUUUUUCCAGAAACGUUUCUUAAAAGUAAAAAAAAAAAAAGUUUAUUUCCUUAUAGUGUUCCUUUAAUUAUUGUUGCAAUGAUUUUAUAGCUAAAUAUACCUCCACCACUUUCCUGUUCUGGUCCACACAUCAGAAGCUAGGUUUUUGGUUAGUAAGCAUCGCAGUUACUAAACAAAGCACAUGUUGUGAUGGGAUAACUUCAGUUAGGACUAAACAUUGGAGAAAGUGAUGGUGAUUUUUCCCCAUACCUUCUGGUUUCUAUAAUGGUAUCAGAAGAAGGUUGCCUGGGUGAAUGUUAGUGAAUGCAAUCACUUGUUUUUUUUGGAAUUCAGCAUACUCGGGAACAUUAGUGGUCUGGAAAUAGAAUUCGAAUACUGACUUGCCUGGUCGGAAAACACUCAGUAUGUAAAAGAAAAAAGAGAAAUGGACCAUUUGCAUUCCAACAAUGACAGAGGCCCAGCAGAGUACAAAACAUCAAUUCCCUUUAUUAUAAAAUAUAAUACAAUAUUAAAAUGCAAAAGAAAAAAUACAAGUGUGAAUUUUGGUGGCAAAUUUCAACUUAGUUUUAGUCAUAGUCUUUUGACUAAGAAGCCAUUUUAGUUUUAGACGUAUUUUGGUCAUGUGAAUUGUUUUAGUCCAGUUUUAGUCGACUAAAUCUCAAAAAUUUUAGUCGACUAAAAUCUGACUAAAAUUGUUAGUCGACAAAAUUAACACUGCAAGUAAAUAGUAAAGGUUCAAGUCAUGCUCUACAAAAAGGGGAGGACAUUCAGAACAGAACACAUAUCUAAAUAGGUUGAUGUGCUUCUUGUCUAACCCAGACACUUUCCCAACAGCUAAAAACUGAGUAAGAAAAGAGGGAACCCUCAAACAGAAGGUUUACCACCAAACUUUAUCUUAAUAAAAAAUCUAAAUGUAAUUAUACCUAAUGAUAGGCAUGCAUCCCACACAGUGUGUAUGUUAACCCAAAUUCUGAUUACCGUAUAGGUCCUGAAUGAAGAUACCAUAGAGAUCUGUAACAGUCACCAGGAUUGUUUUUAGUUUUGGGUGAUAAGCUGUGGUUUAUUUAUGCAGGCUAGGUGUCCGUGAGGCCCUGCGGUAUGGUAGGCUGUUGUUGAGCUUGCAGCCAUAGAGAUAUUAGCAUGUAGGAAGACAGCCUUUGGAACCUAGUUAGGAGACUUUAUUGCAUGUAUAUACAACCCUUACAUGUUGAGGAAGUUACGUUGAUUUAACAUUCACUCACAACGCCCUUGGAGAAUCUCUUAAGCUACAGUCUAUGGUUAAUAUGGGCAGACACACUAGGUAGCCAGGAAAUGACAUAUUAGUCGAUUCCUGUCUUCUGAACUUGUGGUUCUUCUAGCUGGCCAGAGCGGGUGACCUGUUUAUUACCUGUUCUAAAAACUGAGAUUUUUGACAAGCACAGGCGUAGGAAGUACACAUAGAUUUGAUGAAGUUAUAGUGAGUGGUACUAUGCGGCUCUUAUUUUGCUAAAAAUCCCACAGGGAGAUACAUUGUAUCUCUAGCUUUAUUGGUAUACUUAGUUACAAUAUGACAAGGGGAUACAUAGUAGCCCUCUCUAUUACUAGCCAAACUAGGCUAAUUUGGUUUUACAUGCAUUGUGCAGGUUGUACAUUUUUACUUUUUAUUAGGUGAUAAUUAGAGGAAAACCCUCUAUUUUAAGGGUUUCAUAUUAUCUUUUUCAGUUUUUAAGUAUUGUUUUUAUGGAUGCAAUUGUCUCUCAUGGCCAGUUCUGAAGUGUAUUUUCUGCUUCUAAAUACAGAAGUAAUUUCUCAACAUUUAAAUAGUUUUGUGUUUUUUCCCAAUCAAUCAUUUGUGUCACCGUCCAUCUCUGCCUUUUCUCGAGGACUUCCUCCUACGUGUGCCAUAUGGAAACACAUUUAAUUCAGAUGAUAACCUGAUGUCCCCUCUUUGUCAUACAUUCUGCCUCUCGAACCUGGACUUCAUUUUGAUGAGAUUCUUUUCUUAUGUCCCCUUACACUAUCUCAAAUGCUUAGCCAGACAGCCAGGCUGUCAGCAUUCUGAUAAAGUCGACGGCUUCUAACAAUCUUUUGUAGUGGUUGCGUUAGUGCAUACACGAGGUGCAUCCCCAGUAUUUUUCAUGGACUGGGGAGAACAGGUCCCAUAGCAAUAUUUGUGGUCUAUAGAUUUUAUAACUGACCGCAUGGUUAUAGUUAUGAAUGAGACAUUCUUGAUAACUAAGGAAAACACUGCAAGUUCUAGUCAAGGUUAGGGCUGUGAGAUAUUAGGAAGACAGUAAUAUUUGCUACAAGCUAUACUCUAGCUUUUAAAUUACUGGAGUACCAGCUGCACCUCUAACACCCUCAACAAAACAACGAGUGUGCGUCCUCUUCUCAUUAAUAUAGAUAGUUCAAUGUUCAGGUUUCUUCUUCAACCAUACAGCAAGAAGUGAUUCCAAAAAAAUAAAGCACGGGGUGUUCCUCAGGACCACCUACUAAAGAAUGUGUGUUACCUUUCUUUUAACUUCUCUCCUUUUAUUUGAUUUGGACUCCACUCUCAGCAGUGCCCACCCAUUUAUUUUUCUAAAAAGUGAGUAUACACAGGAGAGUGAGCAGAUAAAACAUAUUUGGCAUUGUUUUAAAUGGGUGAAUUAAAGGGAGUACAGUCCCCAUAAACAACUGAACGGAACUCUCAAUCACCCCAUCCAACACUCCAUUGGUUUGAGGUGGGUUAUCUAGCAGGACAAGCGGUUGUGCCUCUUGUUUAUCCAUGCAUGGUUCCAAAAUUCUGAAACCACAGCUAUGCAGAAAAUUGUUAGAAGGGAUUACACCACUUUUAUAUAUAACCCUCGUGUUUACAUGUUUCUAAGAGAUUCACUGAAAGGCUGAACGUCAGAGUUAUAUCAGAGAACAUUUCAUUCUUUAAUCUCUUUUUGUGAUAUCCUAAAGGGAGUUCCCUUUUGGUGGUGACUAGCAAAUUGCUUUGGUUUCCUGAUGCAAAGUGCACAAUUUAAAGGCAUUACUGCAGCUUAUAACUAAAAUGUCAGCUGUAAAUAGUUCAUUCUUUCAGAAAAAGAAUAUAUUUUUUUAUAUAUAUUCUUCAAAUCGUGCAAACAGUGGUUUUAUUAAAUCUUCCAAAUUUCAGCUGUGUUACAAAUCAAAUUGACGUUUCGACCCGUUCGGGUCUUUAUCAAGAUCUUGAAACAUCGGUUUGAUUUGUAACACAGCUGAAAUUGGGAAGAUUAAAUAAAAACACUAUUUGCACGAUUUGAAGACCUGUGAGUGCUCCCUUAUGGUUGUUGCAUAUAUUGAACGCGGGAUUGCACCCAGGUGGAUUUCCUAUUUUAUUUUAUGUUUGUUGGUGGAGUGCCAAGUUGCUCUUAUUUUGUCCAUGACAAAAAAAUUCACAAAAGACAAAGAAGAUGUCAAUAAAAAAGUUAAAGAAAAUAUUGCAUGACUAUACCAUGAGACUCGCAGGUCUCCAUCGUAAGAUAAAACCCAUUGGUCUCACAGGACCAUGUGAUAUGAUCAAUAACAUUAGCAUUGAAAAUGGAGUGUAAUAAUAAAGAUUUACUAUGACUUGCAGGUCUUAGCACAUCAACAAUCAUAUAAAAUUUAAUUCAGACGCAGUUAUGACAUCAAUGUCCAUUUGUUAAGGGCAAAAUACUACUUGUGGAUAUUAUCGGUGAUGUCCUAGGCAUAUUAGUUGAGGGGCCUAACCCUAUUUGGUUGAUGGGUAACUAUAAGUUAGGUAUCAAACAUUGGAGAGCCAUAAUAUUUAUGUUUUCCUUGGGGGUUCAUACAUUAAAGCAGAAAGCCUAGUGCCCAUCCCUAAGCUCUUCUCCAGUUACUCAUUUGCUGCCUUUCAAAUUGAACAAGCGCCCAUCUCAAUGGAAGAGCGAACGUUAGGACUGCCUCUCCCACCCAUUAAAGAAAGUCCAACCUAUGGACCUUGUCGCUAACAUACUUAGUGUAGAAACCAGGUUGCACCCUGUGUGCAUGUCUCUCUGGAGAGCCAAUAACCAGUAAAAAGGGCUAACAGCAGCGACCCAUAGUCCUCAUGAUAAAAAGUAGCCAUAGAACAGGAAUGAGAAAAGGAAUGAGAAAGUAUAUGGACACCCAUCACUGUCCCCUCCCCCGGAUGAGACUAAACAGUGGGAGCAUUUCCAACCUGCAGGACACGUUUAGAAAUAAAAAAUUCAAACCAGAGGUAACAUAUCUCUGCAUAUGCAAAAGAGAGAAUAGGAGACCAAUAGUGCAGUAUUGUAAGUUUAUGGACUAUAGACAACGUAGAACUAAAAAUUGCCAACUCACGUUUUUCAGAGCUAUAACCAGCUCUUGGUAAAACAGCUUACAGUGGUAUUUCAACUCCCUACUUGUAGGAUAUCCCUCAUACAGUAGUUGUAGUAUAGUUUACAUACAAUUAAAGAAAAAGAAGGCUUAUAGUGCUCUCCAUAUUUGCAAAUAAAUAGUAGUAAAAUUAAAUAUACUUAGAAUUUUGGGAGCAGACAAACUGCUCUAUGGAAACAGCGUGGGUGGAACAAUCCCCAGCUAGGAUACUUUUGAAAAUGGACCUGAUGUGUAUGGAAAAUAGGUUGCGCCAGGUACAAAUAAAAUAAAAUAAAAAACUAAAUAAAAGUAUAAAAAGACUGCCCCAAAGCAAAUAUAUAGUCUAAAAAUCUUACUUUUAUUUAAACAAAUAUUAAUAAAAUCACUUGAUUUUUUUUAAUAUUAAUAUGAUUUUAUUAAUAUGAUUUUAUUAAUAUUUGUUUAAAUAAAAGUAAGAUUUUUAGACUACCUAUUUGCUUUGGAAAAUAAGGAUCGGGCCGCUUUCUUUUUGUAUUUAAGAAGAAUAAAUAAAAUACUGGUACUGGAUUGGAGGUUAUAGGAGGUGGGAACAGCUGGGGAGAGCAUUCUGCUCAGGUAGGGUAGAAAAGCUCUUAAACACAAGGCUGGAUAGAUGAAGGGUUCUUCUGGAUUCCAGCGAUAGCCAGUUUAGCUCUUUUAGCAUUUCACAAUAUUUGGUAAAGUAAUUACUUUGUAACACAAAGUGGCCGAACGAGUAAUACAAUGUAUUAUUACAUUAUUAAGGUGGGUUUGCUGUGCAGGUGCAUAUACUACAUUCCCAUAAUCUAUGAUUGGCAUCAGCAUUUGCUGUAAAAUUGUUUCCUUUACUGUGGGGCACAGGCAGGAUUUGUUUCUGUACAGGGUACCUAGUUUUGGAUAGAGUUUUGAUGAGAGUUUUUCUGUGUGGAGGCCAAAAGAUAGAUUGAAGUCUAACAACAUACCCAAGUACUUGAAAGAGUCAGUAUUUGAUUUGAUUUUGUUUUGAUGCAUUGAUAGGAAUUUUUUAAAUUUAGGUAAUUUAGAUACUGUUCAGAAGAGCAUUGAGACAGUGUUGUUAUUGUUAUGAAUGAGAAAGAGUUUGUUUUUUGCGAUUUAGUUUUCUACAUCUGAGAACUGGUCUUGGAGCACAACCUCAAGUUGCAGUAGAUUGAAUUUGCUUGCAUAGAUUAAGGUGUCAUCGGCGUACAUGUGUAGAUUUGAGGCUUUGCAGACAUUAAGCAGAUCAUUUUUAAAUAAUGUGAAUAGUAGGGGGCCGAGAAUGGAACCUUGGGGAACACCACACGUAAAUGGGAGAGGGAGGGAGUCGCUGUCAGAAAUGGGCACAUAUUGCAAUCGAUCCAACAUAUAUGAUCGAAACCAGGUUAGCGGACGAUCACCAAUACCUGACUUUUUACAGUAGAAUGUUGUGGUCUAAUGUGUCAAAGGCCUUGGCAAAAUCAAGAAAAAAAUAGCUCCAGUUAGGUCUCUUUGUUCCAUGCCAGUUUGGAUGUCAUUGCAAACUUUAAAGAGGGCAGUUGAGUGAUUCAGACGGAAGCCUGAUUGAUCAGGGGUCAGAUAGUUUAAUUGUUGGUAGUACUCACAUAGUUGCGUGUGGACGCAUUUUUCCAAGAUUUUUGACAAUACAGGGAGCAAUGAUAUUGGGCGAUAGAUACCAAAGUUUUGUCACCACUUUUAUGGAUAGGCACUACUCUUGCAGUCUUUCAAAGUUUGGGUAUGUAUCCAGAUACCAAGGAUUCAUUAAUUGUGGUUGUGGCAGGUUUAGCAAUUGCCGGCGCACUGAGCUUCAACAACAGUGCUGGGAUAUGAUCAGGUCCAGACUGAAUUUCUCCCAUGGUAUCUGUUGGAAUUCUUUUCCUCUACCUUUUUCACCAUCAGAAAUUGAAUGGUCAUGGAGGAGGUGCCUCAAACACUGCUUCUGACCCUAAGAUCCUGCGAAGCUCGAUGUUCUGAGGAGGCGACUUGAUGCUAGGGAGGUAGGUAAAGCAUUUAACAUCCAAUGGCAUAGUUGAUAAAUUACAUGGAAUUUGAUUAAAGCUCUGCUUUUCAAUUUUUGUCAACAUGCCAUUUAUACAAAAGAAAAAGUAUUUCUUUAUUUUUCCUUACGUAUAACUUUGAAAAACAAAACAAAACUCAGCUGCCCAAGGAACAAAAUUAAAUGUAGUUCAGGAUAAAAAAAUAAGGUGACAGAGCCACUUCAAGGGUCAACCCUACCUGAAUGUCUAUUUUUGCUCACCCUGCAAUUUUAUAAGGUAGUCCCAUGAUCCUUUGCUAUAAUCGUGCCAGCUCAUUAUUUGCAUACAAUAUAUUGAUCUAAUCCAUAGACAGUCCUGCGGUAUACACAAUAAUAAACAAAACAAACAAAAUAAAUCAAGGACUAUAUUUUGUAUUGUUAUAUAUUCUCCAUAUGUUUGAGGGGAAACUGGUCUAGUUAUAGAUGUCAACAGUAAUCUAGUCUAACUUUAGACAGCAAUAAUAUGUUGCGGGCAAUGGCGGUGGUCAGCAGAGCUCUGGUUUUUGUCAUACUACUUAAAAUUGUUUUGACAAAAAACAGGGGAAUACCACACAAACACAUCUUGGACUAAAAAUGUGUUUAGGCUGAAUGCUGUGCCCCUUUAAUCAAAGAUAAAAAUGUAAAAUAAUGUAACAAUACAUUAUACAAACAAUACAGAGGAUUUGUGGGUCAUUAAACUUGUGUAAAGGCUUACCUGGGGUUGACAUCCAGAGUGCAAAGAUAAUGCUCAUUCUUGCAAAAUAUCAAAUCUUACAGUGACUAGUCAGGUAAAUCACCUGGAGAGUGAAUGUGUGCAUGGGGGCUGUGCAGUAGAGCAAAUCUGGAAGCCAUAAAUAGAUGUACAAAACAAGAGAGUCAGGCAGAGCGAUACUGGGCGAGUGUACGAGGUGCACAGGGCCAAGGAGUUCUGUAGAUAGAGAUUACUAUGAGGGGUGUGCGGUGGUAAGCUUUUCCCCCUCAUAGUAAGCCCUGCCACACUUGUCAGGCUCUGACCUCACCUGAAAUGAUGCUGGGCACCAGAACUAGAGGAAAAGGUUACAAGCUGUCGAAGAUGGCACUGGUGAGCCAUUUGUGCACAAAUAUGGCACUGAUGAGUUAUUUUCAGACAAAGAUGGCGCUGAUUAGCAGUUUGAGGAUACAGAUGGCACUGGAAUGCUGUGUGGGGACAGAUAUGGCUCUGACAGCUGCAUGGGGACAGAGAUGACCUUGUGAAGCAGUGUGGAGACAGAGAUAGCCUUGACCAGUUGUGUGGAGACAAACAUGUUACUGGGAUGCUAUGCACAAAGGUGGUUCUGAUAAGCUUUUUGGGGACAAAGCUGGCACUGUAGGAAGUGGGUGACAUGUUACCUGGUGAUGUUGGGGGCCUGUAUGAGGUGUUAUGUUUGUGAAAGGUAGGAGUUAGCAAUAAAGCCACACACUCCUGAGGGCACUAAAAGUGGAGCUAGGAGUAGGCAGAAUGCUUCUAGAAAUGAUAACAACAAAUUGACCCUGAAGCUGAUAAGAGGCAGGACUUGAAAACUAGUAAAGGAGCCACAGAUGAGGCAAAUAGCUGCAGUUGAGACAGCAGGAGUCUAGUCCUCCUCCUCCUCUUCCCCCCUCCCAGAGACUCAGGCUCGGCUGCAAAACAGACUUAGACGUCAAACUCUAGUGGCCCACAGGUAGUGAAACUGACUGGAAACGAUCAGGACCAGAAUUCAAGUUCAGCCAGAUCUGGCACCUGCUGAGAUGGGGACAAACCCGUGCUCAUAAAAAGUUAAAUACAGUAAUCCAAAAAAGAAAUGCCAAAGUGAGCAAUGCCAGUAAAUUGACUCAUUUUAUUUUACAUUUUUAGAAACACAAGAGAUUUUUUUUUGCAUAGUUGUGGAUGAAGACCAGUCACCUCACUGUGGGCUGAUUUACCUUUUAUAGUGCAUAAAUUAAAUUUUUUACUUAAAAGAAACAUUUAUAGAAAAAAAAAUGUCAAGUAAAUGAUGAAUCAUAUAUGUAGGGGACAUUAUUGUCUAGAGGUAGCAUGUAAUUUGGUAUUAACUUUAUUUAUAAAUGACAUUCUCAUUCUCAGAGACUAUAUUAUGUCCACCCUGUAUUUAUCUGCCUGCCUGUGUGUGUCAUAUCAUCUCGGCAUCGUAGAUCAUAAGGAGUUUUCUUUUUACUGAAUACCAAUUAACAAAACAUUUUGUGACAUGACUAACAAAAAACACACUGGCAGUUAUUUAAGGUCUUUCAAAUUUUAAAUAGCUCAGGUUAUUAUAGACAUAAAAUAUUCAUAUGACAAGCAAUUUUAGCUGUUGAUAUAAUACAUGACUUGGUUCAACCUUCUGCAUACAGUUUUAUAGAUUUUCGUCAAUUUCUGCAAUUUCCUGGAAAUGAAUUAGGUUUAGGUAUCAACCCCUUCCCGACAUUAGGAUAUUCCUUGUCGUCCUCCACAAAGUGGGCUUUAACCAUUUUAGGACAGCAUGGAACAUCCUAAAGUUUUGGUAUGUGCAGGGUUAAAUCUCUGUCCACACCUGAGAGUACCAGGUAUCAAUCCCAGAGUCACAGGUAUCAAUCGCUACCCGGGGCUCCCCUCUGUAAGAUGAGGCCAUUUUUAGUUACCCUAUGCUGAACAAUGAGCUGUAUGCAGUGCUGAGAGUGAGUGCUGUACACAGCAUUUUAAACAGGCAUUUAAAUGCCAAUGGCAAGGACGGUUAAAUCCCUGCACACACCAUGGAGUCAAUCGAUACCUGGGGAUCCCAUCUGUCAAACGGGGCCACAUUUUAAACUGAGAGAUACAUGGGGCUCUUUAAAUCAAUUGAGAACACUGCGGCUUAGCAAUUGUUGGCAGUUGCACGUGGGUUGACCCCUCGGGUCUGAACAGACGCUAACAGGGUCCCCCUGCAUGCCUCUGCAACACUGGCGGAUCCAGGGGGGGGGCAACGGGGCAAUUGCCCCCCCCGAGAAAUCCGCCGGUCUCCCUCCCCUGCCAGGACAUGCAGGUGCUAGCCCUGCAAUGUGCCUGCGGACCGGAGGGAGAUCAGAGCUCUCCCUCCCCGGUCCGCAGACACUGUGCUGACAGCCGGCAGGGGAGGGAGAGUGAGGACCCGGAGCUCAGGCUGCAGCUCCUCCGGGUCCUCCUCUCAAGAUUUGAAGCGUUGUCACGGUUACCACGGCAACGCUCCAAAUCUCGCGAGAGUGAACUCUAGCCCUGGAGCGCGGGCUAGAGUUCACUGUAACCACUGGGACCACCAGGGAAUCACCACUGGGACCACCAGGGAUCGAAAUAUGUCCCCCCUCCUCCUCAAUAAAGGUAAGAAGGGAGGGGGGACAUAGAAUAUUUUUUUUUUUUUAAUUAAAUAAAGAUAUAUAUUAUUUAAAAAAUCCCCCCCUACCCUUAACACACACACACACAUAGCCCCCAUACUUCCCCCCCAUACACAUACUGCCCCCAUGCUGCCCCCCAUACACACAUACUGCCCCCAUGCUGCCCCCCCAUACACACACACACAUAUACUGCCCCCAUGUUGCCCCCCAUACACACACACUACUGCCCCCCAUGCUGCCCCCCCAUACUCACAUACUACCCCUAUACACACAUACUGCCCCCCAUACACACAUACUGCCCCCCUAUGCUGCCCCCAUACACACAUACCGCCCCCCAUGCUGCCCCCCAUACACACACAUAGCCUACCCCCAUGCUGCCCCCCAUACACACACACAUACUGCCCCAUACACAUAAUAUCACUGCCCCCAUACACACACACACACACAUACUGCCCCCCAUGCUGCCCCCCAUACACACAUACUGCCCCCAUACACAUACUGCCCCCCCAUACACAUACUGCCCCCCAUACACACACAUACUGCCCCCCAUGCUGCCCCCUAUACACAUACUGCCCCAUGCUGCCCCCCAUGCUGCCCCUCUAUACACACACAUAAGCCAUUGCCCCCCCCAUGCUGCCCCCAUACACACACAUGCUGCCCCCAUACACACACAUACUGCCCCCACAUACACACAUACUGCCCCCAUACACAUAUACUCGCCCCAUACACAUACUCGCUCCCCCUUGCCCCCAUGCACACAUACUGCCCCCCCAUGCACACAUACUGCCCUCAUACACACAUACUGCCCUCAUACACACAUACUGCCCCCCAUACACACACACUGACCCCAUACACUGCCGCCCCAUACACACACAUUGCCCACAUUCACACACACACUGCAACUGUUACACACACAUACUGUCCCACACAUACACUGCAUCCCUGACAUACACUGCCCCCCCUACUCACACACUACAACCUUCACACACACACACACUGCUCACACAAUGUCCCCCUCACACACACACACACACUGCACCCCUUACACAUUGCACCACUCACACACACCACUGCUCCUAUACCCUACUACCGCCCCAUUUCCCAGCAGACCUCAGGUAAGUUGUCAAACUGUUCUUAAACGGUUUGACUACUUACUCUAGGAGGGGGGCCCGGCACUAUUGACACCAUAACCACUACACUGAGCUGUAGUAGUUAUUGUGUCUGGAUUAUUUCUUUAAAUAAUCUACAAGUGCCCCUCCCGAGAUCAGGCUCUGGAUCCGCCACUGCUCUGCAAUAUGGUUAUCUGUGCAAAACUCUGCAUGCAAAGCUCUGCACGAUUGUGAUCAUGCUGGGCUUUGCGAAGUGUGUAGCACUGAUCACAGUGUAAGUGGCAGGGAAAUAUCCCUGUAAUGCUGAAAGCAGCCAGUAGAUGGUGGUCACAGACCGCUCUCUACUGCUUUAACUAGGACACCCACCUGCUGAUAUCAGUACUGGUAUUAGCAGAGGGAUUCAUUAGGGUAUGGUCAGGGUUAGUUUCAGGCUAAUGUAAGGGUUAAUGUUGGGUUAGGAUAAAUAGGGCUGGUAUAGAGUUAGCAUUACUUAUCAAAAAUUUAUUUAGAUCCUAGACAUAUUUUGAGGCAUUUUUAGUUAUUUUUCUUUAGUUGCACUAGAUGUUUAAAAAAUAUUAUAAGGAAAAAUAUGAAAAAAAACCAAAAAUGUUUCACAUCAGCUUCAGAAACGAUCUCAAUCUGUAAAAAAUGAGUCCAUAUUAAACUCUAUGGAUAUUUUUGUAGAUUGAUCAUUUGAAAAUUUUUAAGAGAUUGGAAUAAUUUCUGAUGGUUGCAUAGUUACAUAGUUACAUAGCUGAAAAGAGACUCGUGUCCAUGAAGUUCAGCCUUCCUCACAUAUGUUUUUGCUGUUGAUCCAAAGAAAGCAAAAAAAAAAAACAGUCUGAAGCACUUCCAAUUUUGCAACAAACCAGGAAUAAAUUCCUUCUGACCCCAAAAUGGCAGUCCGAUAUCUCCUUGGAUCAAGCUGCUAUUAUCCCACUAAUUAGAAAUGAUAUCCCUGUAUGUUAUGUUUUUGCAAGUAUUUAUCCAAUUGCUGUUUAAACAUCUGUAUGGACUCUGAUAAAAACACCUCUUCAGGCAGAGAAUUCCAUAUCCUUAUUGCUCUUACUGUAAAAAACUUUUCUUUGCCUUAGAUAAAAUCUCCUUUCUUCCAGCCUAAAUGUGUGACCGCGUGUCCUAUGUAUUGCCCUGUUUAUAAAUAGAUUUACAGAUAAUGGUUUGUACUGGCCCUGAAUAUAUAUGUAUAAUGUUAUCAUAUCCCUUCUGAGGUUCCGUUUUUCCAAACUAAAGAGAUUGAAUUUUUUUAACCUUUCUUCGCAACUAAAAUGCUCCAUUCCUUUUAUCAAUUUUGGUGAUUCAUAACUAUUAAAUCAAGAUCUAAGGCCUCGAUUUAAAACUGUUGGAUAAGCUUUUCCAAUUAUUUAUUAUUUGUGGAUAAACUUUUAAAAUGGUAUAACAUUAUGAUAGUUUUUUGAUGUAUUGAUAUUUUUUGGUUAUUUUAAAAGCUUACCUGACAAUAUUAAAUCGAGACCUUAAGUCAGCAAUACACUGUACACAAAACACAGUCAGCAGACAAUUUUCAUAAUCUGUGGCUACAACAAAAUUUUGACCUAAUCAAAACAGAUAGAUUAGCGAAGACAGGAACCUAAAUUGGACCCAGCUUUGGGUGUCAACAUAUACGGUAUAUUUAGUAGCGUGGAUUUGGGUUAAAAAAUUGCUUUGUUUGUUUUUUGUUCAAGCUGGCUCAGGUUUACAAAUGUAGGUGUAACGUCAUAUGUAUUAUAUAAAUGCAUGUUGUGCAGAAUUUAGUAGAAAAGUAUAUUUUACAUGACCUUGCAAACUACGAUACACUUCAUCAGGUUUCACUCCUUGGAAUGCAUACAGUUGCAAAACUUGGGCAAUUGGAAAAUAAAACAUUGGCAAUUCUUGUAGCAAAACACAAUAUAGUAUCUGUCUGUUAGAAGGGCCUCUUGGUACCACUUCAUGAUACCAUCUUAAUCAUAACAUCAAAUCCUUUAAAGUUGAAUGUAGAACGACUUGACAAAGGCCCAAAUACAAAAUAAACACUCCGCUGCCCAAAUAUAAAAUAAAUGAAAAUCACUGUUUAGUAGAAAUAUCCCCAAUGAAAACUUGCAUGCAUUUAAAUAUGCAAUUUUUCAUAAGGGGUAUAUCUAAAAACAGCUUCUAAAAGCUGCAGUUCUCCUGUCUGCUGCCUUUUGCAAACCCUCCCCUUCUAACCCCGCCCAGACUUUCUGUGGCUGUCCAAUCACAGACUUCCCAAUGUAGCCUAAUGAAAUUUUUUUUGCAAGGCAGGUGCUCUGAGCAAUUGCUGCAUCUUGAGUUUAGCUCCACUCAGCUAAAUAAACCAGGAAGUAACCGGUUGUUUGAUUGACUACCAGGAUGGUAUAACAAGGUUAAUGUAUAAGACUGUCAAUGUCUAUAAAAAUAUGCACUUUUUGCAAAAUGAAGAAAGAGGACACACUCUUCACACACGAAGCAUUUCAGCAAGCUAAAGUGCUUUAAGGGUCUGGAGUGUCCUUUAAGCCAAAAUAUUGCCGUUCUUGUGUACAUGCUUAAGUAAAUGGUACAUUUAUUGUUAAUAGGCUUCUUUGUGGCCUGUUAAUUAUGAAUUGCAAUUUAUAUUGUGGACUAGGAUAGAGAUGUGAAGUUUGAAGAUGGCUGAUAAACCAAGUGGACACUUAUCUCAUAGUGAAGACUUCAUGCCAAGGUUUCGGUUUAUGUCUCAGUAUAUAAAUAGAGCAUACUGCUAAAAUACAAACCUAGUUUUACUCCUACAUAUGUGCAUUUACAAGAUGUUACUUGUGACGAAGUGCCCUUCGCCACUUGUGCCUGGAGGGGACUACUGGCUAGCCUCCUGCCUUCCGACUAUGGCCCCUGUUCUGAUAGCUGUAUUUUCCCCUGCAGAAAGGUUUAUUUGUGUAUUUCUGCCGGGGCAUUCUGGACUUUCAGUAUGGUAGUAGUGCUACCCCAGAUAGCUAUGCCAUGGAGCCUAUUCGUGUAACAAAAGACUAUGGAAAAGACUUUGGCUCCAUGGCGAUUGAACUGUAUGUAUGUGAUCUGAGCACCAUUCGGUAAUAAUGUGCGCUCAGAUCUAAGCUAUCUGGGGAUAUGUUGCAUGUAUAUGUUUUAUGUAGUAAUUGUAACAUUGUGUAAUUUUAUGUAUUUUUGUAACCAUGUGGUUAAUGGAGUCUUGCCUCUGUCCUGGGAGAUAAUUUGAUUACUUCCAAUUAUCUCCAGGAUAGAGAGGAGGGAUUGUUAUGUCACUGUGGGAGUGUUUUGUUUGUAUUGUCUAUGAUUGGCUUAUAUCCAAUAUGUGUCCGAUUGUUCCAUCAGGUCCCCUAGGAGAGUGUCCACUUGGUGGACACUUGCAUAAAUACCAGGCAGUUACCCCUAAUAAACCAGACCUACUUGAGCCUUUCUUGAAGCCUUGGCUCUUGCUUGGGGGAAGGGAUACCUACACUCUGGGGAUUGCUAUAAUCACUUACUCCCCAGAGUAAGCUCUUGUAAGAGCUUGAUUUGUUCCUGCUACGCUCUCUGGAUUUAGGAGAGGUUCACUCACUGGGAGCUGGAUCCUGGUCGUGGAUUCAGGGGUGAGAGAUGGCGAGAUCCGGACGCAGCUGCAUCGUUGGAAGUGGUGUCAGUUGGAGUGCUGAUGGUGUCAGUUGGAGUGCUCGGAGUCCUCGACAAGCUUAGGAGCAUCGAUUGGCGGAGGUACUCGGUCGGAGUGCCAGCGGUCCGUCACAUUACUUAAGUAAGGAAAUGUUUUAUUUAUUGUUUUUGCACACUCUCACUAAUACACACAGAUAAUCACUUGCACACUCUCACUAAUACACACACACAGUGUCACUUGCACACCUCACUAAUACACACACACACACACAGUGUCACUUGCACACUCUCACUUAUACACACCCACACAGUGUCACAUGCACACUCUCACUAAUACACACAUCCAGUCACUUGCACACUCUCACUAAUACACACACACACACAGAGUCACUUGCACACUCUCACUAAUACACACAUCCAGUCACUUGCACUCUCACUAAUACACACACACACACACACACACAGUCACUUGCACACUCUCACUAAUACACACACACACAGAAUCACCUGCACACUCUCACUAAUACACACACACACACAGUGUCACUUGCACACUCUCACUAAUACACACAUCCAGUCACUUGAACACUCUCACUAAUACACACAGAGAAUCACUUGCACACUCUCACUAAUACACACACACAGUGUCACUUGCACACUCUCACUAAUACACACACACACACACACAGUGUCACUUGCACACUCUCACUAAUACACACCCACACAGUGUCACAUGCACACUCUCACUAAUACACACAUCCAGUCACUUGUACACUCUCACUAAUACACACACACAGAAUCACUUGCACACUCUCACUAAUGCACACACACACACAGUCACUUACACACAUUGUCACUUACACACUCUCAUUAACACCCACUGUCACUCAAACACAGACUCACACCACUUUACAUAAACACACACUUUGUUUACACACACAAACACAGCAAUUUAACACACACACCGAUUUACAAACAUGGACACAAUAAGCAAUCCCCCAUAUCCUCCAGUUAUGCCAUCUCUGGGUGCUGUGAAGAUGAGAAGAGGCUGCAGGACGUUGUUCUUUCUGCUGGAGGAGCAGGAGAGCCGUUCACUGUGAGCACAGGCUGCUUCCUGUUUCCUUCACCGUGUUCACAGGCAAGGGGCCGCCUGGAUACCAGGUCACAUCCCGGCUUCCCCUGCCUGCAGCAAGCACAGUGCUCUGCUCGGGUGCUGGGGUUACAGUAAACUCUGCUCCCCGGGCAGGUAAUCGGCUGCAGAGGGAGCCCAGCAGCUGAAUGGCUGCGUUGGGGGUGGAUAAGGAGCUUUAUUCUUCUCCUCUUUGACCUUUUCCCCUAUCUCAAUGUCACAGUUACUUAGCGAAUUAUCCUAGUAAAGUACAGAAAAUUCUGAUUCCAUAUACUCUUGUCCCUGUUGUCUUUUUGGACUCUUUUCGUGAUUUUUACAUAUUCUUUGCCCCCUACUGUCUGUUCUUUUGAGAUAAUCAAUAGAUUUCCACUCAUUAUUUCUUCCUCAUCACUUGACUACUUUCUCAUUUCCAACUCACCAUCCAUGUUCCAUGCAUUCCAUUACUUACCAGUGAGCUGUACUACUUUCCCAUGCUCAUAACUUGGACACAUUUUAUGACCCAUGUUAGAAUUUGUCAAAUCUAAGAACGUCUGAUGUGUUAGAACUUUAAAUAGAGCCUACUACUGUUCUCAUGCAGAACCAGAAGCAAAAACUAAGAUUGCUUUUAUUUAAGUUGAAUCUGGUUCUGAUCAGGCCAUCUCCUUCUUUUACUUGUAUCCUCUGUACCGUUAUGUACAUUUAAUUUUCAAUUACCGCCUGUGUAGAGGAUGGCUUUCUUUGAAAUAAAGUUGUUUUUCAUUUCUGUUUUCAAAGCAUAAAAUGCAUGAUACCAAUAACUGGAUUUGUUCACUAAAAGUUUGAAAACAAACUUUAAAAUUUAAGCCUAAAUAGUCAAGAAUAUUUAUUCCAUCUCAACCAUGUUAACCUAAAAUUUGUUGAGAGUUGGUCAUCCCGAUUUAUAUUAAGUCUUUUUGUUUGAAAAUCCACUAAGUUAGUAUAACCUUAUCAUGAAAACAUGUUUUUUGGUUUAUUUGUGUAUUUAGAAAAAGAUUUUUAAAACAAUGACAUCUUUUUUAUUACACAGUAGUUGAAUCGAUAGCGUCCUAAAAUUGUGAAUCAAAAAUAAGAAGCCUAAAUGGUGUUACGUAUUUUCUUUUGCAUUAUUAAAUCUUUAUAGAACUGUCGUGUAAGGUUUCACUUUCUGCUUAAUGGCCAAACACUCCGAAAUUACAGGAGGCUGACAGAGAAUGUACUAUUCUGAUGCAUCAUUGUCCAUUGCCCUGGCCAAAUCCCAAUGUUGAGAUAAAUGGGUGUAAACAAAUGUCACGUAAAAAUAAAUAUUCUUGACAGUGAGCAGAAUAGUGUGUCUAAGAUAAAACACGGAGGCUUCCCAAAUUGACUGGAGCUAAUGAGUUGUCUUUGUUACAAAUAGCUCUGGGAAAGUAAGUCAGAAGAAAGAAGGAACAUUUUCUGCAGCCAACAAACAUGGUGUACCCGAGGAUUCUGCAGUUGACUACAUAUGUUGCUUUACUGGUGUUCCUUGGUCACAUCUCCUGUUCUGAGAUUGAGAACCGAUCUGUGUCAGACUCAUGUUCAACACACACAAUUUUACCUGGACCCAAAGGUGA